RNAcentral lists this long non-coding RNA (159111 nucleotides) under Podarcis lilfordi (Lilford's wall lizard). The stretch from base 95022 to 95079 matches the Rfam family "tRNA", at positions 8 to 63 of the family's 71-position model. The record is from RNAcentral. Lineage: Eukaryota; Metazoa; Chordata; Lepidosauria; Squamata; Lacertidae.
AGUCUAAUAUUGUGAAACUGACCAAGCCGGUGGCGCUGUGGACCCAGCAGGAUGUGUGCAAGUGGCUGAAGAAACACUGCCCUAAUCAGUAUCAAAUCUACAGUGAGUCAUUCAAACAGCAUGACAUAACUGGUAAAGUAUGAAAUAUAAAGACCUAUUUCACUUGAGUGUGUAUUGCUUGUUUCGAUUUCUCUUGUUUUGCGAGGGGGCAGCAUCCGAUAAAACUCGUGCUUCAUUUUUUCGCCCGGUGCUGAGCGGUGGGGAGGCCGGGAGGGAAUCGGCAGCAUUCCCAGCUAUGUUAUCUGAAGGAGCAAUCCGCAGAAAAUAUACAGUGAGGGAGCCUUGCCGUGAUAAAGGAUUGUGGUUUCUAAUCUAUAUCUUUUUUGACACAUGCCCACCUUAGGGGCCUGGCUUAAGGCUGAAAGGGCAUAAAUGAAACAAACCGAUUCUGCUCCAUUAAGACUUUAGAAUACAAGAAGCAUAGCUUCAUAUGAGGAGCCCAGUGGAAGAACACAGGCUUUCUAUAUAGAUGCUGCCAACCAAGCCUGAUGUGUCUGGAGGUCAGGAUAUGAGCUUUGAGAGCUCAUUGCUCUCUCUUCAAAGAAGAGGCAGACAUGGAGAAUCUAAAUUCAGCUCAGAUUAAAAUCAGAGCCAGAGGGGGAAAUUCCCCUCCCAGCCACCCAUCGUCUCCAGCACCAGGCCUGGGGGUGUGCCAGAAGUGUGUUGCAUGCUGCGCCCACAGGACACACCAAGGGCGACACAGCCCCCCAUGCCAGCUGAUCAGUGCAGCAUAUGUCCCCCUCCGCUCAUCAAAUGAUCUAAUAAUCAGGGAGGACUCCAUAUGCAUCCCCAACUGGGUACUGGUCUUUGACCACCCCAGAAACACAGCAAGUUUUCUUUGCUGUUUGCCACCAUGGCACAGAUUGGUAGGGGUGAGGGUCAGUGGCUGAAAAAGAAUUGCUUGGGAAUCCAGAUCACGGUUCUGAACUAUAAGUUAGCUGCUCUGAGUUUAAGCCACACUUGGAUUAGUUAGUUCUGCCUGUGGCCCUGGUGUUGCUAUCAGACCACGGGUAGACAAACUAAGGCCUCGGGGCUGGAUCCGGCCCAAUCGCCUUCUAAAUCUGGCCCGCGGAUGGUCCAGGAAUCAGCUUGUUUUUACAUGAGUAAAAUGUGUGCUUUUAUUUAAAAUGCAUCUCUGGGUUAUUUGUGGGGCUUGCCUGGUGUUUUUACAUGAGUAGAAUGUGUGCUUUUAUUUAAAAUUAAUCUCUGGGUUAUUUGUGGGGCGUAGGAAUUCGUUCAUUCCCCCCCCCAAAAAAAAUAAUCCGGCCCCCCACAAGGUCUGAGGGGCAGUGGACCGGCCCCCUGCUGGAAAAGUUUGCUGACCCCUGCUAUCAGACUUUGCUAUCAGACUCAAGGGGGAAACCAAUAUAAAAACAACACUGAACUGAACCUCUCCUUGCUAAUUUUAUUUUGUUUUGCCCUCUUGCAUUAUUUCAAGUUGUGCAAAAGUAUUGCACGGCAAUAUUGCAGGAAGUAAAAAGAAUUUAAUAUUCUUGUCAAGUGAAAGCCUACCUGAAGGAGCCUCUCCACCCCACUGUUCAGCCCAGAUUCCUGCAUUUGCAAGGGACUGGAUUUGAUGACCCUCGUGGCCCCUUCCCAACCUUCAACUCUAUGUAGCUUCUGCCCCUUUUAAGAUCUCUGGGGCAGGGUGGCAUUCAUCCUCCACCAGGCUCACUUCUCGGUGGCGGCUGGCAUGGAAGAGGCGAUUGCUAGGCGAGUACAUUCCUAAACGGUGUCGCAACGAAGCAGCUGAGGUACCAUGAGAUAUAAAAUGAGGAUAGACUCCUGCUGGGCCCACCUGCAAGUGAGGUUGCCCAUUGCAUUUUUGCAUGGUUCUCCAGCUUUCACUGGGAAAUCUUAACUGCUUCUGCUCGUUGGAUAGGACUGGAUAAUUUUUUUGGGGGGAGGGGUGAAAGUGGCCUUGCUAUUUAUUUAUUUUUAAUUUUUUUAUUAACAAUUUCAACACAUAACAAAAUAUCAAAACAUAUCAUCUUCAUUAUUUCCCCCCUUCCCCCACCUCCCCAACAAACCCUUCCCCCUCCCAAAGACUUCCCUCAGCUCCUCUCUCUGAUUUCUCAACACAUACUGUUCUCUGCAUACUGUAAAAUUGUAUAAAUCCUUAUAUUAUCUAUCUACUAUAUUAACCAUCAGUAGAUUUGUGUAUGUUUAUUCAAAACCUGCCAAGGAGUCCAGUUCAUUUUGUUGUCUUUUUAGAUAAUUUGUAAAAAGUUCCCACUCUUCUUUGAAGUCACAGUUGUCCUUAUCUCGCAGUUUGUAUGUCAGUUUAGCCAGUUCUGCGUAGUUCAUCAAUUUCUCUUGCAUCAGGACUGGAUCAUUUAAUCAUGCAGAAUUGUAGUGCCUUUGGGUAUUCUGUCUGCUGCAUCUCUGGAUGAUUCCCUGCACUGCCUGCUUCCAAACAGGACACACCCAGAACAAUAGGAGGGAAUGCAGUUUAGUGGUAGAGCCCUGCUUGAAUGCAAAAGGACCCAGACUCAUUCCCCCAUUUCCAGUUAACAGGGCCAAGUAGCCAAAGAAUGAAUUACCUCUGCCUGAGACUCUGCCAGUCAGAGUAGACAACACUGCAUUAGAUGAACAAAUUGCCUGACCUAGAAUACGACAGUUUUCUGUGUUCUUAACAACUCAAGCAGAUGCAUGUGGGCUGCUCUCUGGGCAGGUAAUUCUAACUCUUUCACCAUCUACCUGAGAGCAGGAGCCCUGUUAUUUUAGGCACGUCUUCUCCAAAAUUUGUGGGAUUUUUUUUUUUAAAAAAAACAAAAUCUCCAAAGCGAAUAAUUUUAUAAACUCGUGGGGAAGCUGGUGUUAAAUCGGCUAUAUGCCCACUCUGUUGUUACAGAUCAGGAGCAAAACCUAACUGGAAAAUCUGUGUAGGAUUAACAUGUCCUUUUGAAUAAUAUGCCAGACAGGGCUUAUUCCGCCUCCCUCCCCAAUCCGCAGAUUCCAUGUCAUGAGUUCUUAUGGUUCAUCUGCUGUAGAGGGAGGUAGCAAAACCAGCUUACAAAUUUUUAGAUCGAUAAUUUUAAAGCCAUGCAACAGUCUUAAUUUGCAAAAGCAAAAACCCUUGCGUGAUAUUUUUUAAAGCAUUUUAACAGGUGAAUUAAAAACCAGUGCAACAGGUAAAAUAAUAAUAAUAAUGAAUCGCUAACAGUAGCAAGAUAGCAGCAAAUGUCACUUAGCCAUUUAAAAAUGCCUCAAUAAAUAAGCGGGACGCGGGUGGCGCUGUGGGUUAAACCACAGAGCCUAGGGCUUGCCGAUCAGAAGGUCGGCGGUUCGAAUCCCCAUGACGGGGUGAGCUCCCGUUGCUCAGUCCCAGCUCCUGCCAACUCAACAGUUCAAAAGCACGUCAAAGUGCAAGUAGAUAAAUAGGUACCGCUCCAGCGGGAAGGUAAACGCCGUUUCCGUGCACUGCUCUGGUUCGCCAGAAGCGGCUUAGUCAUACUGGCCACAUGACCCAGAAGCUGUACACUGGCUCCCUCAGCCAGUAAAGCGAGAUGAGCGCAGCAACCCCAGAGUCGGCCACGACUGGACCUAAUGGCCAGGGGUCCCUUUGCCUUUACUAAUAAAUAAGCAGGCCUUUGUCUGGUGCCUAAAAGUAAUUAAAUUCAUCACCUGGCACUGCUUUCUGGGGGACACAGCACUGCUGAAAAGCCCUUUCCACAAUCUCCAGGUAUCUCCACCAUCAGAGAUCAGGCUACUGCACGGUUGGAUGCAGCAAUGCUUCUGAAUACCACUUCCUGGAAACCGCAGGAGGGUAGAGUGCUCUUGUGUUCGGAUCCUUCUUGCCCCAUGGUCAGCCACUGUGAGAACAGGAUGCUGGACUAAAUGGGCCAUUGGGCUGAUCCAGCAGGGCUCUCCUUACGUUCUUGUGAGGGAUGAUCUUACCAAUAGGACAGGCUCAUGUGGAAGAUGGUGGUCCUUUUUGGUGUCUGUGUCGCAAUUCGUAGAAGACCCUAAAUCAGGCGUGGGAUACUUGUCACUCCCCUGAGGUUGCUGGACUACAAAGCUGACAUCUUCCCUGACCAACUACCCUGCCAGCUGCCGCUGAUGGAAGUUAGAGUAUGGCAACACCUAGAGGAAGGAAAUCAGCCCUGAGUGCUCACUGGAAGGACAGAUCCUGAAGCUGAGACUCCAAUACUUUGGCCACCUCAUGAGAAGAGAAGACUCCCUGGAAAAGACCCUGAUGUUGGGAGAGAUGGAGGGCACAAGGAGAAGGGGACGACAGAGGAAGAGAUGGUGGGACAGUGUUCUCGAAGCUACCAGCAUGAGUUUGACCAAACUGCAGGAGGCAGUGGAAGACAGGAGUGCCUGGCGUGCUCUGGUCCAUGGGGUCACGAAGAGUCGGACACGACUAAACGACUAAACAACAACAACAACACCUAGAGGGCCACAUGUUUCUCCACUCCUUCAUUACGGUCUUCUACAAAUUCCAUGGUAAUCUGCGCAUUAAGAGAAACCCUCUCAAAAUGCCCAUUUAAAUGAAUGUUCGAAAUGUCUACGCUUCAGAGAACUCUAUAGCAACAUUCCGGGAAGGGCAAACGAUGAAGAUUUGUCUUAAAAUGGCUGUGAAUACACAUCUUGGAACCCAAGCCACGUCUUCCACAUUUGCCUCAAAACUUCUCAAUGGCCGCUUUCUCAGUGAAGUCGGUGCACCAAUUUUAUAUAUGGACUAAGUAGGAGAGAAGGAAUAAAAGCAGGGGUCAGUAGACUUUUUCAGCAGGGGCCCAAUCCACUGUCCCUCAUAGCUUGUGGGGGGCCGGACUAUAUUUUGAAAAAAUAAUAAUGAACGAAUUCCUAUGCCUCACAAAUAACCCAGAGAUGCAUUUUAAAUAAAAGGACACAUUCUACUCAUGUAAAAACACGCUGAUUCCUGGACCAUCCGUGUGCUGGAUUUAGAAGGCGAUUGGGCCGGAUCCUGCCCCCGGGCCUUAUUUUGCCUACCUAUUGAUUAAAGGUUUCUUUCCCUUGCGCCUCGGUCGCAAUGGGCUUCCCAGAAGGAUGCUUUUGAAGACCUGCAGUAACUUUCCAUUCCUCAAGGGGGAGCUUGCGCACAAAUUACUACGCCGUUUUCAAUUUUUGUGUGACUGUAAUGGGAUCCUGCCUGUGAAAAUGGAUUGAAAUUAUUCAGGAGAGCUAUAAUCUGAUACAGCAGAUGCUUUUUUUUAACAGCACAACUAUAAAAACAAUGUUUUGUGUUCCAACCAAGAGACAUGUUUUAUUACAUUUGCCAUUGUAGUUAAGCGUGCGUGCUCAGAUUUUUGGUCACUUCCAGUUCCCGCCACUACCCCUCCCCCAACCCCCCAAAUUUAUUCUUAACUUGUAAUUUAUUUGGCUAGAAAACACUGCUCUGUGUCUAAAAGUUUCUAGCAGGAAGUGAAAAGGUUAAACUUGCCCUCCCUGCUACUCAGGCUGCCCUACCCCACCCCUAAUAUUUAUAUAUGCAUAUUUAAAACAUGCAUUCACACAAUUCUCUGGCUGAUUUAAAAAUUGGCCAUUUUUAUUGUGCACAAAAAAAAGGAAAAAGGAAAAUAGAUUCCAGUUGGAGAAGGCAGGCUGUUUUCUCGGUUAAUCAUCAAUUAUCCCCUCUUUGUUGUGGGAAAGUUGUAGCUUAUAAACAGCUCGUUGAAAAUGUAACAAGAGAGGAAGUAUUGCAGAUGGGGAAUUCGCUAUGAUCUUGCAAAAGCAGAAACCCCACCAUGCAGUUAAAUGAAUCCUUUGCCUUGCUAGCGGAAAGGCAGGCUCAUUUGGAAAAGAAAAGAGCACAUCAAGGGCAAUAUAUUCAACACACUGGAAUAUUUUGCCAUAACUCUUUUCAAGCUCUCCUGCCACCAGGAGGGCUAAAAGCUGCUUGACGAAAGGUGUGAUUUCUCGGAGUUUUAACAAGAACAUAUAACCGUAUAGGAUGAGCACACUUCCCAGUUUUUAAGUUCUGGUGGGGCAAGCAGAUAGCCCAGUGGUGCUUCAGGGAAGAGCCAUAGAUAAUAAUAAUAUAAUAAUAAUUUAUUAUUUAUACCCCGCCCAUCUGGCUGGGCUUCCCCGGCCACUCUGGGCGGCUUCCAAAAGAAUAUUAAAAUACUAUAAUACAUCAAACAUUAAAAGCUUCCCGAAACAGGGCUGCCUUCAGAUGUCUUCUAAAAGUCAGAUAGUUGUUUAUUUCCUUGACAUCUGGUGGGAGGGUGUUCCACAGGGAAGGCGCCACUACCGAGAAGGCCCUCUGCCUGGUUCCCUGUAACUUGGCUUCUCGUAGUGAGGGAACCGCCAGAAGGCCCUCGGUGCUGGACCUCAGUGUCCGGGUAGAAUGAUGGGGGUGGAGACGCUCCUUCAGAUAUACUGGACCAAGGCCGUUUAGGGCUUUAAAGGUCAGCACCAACACUUUGAAUUGUGCUCGGAAACAUACUGGGAGCCAAUGUAGGUCUUUCAAGACCGGUGUUAUGUGGUCUCUGCGGCCGCUCCCAGUCACCAGUCUAGCUGCCACGUUCUGGAUUAGUUGUAGUUUCCGGGUCACCUUCAAAGGUAGCCCCACGUAGAGCGCAUUGCAGUAAUCCAAGCGGGAGAUAACCAGAGCAUGCACCACUCUGGCGAGGCAGUCCGCAGGCAGAUAGGGUCUCAGCCUGCAUACCAGAUGGAGCUGGUAAACAGCUGCCCUGGACACAGAUCACUGGCUAAACAUUGAUUUUUCAUUAUUUAAUUUCUAUACCACGUAAUAUAUUAAAAAUAUAUCCAAGAAGUGCACCAAAAAAACCCAGAAGCAGCAGCAAACAAAUGAAAUAUUACAAAAACACACAAUUGCAUAUAAAAACCCUACAUUCAUACAAAGUUACUAAUAUAUAUAAAUCAAUAGCAAUUCAUUUUCCUUCCGACACACUCAACCUCUCAGCCUCUGGGCUCUCGCCCAGGGUCCAAACAAACUCUCAGCUCACCCACAAAAGUCUCACAAAGAGAAGAGUUCCUGGAAAAGGCAAACAUCACCCUAGUCCAGGGUUCCUCAAACUUGGGUCUCCAGCUGUUGUUGGACUCCAACUCCCAUCAUCCCUAGCUAGCAGGACUAGUGGUCAGGAAUGAUGGGAACUGUAGUCUAAAAACAACUGGAGACCCAAGUUUGGGAAACCCUGCCCUAGUCUUUUACACCAGACUUGCAUUUUAUGGUCAGGCCGAAGGCAGAUGGUCCUUCUUCUGGUUGCCCAUAGCUGUGUCCCGUUCAGUUGCACUCUGCAUACCCAGUUUUGGGUGCAACAGGUUUGUUGAGUUUCCCAUGGGGUCCAGAGGAUGGGAAGAGGGGGACCCUCCACUCACAGCUCUUCCUUCACCCUCUGUCCACUAUUCCUCCUCCAGUUGCUUUGUAACCCAGUAGAAGCCAGCUUCCUAUGUUCCUACAUUGGAGGUCCAGCUCCGAGAGUCUUCUGGCGGUUCCUUCACUGUGAGAAGUGAGGUUACGGGGAACCAGGCAGAGGGCUUUCUCGGUAGUGGCACCCGCCCUGUGGAACGCCCUGCCGCCAGAUGUCAAGGAAAUAAACAACUACAGUGGUACCUCGGGUUACAGACGCUUCAGGUUACAGACACUUCAGGUUAUAGACUCCGCUAACCCAGAAAUAGUACCUCGGGUUAAGAACUUUGCUUCAGCAUGAGAACAGAAAUCAUGUGGCGGUGGCGUGGCGGCAGCAGGAGGCCCCAUUAGCUAAAGUGGUACCUCAGGUUAAAAACAGUUUCAGGUUAAGAACGGACCUCCAGAACGAAUUAAGUUCUUAACCCGAGGUACCACUCUAUCUGACUUUUAGAAGACACCUGAAGGCAGCCCGGUUUAGGGAAGUUUUUAAUGUUUGAUGUUUUAUUGUGUUUUUAAUAUUCUGUUGGAAGUCGCCCAGAGUGGCUGGGGAGACCCAUACAGAUGGGUGGGGUAUGAGUAAUAAAUUAUUAUUGUUGUUGUUGACUUUAACUCAGUUGCAUGUAGGAGCAUCUCCAAUUAGGGUUUGGAAAAGCACCCUUCACCCCUGGAGGCAUACUCCAUUGUCUCUCGAGACAGAUGCUGACAACUGCAAGGCCUUUGGCCAUGCUGGCUGUGGUUGAUGUGACCUGGAGUCCAACCACAUGUGAAGGCUCACCAGUUCCCCAUUUGGGCAGUCAGGUUUAGAGAUUUCCUUAAAAAGUUACCUCAUCAAGGUGAGAAAACACACAUGUUUCAAAACAUGAACCAACAAGCAACUACCUUUUGUAUAUCACUUAAUAAUUUUUAGGAUGUUAAGCAGUCUAUAAUAAAAAAACUAAAAAUAAUAAAAUAAACAAGAACAGCCCAAACAACUUCACUUUUUUCUUCUUCAUCAACUGCCUACCUUUUUUGACUUAAAGUUCUACCUUCUGGAAAGGGCAUCUUUAGAUCCGAAAACCAAAACACGCAAAAGCUCAGCUGUAGGGGAGAUCAGGGGUGUGGGGUGUGGAGAAGUUUUAUUUCCCCCCUCAUGAAAUCUUCAAGGAAGAGACGGGAUUCAGUUUCCAUCUGUCUUGCUCACGCUUUACCUCUCCUGACAUCUGAAAGUCUGCAAACAGCAAACGCUCAGGCACUAUAACUGAUGUGCCCCUGACAACUACCAAUCUAUAUCUGAUAAGAGAAAUGCAACAAAACAAAAAGCAAGUCCUGAAAUACUCCUGGAGAAGCGAAGCUGAAUAAGAAUACAUAUUUUCAUUGGCAAAGAGACUCAGGUCUUCACCGGGAAGGAUGGGCUUUCGAGAGGUAAUAUAAGGGUUUGUUGUAGUAGUAUAUUUAUUGUGGUCCAUGACCUGAAGUAGAGAAGUUGAUGAGCCCCAUCUGCCCCAAAGACCUACUCUGAUGAGAGAGGGGGUUAUCGGUUUUUGGAGGGGGGAUUGCUGGUUUGUUGUUGUUCUUAUUUCUGCUAUGUAUUUUGUGGUUUUUAUAUUGCAAUUUUAUGUUGUGAACCAACCUGAGAGGUGCCGUAUACAAAGGGCGGUAUACAAAUUGAAAAAUAAUAAUAAUAAUAAGUACAGUCCCAUAGCAUUGAGGGCCACAGGUUUCCCCCCCCUCCCUGCUGUACAGGUAGAAAACAAUAUUUUCCAGCAGUAAACCGCCUCCCCCCCUGGUGAAACAUGUCUUUCCUUUUGGCGAAUUCUGUGAAGGACGGGCUGAAACGUCGUGCAAGUUGAAGGAUGUAAGGAGGAAGGGAGAGCACAGAAUCAUCUAGUCCCACCCUCUGCAAUGCAGGAAUCUCAGCUAAAGCAUCCAUGGCAAAUGGCCGUGGUCAAGGAAGCUGAACCUUGCCUUUGUCUGGUUGUGCUUAGCUUAUUUUGUUUAUUUUAUUAUCUUCCAAGGAGCUCAAGGUGCUGUGAGUGGUUCUCCUGCCUCCGCCCCCCCCCAUUUCAUCCUUGCAACAACCCUGCCAUGUAGUAAUAAUAAUAAUAAUUUAUUAUUUGUACCCCGCCCACUCUGGGUGGCUUCCAACAAAGAACAAAAAUACACUAAAAUGUCACACAUUAAAAGCUUCCCUAAACAGAGCUGCCUUCAGAUGUCUUCUAAAAGUUUGGUAGUUAUUUUUCUCUUUGACAUCUGUUGGGAGGGCGUUCCACAGGGCGGGUGCCACUACCGAGAAGGCCCUUCUGCCUGGUUCCCUGUAGCUUUGCUUCUCGCAGUGAGGGAACCGUCAGAAGGCCCUCAGAGCUGGACCUCAGUGUCAGGGCAGAACGAUGGGGGUGGAGACACUCCUUCAGGUAUACUGGGCCAAGGCCGUUUAGGGCUUUAAACACUUUGAAUUGUGCUCGGAAAUGUACUGGGAGCCAAUGUAGGUCUUUCAAGACCAGUGUUAUGUGGUCUCGGCUGAAACGGUGACUGGCCCAAGGUCACCCAGUGAGUGGGGAUUCGAACCCUGCUCUCCCAGGUCAUAGCCCAACCCAAUAACCAUUAUGCCACACACUGGCUUAAUUGACACCCUGGGGAGAUGGGGUGGGUGGGGACACUCAGUUUUUCACUCUUCCUCAUAAUGCUUAGGGCAUGGGUAGGCAAACUAAGGCCCGGGGGCCGGAUCCGGCCCAAUCGCCUUCUAAAUUCGGCCUGCGGACGGUCCAGGAAUCAGAGUGUUUUUACAUGAAUAGAAUGUGUCCUUUUAUUUAAAAUGCAUCUCUGAGUGAUUUUGGGGGCAUAGGAAUUCAUUGAUUUAUUUGUUUUUCAAAAUAUAGUCUGGCCCCCCACAAGGCCUGCGGGACAGUGGACCAGCCCCCUGCUGAAAAAGUUUUCUGACCCCUGGCUUAGGGCCAUUUAGUCCAGGAGAACAGUGGGAGAUUGAGUACAGUCAUACCUUGGGUUACAGCCGCUUCAGGUUGCAUUUUUUCAGGUUACGGACCGCUGAAACCCGGAAGUACUGGAAUGGGUUACUUCCGGGUUUUGGCAGUUGCACAGAAGCACUAAAUCACACUUUGUGCAUGCUCAGAAGCGCCAAAUCACAACCUGCAUGCAUCCCACAUGGAUCAUGUUCGCAACCCGAGCGUCCACUGUAUAGGAAAAUCUGACGUGCUUCAUCACACAGUGCCUGGUUAAACUAUGAAAUUAGAUUUCGCAAGAAGCAGUGAGUCAGCACAUCAUGCCAAGUUCUUUGGGGCACUAGAAUGUAUUAGUGUAUCAGCACUUUUCAUUAUUCCCCGCCCUUGUUAAAUUUAAGCAAUGCAAGGGAUGUAUUGCCUAUAAUAUUUUAUAAGUAUUCCAAUGAAAACGUUUGUGUAAUGCAAUAUUUAAAGCACAAAGAAGUGUAUGUGCUUUAGUUUUCCCCACACUUAGGUGUUUCCCAAGCAAUAACAGACUUCCUCAGGAGUUUGUGGGCUCUCCUUUGUUAGUGGCUUUCAAGCAGAGGUUGGAUGGCCAUCUGUCAUGGAUGCAUCAGCGGGUUGGUCUAGAUGACCCUCAGGGUCCCUUCUGACUCUAUAAAUCUGUGGUUCUAUGUGCUCCUUAUAGCACCUACAUAAGCUCCACAUAUCCCAUCUAGAACAAAACUGCCUCUCUCUGGAGAAAAAUAUUUGCGUAUGCAUUAUGUAAUGUCUCUGCUAAGCAACUUCUAUUACUUAUUACUGCUCGCUUUUCUACUGCUGACUUGCAAAAAUUGUUAGGCAGUGUGCUGGAACGGUACAAUCACCCAUCUAGCAAAAAGCAAAAUGCAGUAAACUACAGUUAAAUUGCCCUUUUUUUCUUUUCCUUUUUGCUUUUAACAGAAAGAAAGAAAGAAAAGCUCUCUAGUGCACAAAUAGCGUUUUAUACCUUGGAAAUUUCUCAGAAGGGUUAUGCAGAACUUUCCAAUCUGAGCUGGCUUAUUUGUUCAAACCUGUAGUUAAGGCCUCUUGCAUGGGAGAGGAACGAGAUGAUGCUGAUAGCAUCGUGCUUUAAGCAGGCACUGAAGGACUUUCCUCAAGACAGUAAAUUGCAAUUAAUUCCCCAAGAGUUGCUAGAGGUACCAGGGUGUGGGUGGCAAGGCUGCCAGGGUUGGAUUCACACAGCGAUUUCUUGGAUCUGCUCCAGGGCUCAGGGCAACAGGAAAGCUGAUCCAGCAACAUCGGCGUGGGCAGAUCCCAGCAUGGUUGUUGUUUAGUGGUGCACCAGCUCAGUCAGGCUGAGACACUGCCAAGAGAGCAGCAGCCGUCUCUAAAGUCAAAUGGAGAUCAGGAAUCAGGGACUUGGGCCAAGGCCAGGGGAAACUGGACAAUAAAAUAACAUGCAGGAUAAAAGAGGGGUGAGAAAUGUAGAAGGGCACCAUCUCACAGUCAUUCCACCUGCAGGCAGGUUCAGUAGGGGCAAGCCAGGGUGGGAACAGGGUAAGCGGGCACUCUAUGGGCAAGCGAUGCUCAGAUUACUGGGAAAGCCCAGCCAUCUCAGCGACUGUGUUUAGAACAUCAUAGAGCAGGGGUCCCCAAACUAAGGCACACGGGCCAGUUAAGGCCCGAGGGACUCGUUUAUCGGGCCCACAACGGUCUCUGCUGCCGCCGCCCACUCUUACCGGCACUGCACUGCUCUGCUGCCCGCUUCUGGGUCAGAGGAGCACCGGAAAUAGCGUGUGUGCAUGCGUAUGGGCACGCACUCCCCUGCCCUCCGGCCCACCGCACGAUCGGCGCUGGAGACACUGGACCAAGGCGUUGUAAGUUUGCCGACCCCUGCCAUAGAGGCUAUGAUUUGAUAGGAUGGGAGCUUUCAUUAAGGGGUGACAACCCUUUAAUUUAGGGACCCUCUUCCUCCCUGCCUCCAGCUCGGUAAUUCAAGCACUGAGUAGGGAACAGGCUAAUAGGCUAGGUGGGAUACGGAAGAUAUGCAGGUUCAGAGAUGGUAGAAGCAAAGCAAGUCAUGGAAUGCUCAUUCAUUCAUUCAUUCCAUUUGUAUUCCUUGUUUCCUCCAAGGAGCUCGAACUGGCAUACACGAUUUCUACCUUCCUUUUGUUAUCUUGACAACAACCCUGUAGCUCAGUUGGUAGAGCAUGAGACUCUUGAUCUCAGAGUCAUGGGUCCAAGCCCAAUGUUGGGUGAAAGAUUCCUGGAUUGCAGAGGGUGACCUGCAUGGUCCUUUCCAACUCUACAGUUCUAUGAUUCUAUGAACCCUGGUCUCCGAGAUCCUAGUCCAAAAUGCUCCUGCCAGCAGUCUCUUCCUCCUUGCUUUUAUAGGGGCUGCUGGGAGCAGGACCCACAGAGCAAACUCGGAAGCUGAAGAGGGCUCAAAUCAGUCUGCUUACGAUUUGAGCAGGGCAGUGCUCAAACAGAACAAUUCCUAGCUAGAGGCUGAGUUUACUGGUCAAACACCCCUAAACCCCAAUAGCAAAGUGACAGCAGCCUUACCUCUGUAUUUUCUGCCAUGAAAUAGUUAGUUGCUAAAGCGGUGUUUUAUUUUGUAUUUAUUGAGACCCAACAGUGUUUCUCUAUGAGUUUGAGUACGCAAAGCAUCUAUAGCUGUUGAUCUUAGAUUGGAUCAAAUUCCCAAAGGUCGGGUAUCUGAAGUUUCGCUGGAGGUAAAUUAAAUUCUGCCAAUGCAAUUUUCCUCUCUAGGAAGAUGUUUGUAGUGAUCGAAAACUACCCCAUGUUGCUAUACGGGUUGAAGAAUUGACUAAGCAAUAAAGUUGAGGUUAAUAAUCCAUCCCUUUCUGUUCAUCGCAUUUUCAUUCUUCCUGUAGAACCAAGUCUUAGCAGUUGAAAGUAAUAUUAAAGGAUGCUAAGGAGUUUGAGUUAAUGUACUGCAUGGCUCAACCUUUAAAUUCACUACAGUUUGCCAAGUUUGCAACCAUCUCUGCCCUGGUCAUGUCCAGGUUUGACUACUGCAAUGUUCUCUACUUGGGGCUGCCUUUAAAAGUAGCUUGGACUUGCUAGCUGGUCUAGAAUUUGGCCACUGGAGUUUUGAUAGGGGUGAGGGAAUCAGCUUCCAUAACACCACAACUAUACCAGUGGCACUGGCUCCUGGUCCAUUUCUGAGAUGAUUUUAACAUUUAAAGCCUUAAAUUGAUAUUCAGUAAACUUUUAGUGUUCAGACUGCCUUUAGUGGCUACUGCCCAGCAAUGUGGGCCCAGAAAUAGUUUAAAUAAAUAAAAGAACACUGUAAACGAAUGCGUUUUCCAAAGGGCACAAAGUAGGAUGUAAAAAUUGCGCUCCGGAAGUGGAUGCAUUUAUGAUUCCCAGUUCCCGUGUAAAAUACAGUGGUACCUCAGGUUACAUACGCUUCAGGUUACAGACUCUGCUAACCCAGAAAUAAUGGUUAAGAACUUUGCUUCAGGAUGAGAACAGAAAUCGUGCUCUGGCGGCGUGGCGGCAGCAGGAGGCCCCAUUAGCUAAAGUGGUGCUUCAGGUUAAGAACAGUUUCAGGUUAAGAACGGACCUCCGGAACGAAUUAAGUACUUCACCCGAGGUACCACUGUAUAGCCCUCUUCAUGCAUUGCUCAUAAGUGUGGUGUUAGGGGAUGUGGAGCUGCACAUUUAACCCUGUCCCCAAGUUCUGCAUUGGGCACAAAACAUCUGUAUGAAGUGUAGAAGUGAAGAUGAUCAUGGCAACAGGGCAAACAGUGGAUGUGGCAUCGGGGCGGAGCUAAACCACCCCCAUUGUUCUGCCCAGACACCGAGGUCUAGCGUUGAGGGUCUUCUGGCGGUUCCCGCACUGCAAGAAGAAGAAGAAGAAGAAGAGUUUGGAUUUGAUAUCCCACUUUAUCACUACCCGAAGGAGUCUCAAAGCGGCUAACAUUCUCCUUUCCCUUCCUCCCCCACAACAAGAAGCCAAGUUACAGGGAACCAAGCAGAGGGCCUUCUCGGUAAUGGCACCCGCCCUGUGGAACGCCCUCCCACCAGAUGUCAAAGAGAAAAACAACUACCAGACUUUUAGAAGGUAUCUGAAAGCAGCCCUCUUUAGGGAAGCUUUUAAUGUUUAACAGACUACUGUAUUUUAAUACUUUGUUGGAAACCGCCCAGAGUGGCUGGGGAAACCCAGCCAGAUGGGCGGGGUAUAAAUAAUAAAUUAUUAUUAUAUUUUAUUAUUAUAAACGCAUGACGCCACAGAGUCUGCCACCACCUUUGCCCUCAUCAUGCAAGUAACGUGUGAAGGGUUCUUAUGAGUUGGCGGUUUCUGGAAGCUCAUCAGUGCCUGUCCGUAAACCAAAAAGUGUGUAGAUUUUUCGGUUCAGCUUGACUGGCAUUUAUUUGAGAGUUUGAUUCUCCUUGAUCUUAGUUGCUAUCUCUGUAAUCAUCAUCUGAGGCCUUUUUCGUGUGCCUCCUCCUCCAGAGGUCCGGAGGGUGGCAACACGACAACGGGCCUUUUCUGCAGUGGCCCCCUGUUUUUGGAAUGCUCUCCCCAGGGUGGCUCACCUGGGGCCUUCAUUAUACACCUUUGGGAGCUAGGCAAAAGUAUUUCUCUUCAAACCAAUUUCCCACUAAGAAAAAAAGUUGCCACAUAUUGCAUUCUUCAGAAAUUUGUCCAGGGGAACAUCAGACUAGGUGGACCAGUGGCCUCAUCCAGCAGGACCCUUCCUCUUUGCUGUAUCCUAGUUUUUAAUGCCCAUGGGAUAUUUUAUACAUGGGAUAUCCAGUAUGCAACAGUUUUCCUCUACUGGUUGUCAUAAGUUAUUUCAAGAGGAGAAAUGAGGCUGCCUUCACCCCAGUACUCCCCUAUUUACUCCCUGAUUAAUAGAUCUCUCUCUUGGAUGUCCCCAUUUAAGAAUCGCUGGUUCCAUUACAAUGAAAUGCCUGAAUUUUCAUUAAGAAAGUAAAAAAAAAAACUCAACAAGAAAGUGAGAGAUCAUGAGUUGAUACCAGAAGGAUGAGACUGAUUAAUGUGCAUUAAGAAGAGAGGUGCGAUGACUGUCGACCUGUGUCUGGUACAAAGUGUACAAACACUCCUUAAAAUAACUUAAUUAAAAUCGUAAAUGUUCUUAAGCAGGUGUUUACGCAGCAAGACUGCAAUGUUUGAGAAUUCCAAGAUUUCACCUCAGAUGGUGAUUUGACCAGUAGGCACAUUCUUCUACCUUUCUACUCGUCACCAAGUUGUUGUGACACAUCAACAGUGAUCAUAUAUUUGGAGCUGCUGUUUUUUUGUUUUGAAAAACAUCCACUGACUUCUUUGGAAGGCAUAUGGCUGGCUUGAGACAGCAUAAAAAGAGACCCCUGUUUUCAAGAUCCCACUCUAAGGCAGGUUUUCUAUCUGACCCUGAAAAUCAAUGGGGCCACCAUCUUUCUUUGAAAUCUUUAUUGGCUGUUUUCAUUACAUGGUAAAACGAACAAAAGAUCCAUUUUUGCUUUGUACUAGAACUCAGUGUUGGGCCUCAGCUAUAUUCAUGCAAAUAAACUUUGUUAAAAACAACAACAGCGGCGACAGCACUGGGGUUGGGAUGAAAAAGCCCAAUUAGAACAGAAAAGCAACUCCCAGUUUUAGCCCUCUCAAUCUGACUUUUAUAUACAGUGAGGGGGGAAAGUAUUUGAUCCCCUGCUAAAUUUGCCCGUUUGCCCUCCGACGAAGAAUUGGCCAGUCCAUAAUUUUAAUGGUAGGUUUAUUGUAGCUGUGAGAGGCAGAAUAACAACAGGAAAACCCCCAGAAACCCCUCAGACCUUGUGGGGGGGCAGACUAUAAUUUGGGGGGGGGGGGAAUGAACGAAUCCCUAUGCCCCACAAAUAACCCAGAGAUGCAUUUUAAAUAAAAGAGCACAUUCUACUCAUGUAAACACACGCUGAUUCCCGGACCAUUCACGGGCCGGACUUAGAAGGCGAUUGGGCCAGAUCCGGCCCGCCGGCCUUAGUUUGCCUACCCAUGCUCUAGUUAGUUGUUUCUAAGCAGCCUUUUCUAGUCUGGAGUAAAAUAACUGCCCCACCCUUAUUCCUGUGCUUACAGUCAUUAGCGCAGAGCAGGAUCCUCACUUAACUUCACACACAGACUUGAACGGAAAAGAGCGUGGAGGAAGCUGAUAAUUCAUGAACUGUAUGUCCCCAAAGGCUGGAUAAAAUGGUGCUAAUGAGCAAUUAGUCAGUGCUAAGUGAUUUUGAAUAUGUGUCCUUAAAAAAGACACAUAUUUUCUAGACCUCCUGACCAGCGACUGGUUCUGCUUAAGGACCGUACUGAGGAGGAGGUAGAAGAAGAAGAGAUGGAGAGCAAUGAGGCAAAGUUCCAUCUCCCAGGUGAACUCUGCUCAGUCUGUCAUGCCCUCCUCUCCAAAUGAUCACAUGGUCCUCGGUUGGUAAUGAACAGGGGGUACUCGGAGAGGAAUGGAUUUGGCCCCCAGGCUGCCAAUUGUUGUUUAGUCAUUUAGUCGUGUCCGACUCUUUGUGACCCCAUGGACCAGAGCACGCCAGGCACUCCUGUCUUCCACUGCCUCCUGUAGUUUGGUCAAACUCAUGCUGGUAGCUUUGAGAACACUGUCCAACCAUCUCGUCCUCUGUCGUCCCCUUCUUCUUGUGCCUUCCAUAUUCCCCAACAUCAGGGACUUUUCCAGGGAGUCUUCUCUUCUCAUGAGGUGGCCAAAGUAUUGGAGCCUCAGCUUCAGGAUCUGUCCUUCCAGUGAGCACUCAGGGCUGAUUUCCUUCAGAAUGGAUAGGUUUGAUCUUCUUGCAGUCCAUGGGACUCUCAAGAGUCUCCUCCAGUACCAUAAUUCAAAAGCAUCCAUUCUUUGGCAAUCAGCCUUCUUUAUGGUCCAGCUCUCACUUCCAUACCUCACUAAUGGGAAAACCAUAGCUUUAACUAUACGGACUUUUGUCGGCAAGGUGAUGUCUCUGCUUUUUAAGAUGCCAAUUGUAGACUUCUAUUGUAGACCACCAGAGGACGAGAUGGUUGGACAGUGUUCUCGAAGCUACCAGCAUGAGUUUGACCAAACUGCGGGAGGCAGUGGAAGACAGGAGUGCCUGGUGUGCUCUGGUCCAUGGGGUCACGAAGAGUCGGACACGACUAAACGACUAAACAACAACAAUUGUAGACCACAGGGACAUUCAGUUAGUUUUGGUGUUACAGUGGUACCUCGGGUUACAGACGCUUAAGGUUACAGACGCUUCAGGUUACAGACUCCAUUAACCCAGAAAUAUUACAUCGGGUUAAGAACUUUGCUUCGGGAUGAGAACAGAAAUGGUGCGGCGGCGGUGGGAGGCCCCAUUAGCUAAAGUGGUACCUCAGGUUAAGAACAGUUUCAGGUUAAGAACGGACCUCCAGAACGAAUUACGUUCUUUAACCCGAGGUACCACUGUAUUCCCCAAGCUCGUGAGCAGAUGGGGCUCAUCAGCUUGGGAAGGUAGCCCAUCUAGGAGAAGGAAAACACUGAUUCUAAACCUCUGCUGCCUUGUGGGAUAUCUUCAGAAGAAGAAAAGGCUCAGGAGAAAAUCAUAUACAAAUGGAGUCCUUAAGGACAGUUGGAUGGCGCCUUGUACGCCUCCUUCUGGCAACUUCUGCAGCUAAGCUGGUGCCAAACAUAUUGCUCUGCUUUCCUUUGGACCACAUCAGUGAGGCCAAGAGAAGGGUGUCUGGGCAGCCUAGAUCCUGGAUCCAAGGCUUGUGCCUCAGGGAGGUAACUGAAUUUAACCCUGUAGUGUGUGUCAUAGACUCACCGAAUCAUAGAAUUGUACAGUUGGAAGGGACCCCAAGGGUCAUCUAGUCCAACCCCCUGCAAUGCAGGGAUCACAACAUUUUGAAUCUGAAGCAAAAGCCUUGAGUCGGGUCGGGGAGCUCAGAUGCUCUGCUGCUUCCUCAGAGAGCCCAUGAAGUGUUUAAAUCACAAUGGUUUUAGAUUUGUUCGAUCCUGCGGAGUGUUAAAAGGUACCCUCAUUGCAUUCCGUUAUUGACAAAUUUUAGCAAAUUAAGGUAUCAUAAAUAAUUGGUUUUUAUGAAAAAGAUGUCACUUUUGGUUUUCAGUUUUAUUGUAUGUACCAAAAUAGAGUAUUUCUGGCUCGGAAGACAUUGGGAUGAACUACCUUCUGCAUCAUAUUAUUAUUGGGUUUUUGCAUAUUUGUGGCUUGCCUCUCUUUUUUCUUCCUUUCAAAUUUUCACAAACCAUUUGGCAAGUUCACCAUACACAAAAAAAAGCCCAUUUAAUUAUUUUUCUAAUUUCAUUACCAUUGACAGGCUGCCUUAAAUUGUUUAUACAUAAUACGGGAUUAACAAUGUGCAAUUAAGAAUAUCUCUGAACACCCCUAAGAAUACCUAACUGCCUUAGGGUAGAUUAAUGUGUGUUUGUGAACAGAGACUAGGACAGGAAGCUGUUUUGUUGAUGCAGAGUCGAAACUUUACAGAAGGCUUCGUAAUUACAAUUGUGAAAACUUAAUAAGCCGUUUAUAUUUUUUAAUAAAAUUCACAGGCUGAUUGAAGCCCAAUUUACCAGCUGCGGCCUAGCAUCUUCCAUAUUUAUGCAAAUGAAGUAUGAACAGAUGAGUUAGCUUACUUACAUUUAACUAGCAUGUGGAAGUUUUUCUUGCUUGUUGACUCACAAUAGGCCUGCAGUGUGGUUGAUAGUGCUAAAUGGGGAUGACGGUCCUGUCUGAGGGGCCAUCAAGGAACCCCACUGUUAAGAUAAUGGCAGUGUGGCUUUCCAAGUCACCUGCGCUUGAGAAGGUGAAGGGAGUAAAUUUGAUGGGAUCAUAUGCGGUGGGGGCUGUUCCUCUGCAGAGCGGAUUUCAUUUCUUCUUAACCUAUAGUAAUGCUGCUUUUAAUUUUCCAUUUCUAUUAGUAUCAAUUAUUUAACCUCAUGAAUAUUAACAGGCAACCUCAAUUUAGUAUUUUUAAUUCUGUUUAGUAAAUUAAAAAAGAAAACGCAGGACCUGUGGAGAAAUUGCUUUCUGAGGUUCUGCUGCCUGACAGUGGUGUAGCCAGGUUAUUUUAGAUUCUGGAUGCAAUGGUCUUAACUCCACUCUGUCACACCUCCUAGAACUGUAGAGUUGGAAGGGACCCUAAGUGUCAAUCUAAUCCAACCCCCUUCGAUUCUGGAAUCCUGCCCGCUGCCGUCCCCGGGUGGGCUCAGACCACCAACCCUCUGGUUAACAGCCAAACACGCUGACCCAUUGUUCCUCCGGGGUCUUAUCUGCAUAAUGGGACGCAGGUGGUGCUGUGGUCUAAAUCAUUGAGCCUCUUGCACUUGCCGAUUGGAAGGUCGGCGGUUCAAAUCCCCACGACAGGGUGAGCUCCCAUUGCUCUGUCCCAGCUCCUGCCAACCUAGCAGUUCGAAAGCACACCACUGCAAGUAGAUAAAUAGGUACCACUGUGGUGGGAAGGUAAAGAGCAUUUCCGUGCACUCUGGUUUCUGUCACGGUGUCCGGUUGUGCCAGAAGCGGUUUAGUCAUGUUGGCCGCAUGACCUGGAAAGCUGUCUGUGGACAAACACCUGCUCCCUCGGCCUGAAGCAAGAUGAGCACUGCAACCCCAUAGUCACCUUUGACUGGACUUAACCAUCCAGGGGUCCUUUACCUUUACCUUUUUACCUAUCUGUAUAAUAGAAGCGUAGAAUCCUAUUCUUUAGAUGACAGUGGGUAUUGCUAUACAGAUUUCAAAAUGUAGUCCUCCAGCCCUGUUUGGGAGCCCUCGUGGUCAUUCUGCCAUGUGGGACCCUGGGCAUUUGUCCUGCUGGCCACACCGUUUCUUGAACACUAAAUUCUGCAAACGAGAGUGAGAAUUCUAGCUGAUGGAAGCGCUUCAAUCCCAGUAACAAAGUGUCAAGGUAACAAGUGAGGUUAGGCAGCUAUGUGAGUUCAGCAGUGGGGGGGGGAAGGGGCCGUGCCAGACUACGCUGCCUUCUUCUGAUGCAAUCAACCCCAAACUCCAAAGUAAAUUGCCACAAUAAGCAACAAUAACAGGUGUGUGAGUGGAAAGGCAGCAGCGGUGUGUGGGGACUAUCCAGAAUGUCACAUACACAACUGUAUUCUUGCUGACACCUGCGUGUUCUUGGUGGAACGAGCUCCUGGCACACAAGGAACAAGUUUGUUCCCUUGAGGCUAAGUUAGCUGUUGCAGAGAACCUGAGAGAGUCGGACACAUUUGGGGAUGCAAUAAUUGUGUCCCACUCUCAGCCUAACAGCUUUUCCACUGUCACUGUUACUGAGAGUCUUGAGGAAGGAGGUCGUCACUCUGAGGAAGAUGGAAAGCAUCCAUUAGAAGAAACCCGUUCCUCGGGGAACAAACAAAUGCCCUUUUGGGUUGACGAUACUCCCCUGUAGAACAGAAGCUUCUGUGUAGUGGAUAAUUUGAUCAUUAGGGACAUAGAUACCUGGCUUUGUAAUGAGGGUGCAGACUACCAGGUGACUUGACUGCCUGGCUCAAAGAUAGUCAUGCAUCAUCUAGCUAGACUGGUAGAUGGUGCUGAGGAGUGGUGCAUUUUAGCACCAGUGACGUGAGGAAAUAUCAUUGUGCGGUCUUGGAAGCAAAAUGUAGGUUGCUAAGUAGGAUGUUGAAAGCCAGGAGCUUCAAGGUACCAUUCUCUGAAAAGCUCCCCAUUCCAUUCAAAGCACUUUACAAGACAGGCAGGACGUGUGAUAAAUGCAAAGGCACAUUUUGGGACAGGUUGGCUCUGUACAAAAGGGCAUUGGCUUCACUUGAACCAGGAUGGAACCAGAGUAUUGAGAUUUAUUUUUUAUUUUUUUUAAAAGGGUGCCAGAGUCGCAUGAAAGCUAAUUUCAGGGGGAAACUGAGGAGCAUCUGGUUCACGAUAAAAGCAUCCCUAAGCGAUGAUAGCUAAAAUGGGAUGGAGCAGAAGAUAGCAAUGCAAAGAGGCCAAAGUGUUGUACCGAAAUAAUAAUUUCAAGAAAUCCACAGAGUGUUGUACCGUAAAAUACACAUGCCAAAGACAUUUGGAGAGAUCUUAUUUAGGCAUCUGGAUGCCAGUGCUGGAGGUCUCCAAGUCAAGAUGGGCAAGCUGGAGUACUUGGCCUUUGAAGAGAGCAUAAAUCUAAUGGAAAAUUAGAAAUUAGAAAAUUAGGAACCUCGUGGAAUGGAGAGAACCAGCGGGGGCACUGUUAUCUCUGGGUGCAAAUUCUACAGGAAGGACAGGGAAAUUCCAGGAAAGUACAACACAGUAACAUAUGAGAAGACUGGUUAUAAGGAACUUGAUAGGGGAAAUGAAGAUGGUCAGGUGUCUCUAGAAUCAUAGAAUCAUAGAGUUGGAAGAGACCACAAGGGCCAUCUAGUCCAACCCCCUGCCAAGCAGGAAACACCAUCAGAGCACUCCUGACAUAUGGUUGUCAAGCCUCUGCUUAAAGACCUCCAAAGAAGGAGACUCCACCACACUCCUUGGCAGCAAAUUCCACUGUCGAACAGCUCUUACUGUCAGGAAGUUCCUCCUAAUGUUUAGGUGGAAUCUUCUUUCUUGUAGUUUGGAUCCAUUGCUUGGCUAACAAUCAAAGCUCAGUUAGAAAUGUACCAUCAGGGUCAAGAGGGUACCAGCAUGGCUAAUGGGCAGAGCGGAAGACUCGAGCAAGUGAGACAAAGUUGAUAUGGCAGACAGAGGCAAAACAGAACCAACCAACUUCAGAACAAACAGCAGUGAAAAUCAAUGAGUGAAAGUGGACUUGUUAGCCAAUGUGACUUGAAUAAAAAUCCUUUCCCAAGGUACACUGGAAAUUGAUAGGCUGGGUGUGAUGGGAGUUGGGGUCCGAUAUCUCUGGAGAGCGCCAGGUUGGCAAAUACUGCCCCAGGCCUUAGAUGCUAUAAUUGCCACUUCAUUUGAGGGUUGUGUUAAAACAGCCCCUUCCCAUAUACACCAGAGAUACCUAGCAAUCUGGACCAGAUAACAUCAGAUGCUUUUCUCCUGGAGCGGGGGGAGUGGCACACCUCUUUUGGAGCGGCUCAGCAACCUGUUGCUCCUGACUCAUGCAACUGCAUAGGUCACAGAGGAGCAUGGUGGUGCUGAUUGCCCAUUCCUCCAGGUUAUAGAUAUUUCUGUGAUUUAGGAUGAUGAGGAGGAGGAGGAGGAGGAUAUAUUUAUACCCCACCCAUCUGGCUGGGUUUCCCCAACUACUCUGGUCAGCUUCCAACAAAAGAUUAAAACAGGGCUGCCUUCAGAUGUCUUCUAAAUGUCAGGUAGAUAGUCAGGAUCACAGUAAUUGAUCGUAGCCUUGCUACGAUAUGAGUUUGUACGAUAGAUUUUUUAAUGAAAACAGGACUGCUGGAACCUGUAGCCUUCUACAUGUGCUAGAGUAGAACUCCCUGUCAUUCCACAUGCUGGCUAGCAUUGAUGGAGAGUUCAUUCAUUCAUUCAUUGAAUUUAUAUACUGCCCUAUACCAGGACGUCUCAGGUUGAGUUGAGACCCAACAAUACUGGGAGGUAUGCAAGUUCCUAGAUCAGCCUUUCUCAACCUUGGGUCCCCAGGUGUUUUUGGCCUACAACUCCCAUCAUCCCUGACCACUGGUCCUGUGAGCUAGGGAUCAUGGGAGUUGUAGGCCAAAAACAUUUGGGGACUCAAGGUUGAGAACCACUGUCCUAGAUGCUUCCUCUACCUAAAAUACAUAAAUGGUUUCCCCUUCACUGGAGGUUUUUAAGCAGAGGUUGGAUGGCCGCCUGUUGUGGAUGCUUUAGUUGAGAUUUUUUGCAUUGCAGGGGGUUGGACUAGAUGAUGAUAACAACAACAACAACAACAACAACAACAACAACAACAACAAAUUUUAUUUAUACCCCACCCUCCCCAGCCAAGACCGGGCUCAGGCUGGCUGACACCCGAUAUAAAAACAAAUUGAUUGAAAUACAACUUUAAAACAAGAUUAAAAUACAACAUUAAGACAUUAAAAUACAGCCUCAUUUCAAUGGAAACUCAAAUCAAAACUUUUUUGGGUCAAGUCUUCACCAAGGCUAACUAUCUAGACUGGUCCUACAUGGGCCAGAAAAAAAGCCAGGGAGGUCCCCAAAUAGGAGUUUCAUCACAGGAGGAGAAAGGAAAAAAGAAGAGGGGGAGGGAAUCAAAUUGAUUCCAAGGCAAAGGCCAGGCAGAACAACUCUGUCUUACAGGCCCUGCGGAAAGAAAUCAGAUCCUGCAGGGCCCUGGUCUCAUGAGACAGAGCAUUCCACCAGGCCGGAGCCAGUGUUGAAAAGGCCCUGGCUCUGGUUGAGGCUAAUCUGACUUCCUUAGGGCCCGGGACCUCUAGGGUGAUGCUAUUUAUGGACCUUAAGGUCCUCGGUGCGGCAUACCGGGAGAUGCAGUCCCGUAGGUACGAGGGUCCUAGUCCCUUCCAACUCUACAAUUCUAUGAUUCCAUGAGAUAAAUGGGGUUAUCUGUAGCAUUGCUGUCUAGCUUUCUGCGUAACAUCACAUUAACAUGGACAGUGUAUCCAGCUGCUGCCAGAUACAAUCUAAUAUGCUGACAGCUCCACUCCAGCCAUUUCAAACAGAAGAGGUUUUGCAGGCUCUUUAUUUGACGAGCAUCCCAUAAAUGCACUAGCGCUGUUCAAUCAAGCUGUGUGUGAAACUUGAAGGAAGGAUCUGCCAGGAAAGGGGAAGGCUGGGGGAAGAGUAUAGAAAAGCACUUGAGAAUGAUCCUAACAUACACAUUACAUUCCAGAUUAUGUUAUAUUGCAUUGUUUAUUUCAUUUACGAAUUGCUUUCCUGCAAGGCAUCUCAAAGAUAUUUACGUAAUAACACAUAUAAAACAAUUACAUGAGUUUCAUGUACAGGCAGUGACUGAUUUAUGUGUGUCCAAUGGAUGCUUGACUGCGCAUGUGCGCAUCGCAGCAACCUGGAAGUGGCCGGAAAAGGGGAUGGAACAGGGGGCGUAUCAGGGCAGAGUGGGCUUAUGUGUGCUCUGUUGACAUGCCGGCGGGGGGGGGGUCAGGAGCGUAACCCCCGCUCAAAUCGGUUGCCGCCUGUAUAAAAACAGUUAAAAACAACGAUGCCCUAUUAAGAAAAAACCAUUUUAAAAAAACUAUGAAUAUAAAAACAGUUUUAAACAGCAACACAUGCAUAAAAUCAAUUCGGAUCCAGGACUGGGAUAAAGCUUUUCGAAGGCUUGUUGAGACACAAAUAGCAUAUGUGUGUGGAUGUAUUUAGGGAAGAGUUAGAGAGCAUCCGGGAAAUAACAUUUGUGAAUCUGCACAGAGCAAGUAAUGCAGAUUUAUGGGUCUGCUUGCUAAAGUUUUAGAUUUGUGCUUAAUUUGCUUUGCGGGUCUGCUCCGUCCUUCCUGAGAGCACUAAAAACGGUUGUCUCCCGUUCGGCAGUGCAUUUGCAAAACAGCCUAAUAUGAUUUGUGCCUGAAUUUAUACUUCAGUUGGGAAUUCAAGUUCUGACUAUUUCCUCGUAUUAAAAUCCUCAGGUCCUCCUGAAUAGGUUCAUCUGAAAAACAGGACUGUCUUAACAGUCUUUUAUACCCAAGACUUGUAAAGGAUCGAUACAUUUCCCAUCAGAACAGUAAAUUACUUACUGAACCGCUUCCAGUAAUCAUGAUGUACAAUUUCAUGUUAACGCUUCCCCUUCUCCACCCAGAAUUUUCUUGACAGUGUCAGAUGGCUUCCCUGCAACCUUGCCCACCCCCCGCAAAAGAAUAAUGGGUUUAAAAUGAAUAGUUAGCCCAUUACAUGCUUGGGUAGGGUUUAGCAUUGCAUUCAUCAUUAUGGUGGAGCCACAGCUCCAAGGAUGUAACUAUCUAAUGCCGGAAUGAGGAUGUUGUUAAGACGACAGCACUCACCAUCGCUGUACUGGCUGGGGCUUAUACAAACUGAAGUCCAACAACCACAAACUUGGCAGUCAUUUAUACCCAAGGCUUGUAAAGGACUAAUACAUUUUCCAUCAGGUCAGUAAAUUGCUUAAGCUUGUGGGCCACAAGCUUAACAUGAGUCAACAGAGCGAUGCAGCAGCAAAAAAAAAAGGCAAAUGCUAUUCCAGACUGCAUCAACAGAAGUAUAACGUCCAGGUCAAGAGAAGUAAUAGUACUUCUCUGUUCUGCUUUAGUGAAACCACACCUGAAGUACUGUGUCCAGUUCUGGGCAUCACAAUUUAAGAAGGAUAUUAGCAAGCUGGAGAAGAAGAAGAAGAGUUUGGAUUUGAUAUCCCUCUUUAUCACUCCCCUAAGGAGUCUCAGACUGUAGUCAGAAAUGUAAACUACUUGUUCCAUUGUCCUUCCGUGGCUUUUCUGUUGCUUUGAGUUGCAAACCACCUUGAGGGGUAAACCCUUGGUCGAAAGGAAAGGCAACAAAGGAAGUACAUAAAUAAAGCUGCCUUUCUACCAGGUCAUGCUCUUGGGCCCCUGUAGACAACCUGUUUGUUGGGCAGGGCUGGGGGGCUUUUAGCCCAUGCGAUGGGCUACUGGGCCUCUCUGCUUGGCCCACCAGGCCAUUUUGGAGAAGCCAUACCUACCCAUCCUACACUUGGUACCAUAGCUGAGGUGGGUGGGGGCCAGAUCCAAAUGUGAUGGGGGCCAUCCCCAAUUGUCUCUUGUCUGCCUUUCCUCUCUGUGUCUCUCCUUCUCCCUUCUCCCUCCACCUCCCUUUCUGGUGCCCCCUUCUCUGGGGACAGGGUAUAGGUCACUCUUGCCUGAAAUAUGACCCUAUCCACUUGCACUAUCCCUCCUGCUUCUCCCUCACUCGAUCCAUUUCAGCCUUCCCCGGCCCCACUUUUACCCCCUCACUCUCCCCCUCUGGACUCCCUCCUACUGCAAGAAAUUGGGCUUCAGGUCACAGGUUCCUCUCCCCUCCUUUAGCUGGAGAGGCCAGGGAACCUGAGACCUUCUGCAUUCAAAGCAUGUACUCCUCCACCCUUAAACUGCGGUCUUUUCCCUGUGGCUCCACUUUUACUUCCAUAGGCUAGCAAGUCUUCUACCAGUGUAUGCAUUGGAUUUAAGGCAAGCUUUCCCCCACCCCCACCCCAUUUCUGGUGACUGUACUAGUCCAGCUCUGAACCUGGAUCUCCGGAGUGGAAGCUAAUUAACUUGCUGAGCCAACACGCACCUUUUUUCCCCACCCCAGCGCCUGCCCUGUUGUGAAUCAGAUUGUUUCACAGGGGAGGGAUAUUAGCAAGGCAGGCGGGUUUUAUCUGCUAGAAUAAGGACAUUUACAGCAUGUAGAAAUUUUAUUCAUUAAAUGGAAAUCCUUGGGUAAUCUCUCUCUCUCUUCUUUUUUUGGAUACAGGCCGUGCGCUGCUCAGGCUGACAGACAAAAAGCUGGAGCGGAUGGGGAUUGCCCAGGAGAGCUUGCGGCAGCACAUUCUUCAGCAGGUCCUCCAGCUCAAGGUGCGCGAGGAAGUCCGAAACCUCCAGCUGCUCACGCAAGGUAGGAAACACAAAGGACCGCAGGAGGGAAACAGUUGCAUGAGAGCAUACUUGAGAUUGCUUUGAUGUUCUCCUGCACGAACUGUUGCGCGGAGAGGCGUCAUGGGGCCAGAGUGACCACCUAGAGGUAAACACGAAUAGAUCAACAUGCAUAUCCGUUAGGAUAAGAGCAAUUCCUUUCUUCCUGUUUUCAAAGCACGACCCGCACACAUUGUCCAUCAGCAUGCUAGUGGCUGUGUUGCUAAUCCCGCCACCAAUGUCUGAAAGCACAUUGGCCUUACUGGGAGGGUACACCUGCUUAUGUUCAUCAAUAUCACUUGUUUUCCCCACCUGAUUUCUGUAGCGUUGGCUGCCACUGGCAGAACCCAGGAAAUGUACCAUGCGAUGAUGGUUUCAGCAAUAGUGCUGUGUUAAGUGCGAUACUGAGUUCUGCCCUCUUUUCCCGUGAUAUGUCUAACUAUUCUGGGUCUUUGUGUGAGUAAGAGAGGAAGGAGAGAGAACUCGGGGUCUGCUGUUUCUAAUGGCUGUUUGGAGUGAAGUGUAGAGCUUAGACUACUGCAAUGCGCUCUACAUGGGGCUACCUUUGAAGGUAACCCAGAAACUACAACUAAUCCAGAAUGCGACAGCUAGACUGGUGACUGGGAGUGGCCACCAGGACCAUAUAACACUGGUAAUGAAAGACCUACAUUGGCUCCCAGUACAUUUCCGAGCACAAUUCAAAGUGUUAGUGCUGACCUUUAAAGCCCUAAACGGCCUCGGCCCUGUAUACCUGGAGGAGUGUCUCAUAGAAUCAUAGAAUCAUAGAGUUGGAAUAGACCACAAGGGCCAUCGAGUCCAACCCCCUGCCAAGCAGGAAACACCAUCCCCAUUGUUCAGCCCAGACACUGAGGUCCAGCUCCGAGGCUCUUCUGGCGGUUCCCUCACUGCGAGAAGUGAGGUUACAGGGGCCAUCUCAGUAGUGGUGCCCGCCCUGUGGAAUGCCCUGUGGAAUGCCCUCCCAUCAGAUGUCAAGGAAAUAAAUAACUCUCUGACUUUUAGAAGAAAUCUGAAGGCAGCCCUGUUAUGGAAGUUUUUAAUAUCGUGCUUUUAAUACAGUGAUACCUCGAGUUACAAACGCCUCAGGUUUCAAACACUUCAGGUUACAAACUCCGCUAACCUGGAAGAGUUACCUUGCGUUGAGAACUCUGCCCCAGGAUGAGAACAGAAAUCGUGUGCCAGCAGCGCAAGGGCAGCAAGAUGCCCCAUUAGUGAAAGCACGCCUCUAGUUGAGAACAGUUUCAGGUUAAGAAUGGACCUCUGGAAUGAAGUAAGUUCGUAAAUAGAGGCACCACUGUAUUCUGUUGGGAGCCGCUCAGAGUGGCUGGGGAAACCCAGCCAGAUGGGCAGGGCAUAAAUAAUACAUCAUCACCAUCUUCAUCUGAUCCCACUGUAAAUUAUUCUACGCUAACUGAGGCUCACCAAACAUGUCACAAAGAAAACUCUCCUAGCUGUAUGGCGAGGAGGUGUCUGACUAGUAAAUUAUCUUCAGUCACAGGGCUGAAGGAACUGGGAAGUUUGUGCCCAUGUAGCAUCUCAGUAUAGGGACGUGGGUGACGCUGUGGGUUAAACCACAGAGCCUAGGACUUGCCGAUCAGAAGGUCGGCGGUUCGAAUCCCCAUGACAGGGUGAGCUCCCGUUGCUCGGUCCCUGCUCCUGCCAACCUAGAAAUUCGAAAGCACAUGAAAGUACAAGUAGAUAAAUAGGUACCGCUCUGGCGGGAAGGUAAACGGCAUUUCCGUGCGCUGCUCUGGUUCACCAGAAGCAGCUUAGCCAUGCUGGCCACAUGACCCGGAAGCUGUACGCCGGCUCCAUUGGCCAAUAAAGCGAGAUGAGCGCAGCAACCCCAGAGUCGGCCACAACUGGACCUAAUGGUCAAGGGUCCCUUUACAUUUACCUAGCAUCUCGAUACCACAGCAGCUGGUAAAGAGAGAAGCAUGCACUUUGGACACUGAACAUGUUGCCUGACAUUUCUGGUUCCCUUUUUCAGUGAGAAUUAUUCAGGCAACUGGGACCUAAAGCAUACUAUGUACCGGCUAGAGAUGUAAUCAGUUGCUCCCAUUUUUGAAUGGCUAUUACAUAUCAUUACCAGCAGGUUUAAAAAAGAAAUGUCUGUGGAACACAUGCCGUUUGUAGUCCAUUAUUUUCAACUUGCAGUUUUUCAAAUGGGGAAGCGACGACAGCUGCUAUAGGAGGCACAAACGCAGCCAUAUGUCUCCCAGUCUCUCUCCUCCUGCGUCUCAACUGGACUAAGACUUUACACCUCCUCCUACUUGCUGGAACAUAUUGGCUUUCUAUUACCCAUGUUGUCUCGACUGCUGACUUUGCCCAUUCUCGAGAGUGUUCCCCUUUCUGCCUGGAAGACAGCAGAAUCCACAUUGCAGUGCCUCAAAACUCCUGGGUCUCGUUUGGAACUCUCAUGCAGGAUGCAAAUUCGAUUCAGGCUGCAUUUAAAGCCAAAUCUCAGAUUUGCACUUUUCGAACCCAAAACACAGCCAUCCUUUGAAAUUCACACUUCUCCAAAUUUCACCAUGCAGUUCUCUCACCAAAUGCAUACGUUAGGGGGAAGUGUGCAUGAAAACCAAUACAGUGGUACCUCGGGUUACAUACGCUUCAGGUUACAGACGCUUCAGGUUACAGACUCCACUAACCCAGAAAUAGUACCUCGGGUUAAGAACUUUGCUUCAGGAUGAGAACAGAAAUUGCGCGGCGGUGGCGUAACGGCAGCGGGAGGCCCCAUUAGCUAAAGGGGUGCUUCAGGUUAAGAAUAGUUUCAGGUUACGACCGGACCACCAGAACGAGUUAAGUGUGUAACCAGAGGGACCACUGUAUCUUAGUUAAAAUGACACAUUCCAAAUUUCAGUCCAUAUAUGCCAUACCAGGUUAAGCAAAACAUAUGUAACAAGUAACAGUUUCAUAUUCAUUCAUAACUUUCCAGACUCUAGGGUAAAGCUACCCUAUAACAUAACAUACAUGAGAUCGUCUUCUCCUUCUGUUGUUGUUGUUGUUGUCUGCAAGGCCAGUAAGUAUAUUUUGCAAGGCAGUACACCCUCUCUUUUUCCUAUCAACAACCAAGGAUGAAGUGGCAGGUUGUGGGCGGAAGGAGGGAGCAUUUUAAUGGAGAAAAGAAGAAAAACGGACCUUAAAUGGUUGGUGGAUUCAUUGAUGGAAACUCACUCUGACAAAUUAUGAGAAUCCCUUUCAGGUAGCUGGCCCUCGGGGAUCUAAUUCUUAAUGUAAGCCCGCUCAGAGAAGUUAAUGCUAUGCCAGCCAAGGCUAUGAAUCGCUCACAAGACUUAGAUUGGGGUCAGUAGUUCACGGUAGUGCUGCCAAUAGUUCUGGAUAUAACCCUGGGGGUGAGCACCCCAGAGGAUUGCUUGACUAAGAGGUAUGGUAGGCCUGUCAGGGGGAGGCCCCUCCAGUGCUCUUACUCUGAACUGUCCAAGUCAAUUUCAUUUGUGGUGUCGCUCCUCUGAAGUUGGUCGCUGCAAGACAUCCAUGUGUCAUUCCAAAGGGAUUCGAGGUGUCGCUCUUAAACACUCGAGCUUGUUGCAUUCCAUUCUCUGGGUGGUAUACAGGAAACCUUUGUGUGUGUGGCGGGGGAGAAAGCAACCAUAUUCUGUGUUAUUAUUAUUAUUAUUUUAAAAACUAUGUUUUACUGCGCACACACAAAUAUUAUGCAGAACAUAGUAUCCCAUUUGUAGAUUGGAUGACUAUAUUUGGCAGCCUGUUGAAGCAAUAUCAAGAGCAGCUCGCACAGUUAGGAGGCUGCCAUUGCAAACUGUAAUUAAUCCAGAAUGCCACAGCUAGACUGGUGACUGGGAGUGGCCGCCGGGACCACAUAACACCGGUCCUGAGAGAUCUGCAUUGGCUCCCAGUACGUUUCUGAGCACAAUUCAAAGUGUUGGUGCUGACCAGGGAUCCAGGAAGAGGGCCAUCUCGGUAGUGGUGCCCGCCCUGUGGAACGCCCUCCCUUCAGAUGUGAAGGAAAUAAGUAGCUAUCUUAUCUUUAAAAGACAUCUGAAGGCAAGUUUUGGGAAGUUUUAAAUAUUUAAUGCUGUAUUGUUUUUAACAUUUGAUUGGAAGCCGCCCAGGAGGAAACUCAGCCAGAUGGGCGGGGUAUAAAUAAUAAAUUUUUAUUAGUUUUAUUGUUGUUGUUGUUAUUAUUAUUAUUAUUAUUAUUAUUAUUAUUAUUAUUAAAAUAUUCCUACCCUUUCGUCAGACAAAAUCUUCCUGGUGACCCCUAGAUGUUUUGAACCACAGCUCCCAUUUGCCCCAACAAGUAUGGCCAGUGGUGAGGGAUGGUGGAAGUUGUAAGUCCCAGUUUUGGGAGGGGGGGUCCACAUCAGGAUGUACCUAACAGCACUCCUGGAGGUAACCCACAUCCCUUCAUUUGCUAAAUCUCAUUCUGGCCUUACUGAUUGCUGCCGUUGGGUCUUCUUCUUUCUGCCCACAAAAAGCCCUAAGCCAUAUUGGGAUUUUGUUCUGUUAGUUUUGCGUGAAUUAAUUCCUGUAAGCAAAGGUUCUAUGUGGGGCUACCUUUGAAGGUGAUCCGGAAACUACAACUAAUCCAAACUGGGAGCGGCUGCCGAGACCACAUAACACCGGUCUUGAAAGACCUACAUUGGCUCCCAGUACGUUUCUGAGCACAAUUCAAAGUGUUGGUCCUGACCUUUAAAGCCCUAAAUGGCCUCAGUCCAGUAUACCUGAAGGAGCGUCUCCACCCGCAUCAUUCUACCCAGACACUAAGGUCCAGCGCCGAGGGCCUUCUGGCGGUUCCCUCACUGCGAGAAGUGAGGUUACAGGGAACCAGGCAGAGGGCCUUUUCGGUAGUGGCACUCGCCCUGUGGAACGCCCUCCCACCAGAUGUCAAAGAAAACAACAACUACCAGACUUUUAGAAGACAUCUGAAGGCAGCCCUGUUUAGGGAAGCUUUUAAUGUUUGAUACAUUACUGUAUUUUAAUAUUUUGUUGGAAGCCACCCAGAGUAGCUGGGGAAGCCCAGCCAGAUGGGCGGGGUAUAAAUAAAUUAUGAUGAUGAUGAUGAUGAUGAUGAUGAUGAUGAUGAUUAUAUUCCAUUACUAGGCCAGAUUUCUUCAGGAUAAAUUAAUUCUAGUUCCCAACCUCCAGCUCCUUUCCUCCUCGCCACACUUGUAAGGGCGCAGGCCUGACCUGACUGCCUCACCUCUCUGAGCUUGUCUGCAAGAAAUUCUGAGAGUUUGUUGAACUAUUUCGAGAAAAAGAUCUGCAGAUUUGUCUCUCUGGAAGAGCUGUUGGAGGAGGGGGGCGGCGGGUGGUGAUGGAGGAAUCAUUAUCAUACUUCCCUAAUCCUGAUUCAUAGGAGGAAGAAGCCUGCUUUGUGCAUCGCCCCGAUGAUCACAUGAAACUAUUUUUGGAUAUUCAUUGCUAGCGGAGCUCUGGGCUAGAUUGGCUGGUGUGUCUCCCUUAGCUCAGGCACAUCAGCUUCAUGUGUGGGCUGGUGUGCGUUGCCGAAACAGAGCUCGCCUUGUUGUGGGGUCUGUUGCUGUUGCUCAGAGCCGGGGAAUAUUUGGGUUGCGUAUUUUUCAUGCAUUCCUUCCUUGUAUCCUCUUAAGGCGGCUUUGAGUGGCGCUUGCUGUGUUGAGUUUAUUCGCUUGAUAAUGCAAUUGCCAAGACGAAACGAAAGGCAGGCGCCAUUAGGUUGCAUUAACAGAACAUUUGGUAAGUUCCAUCAGAAGCUAAGCAGUUUAAAGAGCUUUAAAGCAUUGCUAGAUCCUGCCUGCAGCUUCAUUGUAAGUAAUGUUUGUGUAUUAGAAAGGCAGGGCAAAACAGCGAUAAUAACUAUGAAAAUAGUAAUAAUAAUAAUUAAUAUGCAAGUGAUGAAUGGUUUAAUAGUUGGCUAAAGACAUCAACGAACAGUUUUAGAUUUCCUCUCUAUUUUGUCAUCCUUGCUCUUGUAGCCGCUAUAUGUCAAGCUAGCUUAAUUCAUUAUAUGUAUUAUUACAAAAGUUGGGUGCCACCCACACUCUUUGCCAAGUGGUAGCAAAAUUCCUGGGCAUUUACCCCAGGUCUGUGCUGCUUUGGAGAAUCAAGAUGCUAUGGAGACUGCCAUAGCUUUAAGAACUAUGAUUUAUUCGCAUACUUCCAUCUGAAUUAAGAUGGAGGGAGUCUAGAUCUUACAGCUGGUUGUCUCAAGAGGAACUUGUUCCCCACAGUAGUGGAGCACUCAAGUCAAAGGCAUCCCUUUGUCGUUUCUUUUCUCCCUUCUUCUUCCCAUCAUACCUUGCUUUUAAAAAAAGGCUCUUUCUGUCCUGUCACCUCACACACCACAUUACCAUGGCAACCUCUGUCUGCCCAGGUCCAAUAUUCCUUUUACAUGGGCCACCAAGACCUUUUGUCGUUACUACCCUCCAUAAUCUUACAUUCAGACAUUAGCUGAUACAUUUCUCAUCAUCAUGAUGGAUGUGCUUUUUAUACCGUUAUUUAAGAACCUACCAUCAUGUGAAAUCAUCAAGACCCUAGUAUCAUGUCCAUAACUUGAGAAUGGACCACUAUCUCACUUUUUCCAAGGCCUCUCGUUGUUAGGUCGGGACUAUCCUACUCUCCAUUGUCACAAUCUCUCUUUCUCCAAGAUGUUAUAUGGUUGGGAGGAAAGAAGGCAACGCUGUGUCUCUCCCAUCACCACCACCAACAAAGGUAAAGGUAAAGGACCCCUGGAUGGUUAAGUCCAGUCAAAGGUGACUAUAGGGUUGGAGUGCUCAUCUCACUUUCAGGCCAAGGGAGCCAGCGUUUGUCCACAGACAGCUUUCCAGGUCAUGUGGCCAGCAUGACUAAACCGCUUCUGGCGCAACGGGACACCGUGACGGAAACCAGAGCGCACAGAAACACCGUUUACCUUCCUGCCGGAGCGAUACCUAUUUAUCUACUUGCACUGGUGUGCUUUUGAACUGCUAGGUUGGCAGGAGCUGGGGCAGAGCAACGGGAGCUCACUCCGUCGCGGGGAUUCGAACCGCCGACCUUCCGAUCGGCAAGCCCAAGAGGCUCAGUGGUUUAGACCGCCACCAUACUGUAGGGAACAGGAGAAUUGGAUUCUGCUGCAUGCUGCUCUGCCAGUGGCAUUCCACCCUUAGUGGGCAGCUCCUGCACUGCUGUGUGUGCUUUUCUGCCAUGCCAUGCCUGCUGUCUCUCCCCUCUAUGAUGUCCCCUCCACCACCAAUGCUGCUGCCUCUGCUGCUACAUUUGGAAAGAGGACACCUGAUCCAAACCCGCUGCACUUGCUGCCCACCCCGCAACUGAUCCCCAUCAUUGCUAUGGUGAGAGACGAACAUGAGAGAUGUAGCUGGUUCUUCUCACCUGCCCUUCCUCUUCCCUAGGUCUCCUCUUCCCACCUUGGGGCCUCUGUAGUCUCAGCCACACCAUUUUCAGUCCUCCUAGAGCAGCCUUUCUCAACCUGUGGGUCCCCAGAUGUUGUUGAACUACAAAUCCCAUCACCCCUAGCUAGCAAAGCCAGAGCUCAGGAAUGAUGGCAGUUGUAGUCCAACAACAUCUGGAGACCCACAGGUUGAGAACAGCUGUGCUAGGGUCUGCUUCCCCAGCGAUUUCACUGCAUAGACCACAACCCGCUCCUCCUCAAUAUUUGGAAAGGUCCCAUCAAGCUAAAAGUGUGAUUUGUCACUGACUUACCAAUGCAAAGUUCAGAGGGCGGAGAGUUGGAUGUUCCUAAGUGAGAGCUGGACCAUAAAGAAGGCUGAUCGUCGAAGAAUUGACGCUUUUGAAUUAUGGUGCUGGAGGAGACUCUUGAGAGUCCCAUGGACUGCAAGAAGAUCAAACCUCUCCAUUCUGAAGGAAAUCAGCCCUGAGUGCUCACUGGAAGGACAGAUCCUGAAGCUGAGGCUCCAAUACUUUGGCCACCUCAUGAGAAGAGAAGACUCCCUGGAAAAGACCCUGAUGUUGGGAAAGAUGGAGGGCACAAGGAGAAGGGGACAACAGAGGACGAGAUGGUUGGAGCAUGAGUUUGACCAAACUGCGGGAGGCAGUGGAAGACAGGAGUGCCUGGCGUGCUCUGGUCCAUGGGGUCACGGAGAGUCGGACACGACUAAACGACUAAACAACAACAACAUUCCUCAUUUGGGGGAAAAGCCAGAACACGGUUGCCGAUGUGUGCGUGCAUGAUUCAUGCAUGGGUGCGGGCUGACACAGGAGGAUUCUUCUUUUGUUAUGAGUCUUGGUCCACCUUCCACAACAUCAUGUGCUGGGAGCUGCUGCCCCUUGCUGCUGCUUGGUGUUUGCCUUCCUCAUAUCCCUGCCCAUUGGGAGUUCCUUAUCCCCUCUUUCAUGCUUCAUGCAUUCGUGACUGUAUAUGCUGCAAGUGCGUUAGCCUUGACACUUCUGAAGUCUGGAGACAGGCCAGGAGCUUUGUGAAAUGCAAGUCUCUGGCUCAGACCCAGUGGGGGGGAAAUGGAAUGAAGAGAUGAAAUAUCAAAAUGCUCUGAAGAACUAGCACAUAGGAAUCGGCUGUUGCUUAUUCAGAUAAUUAGUCCCUCAAACACUACACAACUGAUGCAGAAGAGGGUCUUCGUCUCAGUUGCUGCAACCCACUUUCCCCAGGAAAGCUCACCAGGUGCCGUGUCGGUGACAUGCACAUUUACUGCACUGUUAAAUGUUUUUUUGCUUCUCCCACCCCUUCAUCAGCUUUCUUGGUUUAAGUGAUUUUUCUGCAUUCAUUGUAUUAUUUUAAUGCACUGAGAGAGUUCUACUGAAGGGCAGCUAAAUGAAGAAAAAAAAUCAAUGAAAUAACCUGGUACUUUCUGCUCCAAUUGGUAAUGAUCAAGCAGAGACCCUUUGCAGCCCAUGACAUUCUUUUAACUGCAGGUGCUCAGGAUUGAACCAGGGAGCCUUCUGGAUCAUAGCUGUCAACAUUUCCCUUUUCAAAAGGGAAAUUCCCUUAUUCCGAAUACGAUCCCUCGCAAGAAAAGAGGAAAGUUGACAGCUAUGUUCUGGAUGCAAAAGCAUGUGGCUUAACACCAUGCUAUGACCUUGCUGGUUUUACCUGGCCUAACACCUCUCUGUCUACAUCAAUAUACUCGUACACUGGCAAAGCACCAAAUGCAGAAAUAAUAAGCGUUUGUUUUUUUUUGUUUUUUUAAAUAAUAUUUAUUGAUAAUUUCAGGAUUACAAGAAAAAUAAAAAAUAAAAAACAGCACUACAAUACAAAAAAAAGAAAAAAGUAAAAAAAAGAGAAAAGCACAAAAUAUAAAAACCAAUACAACAAUACAGCAAAAGAAAGUAAAAACGAAGAAAAAAGGGGGGGGGGAACACAAAUCCCAAAUUGCAUAUCCAUAAUUUCCAUUUGCUUGUUUCAUUGAUCUCCUCACACCUCCCUUUUUGUAUUCUAGUUUAGUAAUUAUUUCAGCAAAUUCUUUCCAUCUUUCUCAAUUUUUGUUAUGAAAUUUAUUUUAACAGUUUAACCUAAUAAUUAACUCAACAAGUCCUUUCCAUCUUUCCCCAUAUUCUGUUAUUCAAAUUACCUUAAUUUAUUUAACCUUAUCUUACCCCUAAGUACCUUAAGACUUAAAUCUUAGUUUUCAAAUAUACAUAGCUCCUGAUAUCAUUUCUGCUAGAGUCGUAUAGUUUCAUUCCCACAUUUUCCCUAAUAUUCAUUAAGCUGAUUCUAAAAUAAGAAAUUCCCAUUAUAAAUUCACUUCCAAUCAUCAUCCAGCGUCUCUUCUUCCUGGUCUCGGGUCGUGUCAGUCCUUACUGUCCAUUCCAUCUAGUCCAUCAACCUGGAAGCCUUAUGUCCGAGGCCCUUAAGUCUCUUCCAUGUCCCUUCUGCAAUUCUUCUUCAUCUUGUUUGUGCUUGCCCUUUUCCUUGUCUUUUGUUGGUCUCUGUCUUAGUUUCUUUCCUUUCUCAUUGAGGAGUAGGUCUCUGGGGGAUUCCAACCCAAAAUUGUCUCCAUCACCCUUCAUCCAGCUCGCCCAUUCCCCACAGUCCUACUCCCCACAGUCCUCGAUAUAAUCCAAAAUGUAUUUAAAAUCAAAUUUCAAGAUCUCUCCAAAGCUAGGAACCUCCUCAUCUCCAGACUCCCCUUGGCCCACUCCAACUUCAAUCUUCAAUAACAGCGGCUUAUGCUCCUGUAGGGCCUCGGGUCUCUCCAUUUGUACUAUUUGAGGUGCAGCCGCAUCCUCCUCCAUUGUCAUCUGUACUUGCCCAGUCAGUACAGAUUCAUAGGUUGGUUCCUGAAUAAUUUCUGUAUCAAUGUUCCCUGUUUGUCCACAGUUAUUAACCACAACAGUCAAAUCCAUUUUCUCAUUCAUCAAGUCCAUCUUCUCAUGCAUCUGUUCCAGCAAAGCAUUUGUCUUGUAUAAAGCAAGCACCCAGUCUUCCUCCCAGCUCAUCUUUGUUCAAGGUCAGAAAAGACUGUUCCCACGGUCUUAGUCUCACAGAUGUUGGGUCUCAAAUAUACUACAGCAACAAUUUAGCAAGCUCCCUCUAGAGGAGACAAUCUAUUUGUAUCCAUUUUUUUUUUUGAAGACAAAGGAAAGUUACUUUCAUUUUUCAGAUAUUUCAGAUGUUUUUCAGGUAUUUUGUUUCUUUAAAAUGCAAAAGGCAACAUUAGAAUCAACUUGUUUCUCUUCAUUAGCUAUCUGUCAAAGUAUUACGUUCACAGUCAAUGAACCUCUCCAACAGUUUCUGUCUCUGACACCCCGUUCCCAGGUUAGAGACGGUGGAAACUUAUCCUUCUUCACUUCCUGUCCUGCUAGGGUUAAACAGAGUCCCCCCCCCCUUUUCUCCUGCUUCCAAGGGGGGUUUCAGUGAUUCUGAAUGAAGGAAAUUUAGUCUUUUUUGACAGCUUCCCGGCUUUAGCUUGCAAAAUUUUUGCUUUAGUCUAUAUACAAAAAGCGGAAGGCAGACUUCCUGUUUGCACCUUCCCGCUUCGAUACCAAAUUAAACAAUUUCUUGAUCCAAUUUUCCGUUUCUACUCACGGGUACUUGUUUUAAGUCCAAUUGUCCACAGGAAAAAGUCAGCGCUCUCUGGCAAUGGCUGUGCGGCUUCACUCCGUGAAAGUAGCAGUCAGUUCGUAGCACCGCGCUUCUCACCCCACUUCGCUCCGGAGCCCCUAGAUGGGAUUCCCCGCGAGUAGGGGGGCGCUUCUGGUGCCCUGCCGAACCCCACGUUCCCAGGCUUCCUCCGCCUGGGAUUUCUAGCGGGUCCCCACCUUCGCCGCGGCGGGAAGACCCAGUUUCCACGGAGCCCGUUCCUCCGGUCGGAGGAACUCUGCCAUUCACCAAUGGCGCUGACCCGGAACUCCCAGAAAUAAUAAGCGUUUUGAAUGACAUUUCAUUGAGAAGGUUUUAACCAAAAGGGCAAAUUUUCAGAUCCAUUUUUGUUCUUAGGUAUGAGUGUAAAUAUUUUACAGCUGUUUUAUUAAACAGUAAACUUCAGAGAAGUGGGUUUCUCUCUUUCUUUCUUUCUUUCUUUCUUUCUUUCUCUCUCUCUCUCUCUCUCCCUCUCUCUCUUUCUCAGGGAACUAUUUUCUGUAUAAAUGAAGGCACUUUUUAACUUCAAAGCCCACAGUAAUAUAUUACCCUGAAGGUCACAGUUAAAAACCUGUCAAUAUAUGUAUUCAUAGUAAAUCAAUUUCAGUUAAAUCAAUGCAAAGUCUGACGGGAAAAAUACCUCACUAUUGAUCGGAAGGAGAAGCCGAUAUUGUUGAAAUUAUUAAUUAUUGCUGGAUCCAUAAUAAAAAGGCCAGUCUGGGUUCUGUGCUUUAUGAUCAUGUCAAAUUAAAAAAAAAGAACAACAAAUCUUUGCCUUCCACGAGAUGCUGUACAUCUUCACACAUCUUGGCAAUAAAAGGUGUUUCAUAACACUGUUGACUGCCGGCGUGUAAAUGAACAAAUGAAGGGUGUUCUGUCAGAUGAAGCAUAAAAGCCAUUAGCAAUGCACUUUUAUUUGAAUGGAGCAACAUUAAUUUUUAAAAGGACAUAACCUGAGACUUUUGCAGAAUGAGAGUAGAGAAGGAAAACACGGAAAAUACAAACAAACCUUUUUGGAGCAUGUUCGUGGCAGCUCCACAUGGACAUAGCAACAUGUAGCUUGGGCUGGCUUGAUUUUUAAGAGUGGCAGAGGAUGUGACUAGGGAUUGAGUGAUGUGGUUGGUGCCAAUAGCACUUCGGUUAUCAGGUAAGGUAUUCUGUUGAUGAUGAAAAAUUGGGAGCAAGGCUGACAAGAGGUGGGUACAGGAAGUACUGAUGUAUUGGGCGCACAGCCAGUAGCGGCCCCAGACUCAGAUUUCUUUCUUAAAGUAUGUUUCUAGCUUUCCUAGAAAUAAAGUUAUGAAACAAAAUGUGCAGGUACCCUGUAUGUGAUUUCUAUGAGAUGAGUCACACUGGCUUCUCCCACCUUUCCGUGCUUUUAUCCAAUGAGCGUAGUCAGUGCUGUGAUUGGCAGAUGAGUUGUUUUGACGCCACACAAUAGGAAUCCCUGUGGUCUUAAAGAGCUGGGGUUUUCUCCUUCUCUUUAGCGUACUUCCCCCCUGCUUCUGUCUCUUUCUCUAGUCCUAAGCUCUGGCUUAGGGAGAAUCCCAAGGGCCAGAUAGAAAGGCUAGGAGGGCCGUGUUGGCCAUGGAGAAAGAGAGACUGUGAAGUUGGUCAGAUGAAAGAGCAGCUCUGCCAUGAAAGAAUGUUAAACUAGGGUAUGUGGGGAAUAUGCAGGGAAUGGUGCGAAAUCCUUUUGAAUUGUAUGUGGGGAGGGCAAUUGUAGGGGGUUGUGCGCCUUGUACAUUCAGCUGUGUGGGUGCAGUUUUGGAGUUUGGUCUCCAGGGCCUAUCUUCAGAGUUCCAGUCCCUUAUUUGUACCCAAAUUAGAAUGCUUGCUCAUUCAUUUAGGAUAAUAAUAUCCCGCUUUAUGGUCCGAUAGGCUCUCAAAAGUGGCCUCGUUACGCGAAAAAUCAUAUUCAGUUGCGGUAUCAGGAAACAACAAGUUGUCCCGUUGGUAUCUGAACCACACAGGUCGAAUUUCCUGCCCUUGACCUUGACCUUCUCUGGUGUCGGUCAUCAGCCUCCGACUUCUAUGCCGCAGAGCCUGAGACUCUCAGCCCAUGAAGCAGACAAGUCUUCCCUUGCUGGUAGUCGCUGGGCAACAGCUCCCACACUGAGGCAAAGGUAUGGGGCUGAGUGGCUGGAACUAGCCAGCCCAUAAUGGGGGCAGGUUUUUUCUUGCUCUGUGAUAUAUAUUAGGUUUGUAGAAUCAUAGGAAGCUGCCUUAUACUGAAUCAGACUCUUAGUUGAUCUUGGUCCUCAUCGUCUAAACUUUCUGGCAGUGGCUCUUCAGGGUUUCAGGCAGGAAUUGCUCACAGUCCUACUCAGAGGUGCCAGGAAUAAUAAUAAUAAUAAUUUAUUAUUUGUACCCCUCCCAUCUGGCUGGGUUUCCCCAGCCACUCUGGGCGGCUUCCACAGAAACCAAAAAUACACUAAAAUGUCACACAUUAAAAACUUCCCUGAACAGGGCUGCCUUAAGAUGUCUUCUGAAUGUAAGGUAGUUGUUUAUCGCUUUGACAUCUGAUGGGAGGGAGUUCCACAGGGCGGGCGCCACUACCGAGAAAGCCUCUGCCUGGUUCCCUGUAGCUUUGCUUCUCGCAAUGAGGGAACCGCCAGAAGGCCCUCGGCGCUGGACCUCAGCGUCCGGGCAGAACGAUGGGGCUGGAGACGCUCCUUCGGGAAUUGAACCUGCAUAUGAAGCACAUGCUCUCCUACAGAGCUACUGUAUUUUGCGCUCCAUAAGACACACUUUUUUCCUCCUAUAAAGUAAGGGGAAAUGUGUGUGCAUAUUAUGGAGCGAAUGGCGCUGCGCAGAGAGGGCCACCUUAACCUCACUGGGUUGUUGUGAGGUUGUUGUGUGAUAGCCCUUGUUUAGCCACCUGAGCAACUUGACAAACAGACAGGAGAACAUUAUUCUUGUUUUCCCUCUUCAGUCAGUCUUGGAUUCCAUCACUGCCCAAACCAUGUGCCUCUGUCUCUCCAAACGGCCAGAUGAUCACAUUUUUUUUUCCUGGGGCUUUCUGUGAGAGAAUGAAAUUCAAGCACUAAUGCCUGUUAAAAUGCUUCUCCUGUUCACUUGCAAAAUCAAGCUUUUGAAAAGAGGCUCUACAGAAAUAAAAGAUUGAGAAUAUUUUUUUUCUUGUUUUCCUCCUCUAAAAACUAGGUGCGUCUUAUAGAGUGAAAAAUACGGUAUAUCCCUUCCCCACAUUCCUGCAUUAUCUUUCUCUCUUCCUCUCUGAGGAAAUUUCAGGGGAGCUGGCAACUUUAACUUGCAGCCAAUUAUCUUCCUGAAAUAAAACAGUGGCAAAAAAGAAGUGGGAAAACGCUUUUGCAUAACUGUUUAUCUCUUAAAAUAUUCUCCCCCCCCACACACAAAUAUCCUCCACAGCUUCAGUAACUAACAGUUCCUUAGUUUUACACAGAGGGCUUGAGAAGUUCAAGAAAAUAGCAAAAUGAAGGGGGGGUGUAUGUCUGUGCUCUAUAAGGAGGGGUUUAAAAAUAACCCUGGAAGUGUUUCUCUCACCUUCUACCUCCAAAAUCCCUCCCUUGAGAACCACUUCAAUAUUGGGAACAACUUCCCAAGCUUAGGAACAUACAGUAUUCUCUCGCUUCCUUCUCUUCUCUGGGCUCACAUAUGCAAAGUCAGUCUGAGUGUGUGUUUAAACAACAACAACAAUAACAAAACCCUAGACGUUUCUCAUAUGGAGCAUUGCCCAGAACUGCCAUAUAGAGAUAACACAUUUAAAAGAGAGAGAAAGUUGCAGAAGUCGUCGUUGAAAUCCUUCAUUAACANNNNNNNNNNNNNNNNNNNNNNNNNNNNNNNNNNNNNNNNNNNNNNNNNNNNNNNNNNNNNNNNNNNNNNNNNNNNNNNNNNNNNNNNNNNNNNNNNNNNCGGCGCGAAACGGCAAUGGCGGUCCUCUUCGGUCUCUGAAGAGGGGCUCCGCAGGAAAGGGUCGUCCGCUGCGGCACAGCGGUGACCCAUUAAGAAAACCACGGGCAGAGUGAGCCCGUGGCCGUGGGACUCGGCGGGCACCAGGAGCGACCCCAGAAGCGAAGAAGGAACCCCGUAAGGGGCUCCGGAAACGUGGAAGGGGAGCGGUGCUGUGAGUUCAUCGCUCUUUCUGCGGGAGCGAAGCCGCGCAGCUGCUGCUGAUGAGCGCCGACCUUUCUUCUUGGAACAUCAGGCACUAAACUACCUACUCGUGAGUAAGGAUCAAUCAUUUUGGAACCAAAAGGGUUAAAUUUGGCUGAAAGCGGGAGACGAUAAACAGGAAGUCCGUCUUCCGGCAGUGCUUUAAAGAUCAAAGGCAAAGAUUUUAACAAGCGGGAAGCAGCUUUAAAAGAUUUUAAAUUUGGGACUAUCGUGUUGACAGAAUUGGCUUUUAAAAAGAAGGAGAAGGGACUUUUAUUUCAAAGUGUUUUGGAUUUCAAAUGGGACUUUCCUCCCCUUUAUGGAUUAUAAAGAAUUAAGAACCAAACCUCGGACUGACAGGAGAAAAAGAGAGCUGUCAUUGCGGAAACUGUAUUCAAAAUAGAGACUGUUACAGUUGAGUGAUACUGGCAAGAUACAAUUAAAUAAACUGUUAUUGGCACCUUUUAUUUGAGACUUUGUAGCAGCUUGGGAAGUGCUCUGCAAGCCAAAAAAGUUUAUGAAGGACUUUUGGUAAAGUAGACUGUUUUGGGGCUGCAGGGACUUUAAUGGCGGAUAAAUUUCUUUCCUUUCUAUGAACUACAGUAAUACUCCCCCUAGUGGAGUUCUGGAAUUACAAGUGCCUGGGAACAAAUUUUAUUUGGACUAUCUGCUGCUUUGUUAUUUACACUUUGGAACUGUCCUUCCCAUGGGACAAUAUAUAAUUUGACCUUGACUCAUAGACAGGUGUGGAAUGAGUGGCCAACCGAAAACAAGAUCUGCUAAAACGAAAGCAAGACAAGCCCAACUUGUGCAAACAACUUUGACUACUCAGUCACGUAGAUCAUCUGUCCCAGCUGUUUUGGGAGUACAAGAAAAGGAAACUGCACGGCCUGCAUCAGAGGAUAUGGCGGAGGGAGGAUCGGAUACCUUCUUAAAACAAAUGCUAGAACAAUUUGCAAUAUUGAACAAGAAGGUGGAUGACCAAUCGGCAAAAAUAGACCAAGCCACAUCCUCUAUUACUAAAUUAUCUGACCAAGUUGCACAACAUACACAAGUUAUUGGGAAUCUCAAGGAAGCAACUGUGGAAAAUCGGAGACUGGCUGAAGCAGCCAAUGAAAAAGCAGAACAAGCAAAUCAAAAAGCUGAGGCUAUAAAAGAAGAGGUAAGGCCACUACACAAGCACGUUAGCGACCAGCAGGCCUACCUGUCUAUGGUGGAAUUGAGAAACCGGGAAAAUAAUCUGAGAUUAAGAGCUAUCCCAGAGCUUGAACAGGAAGAUUUAAUUGGUUAUCUGACAGCAGAAUUUUCUAAGUUCUGGGGUAUAGAAGAGGACAAAGAUUUUAAGAUUACAACUGCGUUCAGAUUAGGAAGAGUCGUGAGGAGGGACAAGCCCAGAGACUGUUUGAUUAUUUUGAGAUCCAAGCAGGAGAGAGAUAAAAUACUAGGCCUCCACUUUAAGAAAUCACUUGAUAUCCAAGGCAAAAGAGCAGAACUUUAUAGAGAUAUUCCUAAACAACUUUUGGAUCUCAGAGCUACAUAUACAGACUUAGCAAGACUACUGAGAGGAAACGCGAUUCCAUAUAGGUGGGAGUUUCCCAAGGUUUAUCUUUUAAUUUUAAAGGAAAGAAAAUUAAGAUUAAAACAUCAGAAGAUAACCAGAAGUUCCUGCACGAUCACGGAGAAGACCUUCAGAAGGGAGCAGCAGCCUCCUGGCCACCGCCACUGCCUGGAAUAGCACCGACACCUACACCCUCGGGGCCAGAAGAAAAGGAAGACACCCCACUAUAGGAACAACAGAUUGAUUCAGAAUGUCUCUGCAGCUGUACAGUUGGAAUAUAAAUGGCGGGGAAUUCCCGGAAAAAGACGAAGGAUUUUUCAUAUUUUGAAAAAGAACAAUUGGAUAUUGUUUGCUUGCAGGAAACGCAUGUGACUAGGCUCCAUAGGAAAGUGUUAAUCAAUAAAAGACUAGGCCAAGAAUUUAUUUCAUCAGACAAAGUCAAGAAAAGAGGCGUAGUGAUUUAUGCAAAGGAGAACCUGUCACCGAAACUUCUGUUUAAAGAUGAGCAAGGAAGAAUUUUGGCAAUUGAGAUACAAACACAAGGAGAAAAGUUUUUGAUUUUAGGAAUAUAUGCACCAAAUGAGGGGAAAUCGGAAUUUUACAAGAAGCUGCAUGAGAUAAUGCUGGACUAUCUGGACUAUACUAACAUCAUAAUGAUGGGUGAUAUGAAUGGGGUGGUUUCUACUCACAUGGAUAAGUCACAAAAUCAAAAUUUAACUAAAGACGGCAGACUACCUAAAACCUUCUUUGAACUAACUGACAACAUGGACUUGAUUGAUAUUUGGAGGACAAGGAACCCCUUAGGUAAAGAAGGAACAUUCUUUUCUGAGGCCCACCUAUCAUGGACAAGAAUCGACCAAAUAUGGACAACUAGAGGACUGGCACCUAAGAUCAGAAAAGUGGAAAUCUGUCCAAAGACUUGCUCCGACCAUAAUGCUUUGAAAGUGGAAUUGAGACUUACUCCAACCGGUUCUUUCAGAUGGAAAAUGAAUGACACCCUACUAAGAGAUCAGGAGAUUGUGAAGAAGGCCCAAAAACUUUAAAGGACUAUUUUGAAAUCAAUUUGAACACUUCGGUGGAAAAGAGAACAAUUUGGGAUGCAAGUAAAGCUGUAAUGAGGGGGUUUCUGAUACAACAGAACACAAUCAAGAAAAAACUUUGGAAUGGAAAAAAGACAGGAUAUUAGAGAAGAUAAGAGAAGGAGAGAAAAAUUGAGACUAAAACCAAAAUCAAAAGAGGUUUUAAGAGAAAUCAAAUUCCACCAAGCUCAAUAUGCGAAAUUGAUAAAUCAAGAAGUGGAAUGGAAAAUUAAACAAAUGAAACAAAGAUCAUUUGAAUCGGCAAAUAAAUGUGGAAAACUGCUAGCAUGGCAGUUGAAAAAGAGACAAAAAUUGAACUUUGUCACUAAUCUAGAGGUGGAAGGGAGAAACAUUCAGAAACCAGAAGAAAUUAGAAAGUGUUUUCAGAAAUAUUUCAAAAACUUUAUACACAAGGGCCUCAGGAAAUGUCUGAGAUAGAUCAAUUUUUAAAAGUUAACGGUUUAUCAAAACUAUCUCAGGAGAAGAGGACAAUCUUAAAUAAUAGAAUAACACAACAGGAAAUAGAGGGUGCCAUUCAGAAUAUGCAACUAGGCAAAUCUCCAGGCCCAGAUGGACUUACCUCCAAGUAUUAUAAGACACUAAAAGACUAUUUGAUACAACCACUAAUGGAGGUCUGUAACCAGAUUAUGGAGGGGAGGAGGGCACCGGAAACGUGGAAAGAAGCUUUCAUCACAUUGAUUCCUAAAUUGGAAUCUGAAAAGACUCAGCUUAAGAACUACCGUCCCAUCUCACUCCUAAAUGUGGAUUACAAAAUUUUUGCUGAUAUUUUGGCGAGCAGACUUAAAAAAUACUUAAUGAAGUAAUUCAUAAGGACCAGGCAGGCUUUCUCCCAGGGAGACAUCUCUUUGAUAAUACUAGGAACAUUAUUGAUAUUUUGGAACUUUUACAAACUAAUAUCAAUACGAAAGCUGUUUUAAUUUUCAUCGAUGCGGAGAAGGCCUUUGAUAAUAUUUCUUGGAUGUUUAUGAAGAGAAAUUUGGAAGGGAUGGGAGUGGGACGGUGUUUGAAAAUGGAAUAGAAGCAAUUUAUUCUGAGCAAAAAGCUAAACUGAUAGUGAACAAUGUGGUGACAGAUGAGUUCAAAAUUGAAAAAGGGACACGACAAGGGUGCCCCCUAUCCCCUCUUUUAUUUAUUUCAGUCCUGGAGGUGUUAUUGAACAUGAUUAGGAAGGACCGGUUGAUACAAGGAAUACAGGUCGGAGCGAAACAAUAUAAAUUGAAAGCUUUUGCAGAUGAUUUGGUUUUAACAUUACAGGAGCCAGAAUCUAGUACAAAAAGAGUAUUAGAACUGAUUCAUGAGUUUGGUCGGGUGGCGGGAUUUAAGUUGAAUAAGCAAAAACCAAGGUUUUGGGGAAAAACUUGACACCUUCAGAAAUAGAUGGGUUUCAGAAGGAAACAGAACUAAGUGUGGUAAAAAAGUGAAAUACCUAGGGGUUCACCUGUCAGCGAAAAAUUUGAAUUUAUUUAAAGACAACUAUGAAAAAUGUUGGCUGGAAAUCAAAAAAGAUUUGGAAAUCUGGUCAAGAUUGAAACUUUCCUUGUUGGGUCGAAUUGCAGCUAUAAAAAUGAAUGUAUUGCCGAAAAUGUUAUUUUUGUUCCAAACCCUACAGAUUGUGGACAGAGUGGAAUGUUUUGGAAAGUGGCAGAAGGAUAUAUCCAAGUUUGUUUGGCAGGGCAAAAAGCCCCGGAUAAAGUUUAAAAUACUAACUGAUUCGAAAGAAAGAGGGGGGUUUGCCCUGCCGGACCUGAGAUUAUAUUAUGAAGCUGCGGCCUUCUGCUGGAUGAAAGAUUGGUUACUUCUUGAGAACACUGAUGUCCUAGAUCUGGAAGGGUUCGAUAACGCUUUUGGUUGGCAUGCAUAUUUGUGGUACGACAAGGUAAAGGUUCAUAAAAUGUUCAAAAAUCAUAUUGUUAGAAAAUCAAUAUUUAUGGUCUGGACAAAAUACAAGGACUUAUUAGAAGGUAAGACUCCGAGGUGGCUUUCACCAGCAGAGGCCAAGGCCCGGAAAAACCUAAUAUGGAGGUUGGUUGGCCGAAAUAUGGGGAAAUUAUAGAAAAAGUAGGAGAAACUUGGAGGCUGCAGAGUUAUGAAAAAUUAAAGAAUAAGGUGCAAAAUUGGCUUCACUAUGCUCAAAUUCAAGAGGUUUUUAAGUUGGACAAAAGAACAGGCUUCCAGGUGGAAAAAUCGAAACUAGAGACAGAAUUGUUGGAACCAAAAACCAAGGUACUUUCGAGAAUGUAUACCUUGCUGCUUAAAUGGAACACUCAGGAUGAGACAGUCAAAUCAGCCAUGAUAAAAUGGGCUCAGGACAUUGGGUACAACAUUAUGUUUGAAGACUGGGAAAGGUUAUGGACCACUGGUAUGAAAUUCACGGCAUGUAAUGCCUUGAAAGAGAAUAUUAUGAAAAUGAUAUACAGGUGGUACAUGACCCCAGUCAAGCUUGCUAAGAUAUAUCAUUUGUCUGAUAAUAAAUGUUGGAAAUGUAAGGAGGCUGAAGGGACAUUCUUUCACCUCUGGUGGACUUGCCCAAAAGUGAAGGCCUUCUGGGAAAGGAUCUAUAAUGAGUUAAAAAGGUGUUUAAGUACACCUUUCCCAAGAAACCAGAGGCCUUCCUACUGGGCAUUGUCGGCCAGAAGGUGUUAAAGAAGGAUAGAACCUUUUUAUGUAUGCAACUACAGCAGCAAGAAUUCUUAUCGCAAAAUACUGGAAGACUCAAGAUUUACCCACACUGGAAGAGUGGCAGACGCAAUUGAUGGGCUACAUGGAAUUGGCCGAGAUGACUGCCAGGAUCCGAGAUUUGGGAGAAGAAGCAAUGGAGGAGGAUUGGAAAAAAUUUAAAGAUUAUUUACAAAGAUUUUAUAAGUUAUAUGAAUGUUAAGAAUUCGCAUGAUUAGGGAAAUUCAGCUCCAGCAAUAAGAUUAAGGUAUGGGAAACUAAGCUAUAUUAAUGAAAGGACUAAUGUUUAAAAGAACAUUAUAUAAGUUAUUAGUGUAAAUUGACAAUAAGCAUUUUAAACGUAAACCAUAAGUAUUUGAAAGAACAAAAGAAUGCACAAAAUAAGGUUAUAAUUUGCUGAAAAAUUUUAUUGUAAAGAACGCAAGGUGAGGGAGACGUGGGAAGUCCGGUUGGUUAUGGAAAAAUGCUUUGGAAAGAUGAUUUUUUUCUUUUUCUUUUCCUUUUCUGUUAUUUCUUUGUAUAUCCGACUUUGUAUUUCUAUGUGGAAAAAAUGCAAUAAAAAUAUUUAAAAAAAAAAAAAGAAAUCCUUCAUUAACAGCAGUGCUAUCACUGAAAAGGGCCGGGCAAGCUUUCGUGAACUUUCUGCUGAUUAGCUCAUCCUCCAUUAAAAUACCAAUAUUCUGUCCUCAGUUGCCUACAUUUGGGGAAUAAAACUCAUUGUGAAACAGCUAAGUGUAAAUGGCACAAGUCUUUCCUUUUUUUUUCCUUUUUUUUAUUUUGAAGAAGGUUUGAAACUCCUUUAAGAGAAUAUCAACCACUUGCACCUACAUUUCUGAAGGACUAAGGUUUAACACGGCCGCUUUCUCCUCCGGUGAGAGAACCAUAGGAGGCAGCUAAUUAGAUUUUUAUGAACCUGCUCAGUGCAAAUUGUUGCCGAACCUCCAGUGGCACUUUACAAAGCUGCGGAUGGUUAUGAGAUCGGAUUGCCGCCUCAGUCCUGGGAGUGCAAGGCUCCGCAGGAAUCCUUCGAUACAUUAAGCAGAGCGAGGUGGUGGGAUUCUGAACUGCAUCAAUAAAUACUGCAGGGUGGGAGGGUGUGUGCGACAUUAUCGAAUGCUCACUUUUGUAAAGUACAGUGGUACCUCAGGUUACAUACUCUUCAGGUUACAGACUCCGCUAACCCAGAAAUAGUACCUCGGGUUAAGAACUUUACCUCAGGAUGAGAACAGAAAUCGCGCGGUGGUGGCAGCGGGAGGCCCCAUUAGCUAAAGUGGUACCUCAGGUUAAGAACAGUUUCUGGUUAAGAACGGACCUCCGGAACAAAUUACGUUCUUAACCCGAGGUACCACUGUAUUCCUUGCAAGUAAACUAGCACGUGAAGGAGAGGGAUUUGCCAAGAAGGGCUGCUUCUCAAGUGCUAGAGCACAAUCUUGGCAUGUAGAAGGGGCCCAAAUUUAAUCACCAGCCACAUCUAGGUUGGGCUGGCAAAGACCCCUGUAUGAAAUCUUGGAGAGCCACUGCCAUCCAGAGUAGAUAGCGCUGAGCUAGGUGGGCCAGUGGGUCUGCACAGGGCAGCUUUUGUUCUUUCCUACUUCGCUAGUGCUCUUCAGUAAUAUCCAGGACGAUGGAAGUGCUGUGAAGUUCAUGCUUCAUGGGUAAAUGGUCGCAGGUUCAAUAUCUGACAUCUCCAGGUAUGUCUGGGAGAGACUCCUGCCUGCAGUGGCGUAGCAUGGGGGCCAAAGGGGCGGUUGCCCAGGGCGCAAAAUGGUCAGCGGUGCAAAAUUCCAACACCCGUUGCUGCCACAGUACAGCUUCACGCUUCCGUUGCUGGGCUCUGUUGAAAAUGAACCAGGAAGUGACCUCUCCAGACAAUGGAGCAACUCUUCUUUUCUUAUCUCUGUGGCUGCAAUCUUCUGGGUGACGCAGACACCACUAGGCAGUUAAAUGUGCAUGCAUACUCUGUCCAUUUCCCUUCUCUCCCAACCUUCCCUGUGGCCCCGGACACUGGCAACCCACACUAUGUCACUGCCUGCCUGAUGCCUGAAAGAGCCCCUGGCAGUCAGAGGAAGCAACAUUGAGGUACAUGAGCCACGUAUAAGGUAGAUGUAUAAGGGGGAGGGCACUUCUAACGUUCCCCCGAUGCAAGUUUUGUGUGUCUGUUUCAAUCAGGGGAAACAUUUCAAAACUACGCCGCCGUUGCUACUUGCCGUUUGAACUGGUACAGCUGGAAAAGCUCCCACCAGAGUCUGCCACCUCAGCUUUUGUGACUAGCUCUUAGACGUGAAGGGAAGAUUAAUUGGGAAAUAAGGCUUGUGAACUUUUGUUUUUGCCCCAGAGCCAGCAUGUAAUAUACAAGAAAGCAAUGCCUCCCUGAUUUUGCUUAAUACCUUUCUGAAAGCCAGUUAUAAUCCUGUCCUUUUUAAGGUCUGGUCAAGUAUAACCUUCCGUACGGGGUUUUUUUGUUUUUUUUAAGGUGGGGGGAGGAAUGCAUCCCUUUCCUUUCCUUUCCUUUUGUCCCCCUCCCCUAAGAGCUUAUGAGUUGUUGAUUUUCUUCUUGUGUCGCUUGGCUCUUGUAGCACGAGAGAGAUUAAAUGACAGCUCUUUAUGUGCUGUCUCCCCACCAUAUGGGAUUGUACAUACAGUGCUAGAUGCUUAAAUUGGAUUCAUCUGUGUACUUGGCAGAAAUCCAGUUUAUAUGGCCGUGGGAUAAAACCUGUAAUGCUGAGCCUUGGUUGGCGUUGCGUUUGGGGUUUUCUUUUUAAUGGGGUUGGAGAGAAAUCUGGCAGGCACUCCCAUCUUCAAAACUGGGGCCACAUUACACAUUUUAAUGUUCUCUCACAGGAGAAACUCCCUGGAAAGAGCUCCCAGCGUCUGCAAACCUGGCAAAAUAGGUAUAUGUGUGUUGGCUGAUUGGUUAUUUAUUUGUGAAUAUAUAGAUAUAUAGCGAGAGAUAUAUAUAGAUAUAAAUAUAUAGAUAUAGAUAUAUAUCUCCCUGCAGAUUUACAGCCAAGAUUGGCUCCCAAAGUUGCUUGCAAUUAAUGCCUACAUAAAUUGUUGUUGCUGUAUAUUUAUUUAUACCCCACUUUCCCCCCUGACCUCAAGGAGGCUUACAGAUAAAAACAGUGUUUUGUUUUUCUUUUAAAAAAUUGUUUAAAGGUAAAGGGACCCCUGACCAUUAGGUCCAGUCGUGACCAACUCUGGGGUUGCGGCGCUCAUCUCGCUUUGUUGGCUGAGGGAGCCGGCGUACAGCUUCCGGGUCAUGUGGCCAGCAUGACUAAGCCGCUUCUGGCGAACCAGAGCAGCGCACGGAAACGCCGUUUACCUUCCCGCCAGAGUGGUACCUAUUUAUCUACUUGCACUUUGAUGUGCUUUCGAACUGCUAGGUUGGCAGGAGCAGGAACUGAGCAACGGGAGCUCACCCCGUCGUGGGGAUUUGAACCGCUGACCUUCUGAUGGGCAAGUCCUAGGCUCUGUGGUUUAACCCACAGCGCCACCCGCAUUUAGGAGUACUCUAAUUCCCACUCAAAGAAAAUCACCAUUUUAUAGUUCAAAUCGGGAAAAAUACAUACAGUAAAUGGACAAAAGUACAAAGAACAUGCAUUACCUCAUAUUACACAGCUGACAGCUCACAGUAACUUCCACAUGGGCAUGAGGUGGUGUGCACUAACAUCUUCCCGACUUUCAUCAGUAAAACACCACGCAUCCACAUUCCACACUGCUUCACACAUUAAACGCUCGCUUCCAUCUGAGACUCAGGAAACACCGGGAAAGGAAAUGAAGCCGCCAUUGGAGGUGGUAACAUCGAAACUGACCAAUCUCUGAGCUAGAUUCCAACUCCCUACUUCACACAUUAAACACUGGCUUCCGUCUGAGACUUAGGAAGCACCGUGAUAGAAAAUGAGGCUGCCAUUGGGGGUAGCAACGGAACUGAUGAUUCACUGUGCUAUUCAACAGAACUGAUGAUUCAUCGUGCUAGAGAAGAAACUAACAAUUUAAAUUUUUUUAGUUUCUUUUCCCGUUAUAUUCACAAAAUGUGUCCCGUCCCUCCCAGAAAAAAAGCACUGGAUAAAAAUAAAAACCACUAAAAACAUAGAAAACUUUCCCCUCCUGUAUUCAAAUUGUCAUCCCUCACUUCCGUUUUCUGUGUUACCCACAAUGAAGCGUUGCCUUUUCACUGAAGUCACUGCUAAGCACGGUUAAAAAAGAAGCUGCAAACUUGGUGUGAGCUACCAGUGAGCUACUCUAGAUGGUCAGGUGUACGGCUCAGACUACACACAUGCGUGGAAGAAUGCAUGCAGGGGGCUGUUCUGGCCAGCCCUGCCCUCCGUCGAACACCUCCCAGCCACUCGAGUUCCACAUGCCUACACCAAGACGUGUCUGUUGAAUGGUUUCUUUAAAUGUAAAGGUUCAUCACUGUUCCACCCGAUGUGUAUGUCUUUAAGGGGCCAGAGCAAGAUAACGAGACCCAGCUUUACAGCUGUGAAACAUAGCAGGUGCUGCUGAGUUGUAUUGAUUAAGCUGUGUUGGCAAUUGGGUGUAGUAUAUAAGGAGCAGCACCUAGCUCUCCCAUUACCCUGGGGGAUGGGUUGGUGGUUGGGUCUGGUUUGUUGUUGAUGUAUUUAGUGUAUAAGGAGUUUUGUUUUUGUUAUUAAAACCUUGUUUAAGUUAUUUUUGAGUCCCUUUUUAAUGCAUGGUCUCCCUAGCAAGCUCUCUGCAGCGCUACCAUAUUGCAAAUAACCAACAGUGUCGAGCUCCUUCACAUGUCAGUCAAAAGCACAGUCACUGCAGGCCAUGGUUGCUACCAUGGUCAGACUUAGGUUUGAUGAGGCCCUAACCUACUGAAGGUAUUGGGGCCCUUUAUAUAUCCAGCUGUCCUUUGUCAACAACAAAUUUGUCGCUGUUUUCUGUGUUGAAUAUAUGCUAUAUGGUAAUUUACGGACCUAAUAGGUAUCUAAAGCCAUAACACAAUUUGUAUUUUAUGAAAGUAUUUGUUGAACUGAAAUACAAUUAAGAAGUAUAGUAAUAGUGAACUAAUUAUUAAGUGAUAUUUUAGGGAGCAGGUGGGCCCAUUACUUACAUCUUUUAGAAGACAUCUGAAGGCAGUCCUGUUUAGGGAAGCUUUUAAUGUUUGAUGCAUUACUGUAUUUUAUUAUUUUGUUGGAAGCCACCCAGUGUGGCUGGGAAAGCCCAGCCAGAUGGGCGGGGUAUAAAUAAAUUAUUAUUAUUAUUAUUAUUAUUAUUAUUAUAUUAUUAUUAUUAUUAUGAGGCUACACAUCACAAAACACUGUUGCUGUAUGUAGGUUUUGGAAAUGUACACCCAGGUUUUUUUCCCUUUAAAUUUUUUGGGGGCCCCAAGAGAGUGGGGCCCUAAGCUAUAGCUUGUUUAGCUUAUACGUAAAUCGGGCACUGGUUGCUACACACAUUGGGGGUGGAGAUGCCUCCUUCACUCCCCCCACCAGAUACAUGAUCAGUGGGGGAGUCUUGGCUGCGCCCCCUCCCCUAGCUCUUCACAGGGGAAUCCAGGCACCAAACAUCUGCAGACCAGGAGACAGAAAAAAAAAUGCCCAUGUGGAUUCAUGGACUAGGCUGUCUGUGAUUGCAUAGUGGCUGGAUUUUAGCAGCCACUUUUGCAGGUAAAAAGUGGAAGGAAACUGCACCCCUCUCUGCAGUGGGACCCACGGCUGUGAUCUUCAGUAAAUGCCUGGGUUUUCCUUUCAGCUGAUAAAUCGCACAUAUCCUGCACCGGAAAACCUUUUUAAGAAAACAAUGAGAGCAACAACAACACUUUUAUUUCCUUUGCAUCUCGCCUUAACGAGCAGCAGUAGAAAUUUAGUGAUUUAGAUCCUUACUUAUAUUGAAAGCUUGUGUGCAAUUACUUGCACCUGCUUCUUUGCCCCAGGCAUCAACGUGAACUUAAUUCAUAGAGCCAAGCUCUGUGGCGAUGCCGUUUUUAUUCUGUGGACUUGCCUUAAUGUAGCUUUUUCCUUACUUCCGCUAUGCCUCGAUUAAAUCAAUCUGUGGCGUAGGAAUUCUGAGCUUAAAUGUUGCCGUCAUCACUUUAGAAUAGGCAGGGGCAUCGGUUAACCCACCUGUGCAAUGUGAGCAAGGAACCGUGUGUGAUCAGGGAUGAAGCUCUACCUCUCUUUUAAAUCAGAACCAGUGAAGGCGGUGAAGGUCCUAUGUGAGUGCCUGGAGGCGGUUGGAGGAUGGAUGGCAGCUAACGGAUUGAGGUUGAAUCCUGGCAAGACAGAAGUACUGUUUUGGGGGGACAGGGGGCGGGCGGGUGUGGGGCACUCCCUGGUCCUGAAUGGGAUAACUGUGCCCCUGAAGGACCAGGUGUGCAGCCUGGGAGUCAUUUUGGACUCACAGCUGUCCAUGGAGGCGCAGGUUAAUUCUGUGUCCAGGGCGGCUGUCUACCAGCUCCACCUGGUAUGCAGGCUAAGACCCUACCUGCCCACAGACUGUCUCGCCAGAGUGGGGCAUGCUCUAGUUAUCUCCCGCUUGGACUACUGCAAUGCUUUCUACGUGGGGCUACCUUUGAAGGUGACCCAGAAACUGCAAUUAAUCCAGAAUGCGGCAGCUAGACUGGUGACUGGGAGUGGCCGCUGGGACCACAUAACACCGGUCCUGAGAGAUCUGCAUUGGCUCCCAGUAUGUUUCUAAACACCAUUCAAGUUGUUGGUGCUGACCUUUAAACGGCCUCAGUCCUGUAUACCUGAAGAAGCGUCUCCACCCCAUCGUUCAGCCCGGACACUGAGAUCCAGCACUGAGGGCCUUCUGGCAGUUCCCUCAUUGCGAGAAAUGAGGUUACAGGGAACCAGACAGAGGGCCUUCUUGGUAGUGGCGCCCGCCCUGUGGAACGCCCUCCCUUCAGAUGUGAAGGAAAUAAGCAGCUAUCCUAUCCAAAGGCAGCCCUGUUUAGGGAAGUUUUUAAUAUUUAAUGCUGUAUUGUUUCAACACUCGAUUGGAAGCCGCCCAGAGUGGCUGGGGAAACUCAGCCAGAUGGGCAGGGUAUAAAUAAUAAAUUAUUAUAACAUUAUUAUUAUGCUGUACCUUGUGACCUUCCUGCUGUUGCUAGAACUACAGUUCCCACCAUCCCUGGCCAUUGCCCGUGCUGGCUGGGGUUGAUGGGAGUUUGAGUCAAGUCACUUCCUGUGGAUCACAGGUUCCCCAAGCCUGCUAUACCUGUUUAGUCAGAAGCCGAAUCCCAGGGACUCUUUAGAAAAGAGAUUUAGGAUUGCAGCCCUGUACCCCCCACCCAAUUAAGAUAACAAACUCCUGCUGUUGCUGAAAUAUUUAUUCUUUCGCAGUAGGUCUCUUCCACGUUGAUUUCCUUUUUCCUUUCCUUUCUCCUUACUUACUAUUGUAAUUUUUUUGCUAACAUUUGCGUUUAGUAUUCCUCGAGUAUUCUUCAUUGUCUGCUGGUAUUCCUCCUCUCAAUUGAAUUGUCACUAUACUACUCAAGGUAUGUGUUCUGCAGCAGCUUUUGGUCUCUAUUAAUAAUACAGUGGUACCUCGGGUUAAAUACUUAAUUCGUUCCGGAGGUCCGUUCUUAACUCCACGAUUUCUGUUCUCAUCCUGAAGCAAAGUUCUUAACCCGAGGUACUAUUUCUGGGUUAGCAGAGUCUGCAACCUGAAGCAUAUGUAACCUGAAGCGUAUGUAACCCGAGGUACCACUGUAGUGGCUAAGACUGAUCUGUACGUGGGCAGGUAUGUUCAGUGUACUUUCUACCAUGUUGGCCUUGGAUGGGAUUGCCAAAUGGGGCCAAAUUUUCAGCAAUCCUUUGUUUUUGUUUUUCUGAUAGUGUACGGAUUCCCCCCAUCCUUUUAUAAAAAUAAGGGCUUGCCUACGAUUAUUAAAACUGUAAACACAGUGAUACCUCGGGUUACAUACGCUUCAGGUUACAGACUCCGCUACCCCAGAAAUAGUACCUCAGGUUAAGAACUUUGCUUCAGGAUGAGAACAAAAAUCGUGCUCCGGCGGCGUGGCAGCAGCGGGAGGCCCCAUUAGCUAAAGUGGUGCUUCAGGUUAAGAACAGUUUCAGGUUAAGAAUGGACCUCUGGAACGAAUUAAGUACUUAACCCAAGGUACCACUGUAUCUUUUAUGAAUAAGACCAGAGCUUCCCCGUCCCCAGUGGGAACUCAUCAGAACUGAGUUCCAGCACCUCUCAGGUGGGUGCCAUUGCCAUUAUAAGAGAACAAGGGAGGCAUUUGUGGUGAGUUCCGGCACCUCUUUUUCUAGAAAAAUAGCACUGAAUUAAGAUGACACCGACUGCUUGGUUUCAUGCAGAGAGGUCAUCUGAGGUUGCAUAGCCCAGUUCAGACUGUGGAUAAGCUUGGUGCAAACAUGAAGCAAAAUAGCCUACAGGCUGGGCGAUCGCAUUUUUGAAUGCUAAUGUCAGCCUCCCCCAGCCUAUUGGCCAAAAGUUACUAAAACGAAUAUUGACGCAACUAUUCAGGAAAGCGAAAGCGAAUUCUUGACAUCAACAAAUAGAUCAGCCAGAUUAGAACCCUCUUUGAAUACCAAUGUGUGCUCGGGCAUCACACCAUCAAUUACUGCAUCGAAAGUCAGGUAUUCUACAUAGAGCUUCAGGGAAAACUCAAAGUUUUAAACCCAAACAGUAAUUAAACCUGAGGGUCUGACUACUGAAACCCAGAUAUUAUCUCUUUAGAAAGCCUGUUCAGCAGCCGGUUUGAGGUUCCCAUGCCAGCACACUGUAAUAUGUAAGUUAAUAAGCACUUGCCAUUGAUGCUUUCUGCAGGAACCAUUUAAUUUUUUAAUCAUAUCUUUAAUUUACUGUUUACGCUUUUAUCCAGCUUUUUGUGUAUGCACACUCACAGUCAAGUGGGAGUUAGGGUAAGUCUGAGCUCCCUAGAGAAUAAACAGUGACCAAUCUGGAGGGUAUUGCUCUUGCUAAAAUCGAUUGGGCUUUUUUUUUACCUAUAAUUAUCCUUCAAUAACUGGCAUAUCAUCAUAUAUAUACAUAUAUAGAAAGUGCUUUUCCAAGCAGCAAGCAACAUCAUGUUAUUCCUCCUCCCCCCCCCAAAAAAGUGGGUGUCUUAUUCUUAAGAACUGGUGCAGAUGUUCUUGCACCUGCUCUCCCGCACGCAAAAAGAACUGCUCAUAUGAGUAGUGUCCUUGCAUGAGCGGGUAUAGCAUGGGAGAUAUUUAUUUUCCCGAUCCUAGGACAGAGAAGGGCGAUCUGCAUCCAAUAAUAUCACUUUUGAGCUAAUUUGAAAUGUGUCAGAGCAGCCACGUGUAUUACACUCUUAUGUGGGGCUGCCUUUGUAGGUGACCCAGAAACUACAACUCUCCACCCCCAUCGUUCAGCCCGGACACUGAGGUCCAGCUCCGAGGGUCUUCUGGCAGUUCCCUCCCUGCGAGAAGUGAGGUUACAGGGAACCAGGCAGAGGACCUUCUCGGUAGUGGCGCCCAACCUGUGGAACGCCCUCCCAUCAGAUGUCAAAUAAAUUAACAACUAUCUGACUUUUAGAAGACAUCUGAAGGCAGCCUUGUUUAGGGAAGUUUUUAAUGUCUGAUGUUUUAUUCUGUUUUUAAUAUUCUGUUGGGAGCCGCCAGAGUGGCUGGGGAAACCCAGUCAGAUGGGCGGGGUAUGAAUUAUUAUUAUUAUUAUUAUACAAAAUUUACUUUUGAACACCUCUUAAGAACCUAUAUGUUUACCCAAGUUUUCUUGGACACAGACAACAUCAUCACCACCAUCAUAAUUAUUUGCUUUGCUCACUGAGCUGCGGUUGUACUUCAUUUGGCUUUUGCAACAUUAUUAUUAUUAUUAUUACUUCCUUGUUUUCAAGUAAAGCAAGUGUGGAGGGAAGCAAAUCUGAGCUUUGCCUAAGGGUGUUCUGCUGCUUUUGAGCAGUCACUGCCUUCCCCCAGCCGCCUGGCUCACUUCCAAUACUGGGUGUUAUUUAUUUAAAUUUUUAACACUGCUAGAUUGUUUGAAAAUACCUCAAAGCGGUUUACAAAGAGUUGCCAGGGAUCGAGCCUUUGGCCUUCUGUAUGAAAAACCUGUGCUGUUCCACUGAGCUAUAUGGCCUGUCCCCAUCUCAAGACUCUUUUUAUAGCAUCAUUAUAUUUCACUAGUGUCCAGGUUUCCUUGUGGAGAAACUCUGACCCUAUCCUCCUCCCGAAAAAUACAAAGGACGUCCGAAGAAGAAAUACCGCAGUUUAGAGUAGGCCAAUUUCAUUUCGGAAAACAACCCCCCUAAAAUGCAUAAUCACAUGUUUUUGACCCAUCGUAUGCCUCCGACAGGCAGAAAAGCCAAGAUUCAGUGCAAGUGGACUCCAGGUAGUGAGUAGCACAGCAACUGGAGUCAAAACAAGAUCUUUACAUGCUGCAACCAAUAAAAGGCUAGUGGCCGUGAAGUGUUGGAAACUGUUUAAAAUUACAAAGCCGUGAAAUGGUAGGUUUGCGAAAGGGGUAAAAUAUCUCUUUUCUGAUGAUGUUCCAUGGCUAGCUGCAGAGUCUUCUGAGCAUCCACAGGUGGGUUAUCUGCAUAGAUUUCUGUGAAAUUGAUCCAGUAUCGUUGGUUGUUUCUUUCUUUGUUUGACAGGUGUUAUCCACCGCUUCAUCCAUAACCUCCAACCAUUUACAUAGAAUAGUAAAUGUUCUUGGGGGCUUUUCCCGCCUGCCUCCGCCUGCAUUCGCUCCUUAAGACGCACACACAUUUCCCCUUACUUUUAGGAGGGAAAAAGUGUGUCUUAUGGAGCAAAAAAUACGGUAUCUUGCUUGGCCCUGACUAAACAUGGUUUUGCAGGUUGGACUAGAAAAGGUUGGCCAGGCGGCAAUUCUGCUUGCAACAUAGGCAAGACACGAAAGUCGCGAGAAUUUUUUCCCCAAAUUUCAAUGCAUCUCCGCAGUUGCGCUGGGCAGCCCCUGGGAUUAGCUGCAGUUAUUGGACUGAUGUAAAAUGCAGCAUGCAAAUGUGACCUUCAAAUCACAUCGUCUUCCGUAUGGUGACCUUUCCGGUUUCUGAAUGCAGUUCUUUCUCUUCUGUUUCUUUCCUUUUGAUUAAACAUACCCAAUUCCUUCCCCUUUCCCCUUCGUAUGCCUUGCGUGGCGAAGCCUUAUUAUCUAAUUGGCUUGCCUGCGUAGCAGUGACCAGCUGUUAAGUGUGGAAAUUGCUCAUAUGUAUGGAGCGUCACGUUUUUGUUUGGUUUAGUCACUUCUCAGGCAAAUUCCUGAAGUUCUUUACAGUAAAAAUAAAAUACUGUAAUAGAAAAAUUCAGAAGUGCACUAUAAAACAUCAUUCAAACAGUCCAACAGCAGUGAGACCCCCCCUCAAAAAAAAAUCACAGUGAGAUCCCAAGCCAAUGUCAUGCUGAUGACAAGUGUAGGAGGCAGGUGCAUAGCUGAGAAGAAUAAGAAGAGUUUGGAUUUGAUAUCCCGCUUUAUCACUACCCAAAGGAGUCUCGAAGCAGCUAACAAUCUCCUUUGCCUUCCUCCCCCACAACGAACACUCUGUGAGGUGAGUGGGGUUGAGAGACUUCAAAGAAGUGUGACUAGCCCAAGGUCACCCAGCAGCUGCAUGUGGAGGAGCGGAGACGCGAACUCGGUUCACCAGAUUACGAGUCUACCGCUCUUAACCACUACACCACACUGGAGGGGCAACAGGACAUCUCCAGAGCAUCAGUUUCCCUUAACACAUUGCUUGGAUGGAAGAAGCACCUCCAAGACAAGUUAUCUAUGGUCAUCCUAGACUCCAGAUUACCUGAUCUAGCUGAUCUGAGGUGCUGUUAAUAUUCGGGAGGGAGGCAUUGCAGAGCAGCAAUGAUCAGGAGAGAAUAAUCAGUGCAGAGGGUGAGGCAGCGGAGCCCUAAUCCAAAACCUCAAAGCAAAGGUUGCUAGUUUCCUUGCUAAUUCAGAGGCUUUGUGUAUCCUGGUCCUUGCAAAUCUCUAUUCCCUUUCGUAUUUGAAGAAGGAUCUUAUAACGGAGCACAAAUACUCCCUUUGGCUCCUUUGGUCCCAGCAACAGUUCUGUGAGGUUUUCUGUUCAAGUCCCAGAGUCUCUAAGAGAAGAAAAAUUGUUUCUGCUGGUUUUGUGUUCUAUUGCCAUUAUGAUGGUGAGGGGGGAAAGUACAGACCCUAUCAGGUUUCUCCCUCCCCUCAGUCUUCGGCUUUCCUUUCUGUUUCUUUUAUACAAAGAUGAGUUAACGUUAAUUUAAUUACCUUACAGCUUCUUAAACAGUACCACACAUAAGAGCUGAAAACCAUACAUUUCCCUCCUCCUCUUUCUCUGGAGAAAAAAACAUAUAUGAAUCAUUUGACCACAAUUACCAUUUUCCCCCGUUAGAGAAAGCACCUUGCUGUCUAUUACAUAAAGUGAUUUAUUAGUAUGUGGGGCAGACCGUUUGAGAUACAGUGUCUGCCUAACCAAUGAGACAUGGGUAAUUGCACAGCACGAGGCCUCCAGAAACAAAUUAUAUUUGGCAUUUAAUAUAAACCCAAACACCUAAGAAGUAAAAACACAAUGUCUGUAAAAACAAAACGAAAAACCACCAAGUCACAACACAGGGGGGCUGUAUUGAAUGAUCUACUCAGAGUAAACUCAUUGAAAUCAAUGGACAUGGUGUAACUUGUGUCCAUCAAAUUCAGUAGGUCUUCCCUAUAUUUUUAAGACUAGUCUUACUCAAAGUGACCUAUUGAAGCUAAUGGACAUUACUUACUGAAGCCAAUGAAUUUCAGUGGAUCGACAGUGCGUAGGACUUGGCUGAACGCAACUUACUAUCAUCAUCAGUAUUGUGGCAUGUUUUCCUUCCUUCAUCUCUGCAUUUUUGCAAACCGCUGCCCCAUGGGUAUUGGGGAAAACGGGCCAGUCUUUGUGACAACUUCCUAAGCAUGGGUUGUAAUCCAGAUCUACGUCUUCUUUUUAAGCAAACCUUUUCUCCCAAUUAUGGUUCUACCAGAACCAUAAGUAACACAGAACUAAUAAUAGUAGUUACAGGGAACCCGGCAGAGGGCUUUCUCGGCAGUGAUGCCCUCCCUGUGGGCGAUAACCUGCGGCUCUCCGUUAUGAGAACAAGCCCUUCACAGCAGUCAGAUCUUUGAAAUGUUGCAAGGCCUGGCUAGCCUAGCGCAAGCCUGAAGUCAGAAGCAGUCCUUUCUGCACCAAGCUGUUGCUUUGCAUUUGUUCGCCAUCAAUGUUGAGGACGGCGAAACAGUUAAUUCAUUUUGCCAUCAAUUCCCACACACACACCCUUUGCAAAAGUGAUUUGACACAGUCUAGCAGGGUGCUGUUAUUGAAAAAUUGAAGCACCAGGUGUGAUUAAAUAAGAUCACACAUUUCAUUCCCUCUUUAAUUUCACAUCAGUCUUCAGCAGCUGUAUCCUCGUGCUUCCCUACAGCCAGAGAGCCACGCCGCAUUAAUAGCAGACGUCUCAUUGUACAGCACGUUCCAUCAGCUGACGGUCGAUCGAAGCUGUCCAUGAACGCAGUUAUUUGUUUUGAUGGGCCAGGCCUGCAAACCUUCCUGCGCUCUUCCCCCUUUUUUUGCUGGAGUUAAGGGAUGGGCUGCUUCAUUGUCAUCGUCAGAGGUGGGCAUUGGGGACAUCCUUGAGGCUGUGUCUGGCUGGACCAGAGCCAAGGGCCUGGAGUGUGCCCUCCAGUUUGGGGUCCCUCAAGCUUGAGGUCAGUGAAGUUGAAGCCUGAAGUGUAGCAAAACAGGUACUGCUCUGUUGGCAUAAGUGUCCCAUAGGUAGGCCCAGGAUUUAUAGAACUCCAAACCCUUCAUUUGCUUAGCUUAGUGGCAGAGAACAUCAUUUGCUUUGCAUGUCCUAGAGCAGCGGUUCUCAACCUGUGGGUCCCCAGAUGUUGUUGGACUACAACUCCCAUCAUCCCUGAGCUCUGGCCCUGCUAGCUAGGGGUGAUGGGAGUUGUAGUUCAACAACAUCUGAGGACCCACAGGUUGAGAAAGGCUGUCCUAGAGGAAGUCCAUGACAUCUCCAGUUGACAAGGAUCAGGUAGCAAGCGAUUGGGGGGGCAGGAACCUUCUGGCUGAGACCCUGAGGAACAUUACCAAUCAGACUAGGCAUUUCUGGGCCAGAGGGACCAAUAGCCAGCCCUGGCUUAUGUCAGCUUGCUACAUUCCUAAGCUGUCUGCCAAUCCUAGAAACGGGUAUGCAGUUGGCAGAAAGGAUUAAGACUCUGGAUUGGCCAGAUGAUAAUCCUUUUGAGAGAGGGCUAUCUAUCUUUCUUCUGAGGACCAGCAUUCCCUCAGGGGUCACCUGUAAGAGGCCACACGUUGACAGCAGACAGAGCCAAAAAUGUUCUGAAUUCAGUAAUGCAGAAUAGCCCUCCCUCAAUUUUUACCCUAACCACUCCUGAGCAAAUCUAACCAGUAAGUUCCCCUAGGCUUGAUGGAGUUGUUGUUUAGUCAUUUAGUCGUGUCUGACUCUACGUGACCCCAUGGACCAGAGCAUGCCAGGCACUCCUGUCUUCCACUGCCUCCCGCAGUUUGGUCAAACUCAUGCUGGUAGCUUCGAGAACACUGUCCAACCAUCUCGUCCUCUGUCGUCCCCUUCUCCUUGUGCCCUCCAUCUUUCCCAACACCAGGGUCUUUUCCAGGGAGUCUUCUCUUCUCAUGAGGUGGCCAAAGUAUUGGAGUCUCAGCUUCAGGAUCUGUCCUUCCAGUGAGCACUCAGGGCUGAUUUCCUUCAGAAUGGAGAGGUUUGAUCUUCUUGCAGUCCAUGGGACUCUCAAGAGUCUCCUCCAGCACCAUAAUUCAAAAGCAUCAAUUCUUCGGCGAUCAGCCUGCUACUAAAGCCCAACACAGCUUGAGACCAGGAUACCUGAAAGAUGGUCUUACCUCUUACAAUAGCUAGUUGAUCGCUGUGUUCCGCAGAUGCCGUCCUAUUAGGUGGUCCAUGCCACACAGUGUAGGAAUUGGGCCUUUAGCACCGUAGCACCUAUCUUUGGAAUUCCCACCCCUUGAAGAUUAAAUAGGUGCUGCCUCUCUUGUCUUUUUGGCACCUACUGAAGGCCUUCCUCUUCCGAGAAGCCUUUUAAGUUUAGCUCUUUCCCAGUCUGCACCUAUAUUGUAAUUGAUCUUAAGGUGUUCCAUUAUUUUAUCUCUUGUUGUCUGCCACCCUGGGCUCCUUUGGGUGUAAGGGUAGGGAUAUAUAUUGAGUAAAUAAAUAAGUAUAUGGAGGAUUUGGGGGUUGGGGCUGAUUGUUUUGCUACUCAUUAGGGAGGAGGGAAUUUCUUUGUCCACCUUCUCCACACGCUUCUCUAUCAUGUCCCCUCUCUUUUUCUUUUUUGAUGAAUAAGCCAUGGUUUUAUGCUGCUGCCGUAAUUCACCCAAUAAUAGCUCUUUUUUUCUUUUUUCUUUUUUGCUGUCAUCUUUUUUUUCUUUAACAAAGUAAGAAUCUUAAAUAUUUUGACAAAGUAAUAAUCAUAAAUAAAUAAGAAUAAAAAUGUUCACCCCACCACUGAGACCAUUCCAUUGUAACUAUCCAACCUCUCAAAAUUUCAACACCUCUUGUGAUGGUUUGACCCUUUUCCAUUUUAACAGUACAGAUUCUACAAACACCCUCCAUAUCUCCUCAAAACCAUUUCUCCUGCAUGUUCCCCGUCUUACCUUAGUGACACAUGUUAAUUUAUCAUUAAUAGAUAUACCCCACGCCACUUUAUACCAUUUUAUAUUCAGCUUGCUGCUUCCACUUCCUAGCUAUAAUAAUGCGUGCAGCUGUCAGUAAAUUUGUGAGCAAGUCCUUCCCAGCCUGCGAACCUUCCACCCCAUUGUAAAUUAAUAAUAGUGCUACCUCUGGACUUUCAGUCAGCUUUAACCCAGUGAUUUCCAUUAUCUCCUUAAACACAUAUUUACACAUGUGAACCACCACCACAUGUGAACAUAAUUCCCUGUUUCCUGGCAUCCCCUCCAACAUAACACCGAAUAUUCCUUGUUUAUUUGAUUUAAUCCGAUUGGUGUUAAUUACCAUUUCCGAACCAAUUUAUAAUAAUUUUCUUUUAUUCUUAUAGACAGCAUUUUCAACGGACGUUUAUCCCAUAAUUUCCCCCAGCUGUGACUGACUAUUUGCCCUGUUAUAUCCUUUUCCCACACCUCUCCUAAUUGAUCUUCUUGAGCCUCCAUUUCUAUUAAUAUUUUAUGUCUCCUCUUACUGGUUUUUUUCCUCUGAAAUAAGAAUCCUCAAAUGUUUAAAUGAACAUAGGAGGAAACCAGGAGAGUGGAGGAGCAAGCUAGAAGCCCCGCCCAGAGAAAGCAGGAAUGCAGCAGAGCACACCAAGUCCUUCCUGCCUAGAAGGACUCCCAUGGUCAGCCACUUGGGCGGAGUCAUCCAGAAGGUUCUUCACGGAGAAGGCUGCUACCUGCAGUUCAGCGAUUGACCACCUGGGGGGCCACACAUUGGUUCCAGCAGGACCUCCCUCACAUGUGCUUACGGUGGAGUACUUGGAAGCAUUUGAAGCUGAGCUAUACUCAUAGAGUGUUACUUGCUCAAGCCUGCAGAUUUGGACCAGUGAGUCCACAAAGAUUUAGACCAGUAAAUCCACUGAAAAUAAGGUGGAAAUAGGAAGCUGAAGAGAUUCUUUGCUGGUGGAAGUGGGUGCUGUUCAAUUCUUCAUUCUCAAAUCUGCCCUGAGUGUUCUUAGUUUAUUGUAAUUUGUCUACCCCCCAUCUUAAAGCAAACUUGCUCCCAAGGUGAGAUUCUCGAGAAGGCAAGAAGCACAUGUUAUUAAAUUAAUGGGAAAGUUUCCUUCUCGGUUGGGGAGAGCAGGACAAAUAAAACCACUUUGACCUUUCUUUCCCUGCAUGAGACAAAUUAAGCUCCACAGUUCCAUCAUAAAUGGAAUCUUGUAGCAAGCAUGUAAUUUGACUUGCAUGAAAUGCACAUUUUCUUAAUGUCUGCACCCUACGUAACUGGAACGAUGUUCUCUGGGAUUUUCCCCCCCGCAAUGAAUAUCAAAUUAGCACAUGCUUUUUACUGAGCUUUUGCUAAGUAAACAGGCAGCUGCUUCCACUCAGAGCUCUCCUUCUCUGUCACCGUUUUACAUAGCAGUGUAGCUUUUGGUUGACUGGAUGGAGUUACCAAAUAAGGACAAUGGUGUGCAGUGUAAGAAGUAUUGAUAACUUUGAGAGUAUCUGGUGAAGAAACUUGUUUCUGAAAAUUAAUAUUGAAAAUGGACAGACUUCUAGUCCUUUCGAAGUUCGUCAUCUCUCAGGACUUGCGAUAAAGCUGGUGUCCUCUAGAUGUUGUUGGACUUCAGGUCCUUCACCCCUGGCCUUGGGCCAGAACUUCUGGGAGUUGGAGUCUGACAACAUCUCAAGAGCCAACGGUUCCUUCAGGGAUGUCAGAGCUAAAUGCAGUAACAGCCCCACUAGUCAAAAGAAGGAAUUGAGAUAGACCAGCCAUAUUGAUACCCUUGCCUCUUCCAGUUCAGGUUUUAUUACUUGGUCUGAGAAACUUGGAGGCUCUGUUCUUGGUGACAGUGGACUGCCUCUCCCUGUCUCCUCCUCCAUUCUUGCCUUGCACCCAACAGGAGCCAGGUAUGACACCAUAAUGCAUCUUGUUGGCAUCAAAGGAGGGUGACAGCAAAGUUUCCGAGAGGGGAAAAGUGUGUUUUCAAGUCAAGUACCUAUACAGAAGAAUUAUUGUAUAGUUAACCUUGUAUCAAUGAUUCUGGCAGAUUGCUUGGAUAGCUAUGAAUCUGGGAAAUAGCUUAAGCUCUCCCCGCACCCCGCUUGCUGCAAUGAUAGAUGAUCCCUACUGUCACAAGGCUGCUGGGAGGGUUCAGGUUCCCUAAUGUUGUGAGACACGCCGAGCUAAAAGCUAUUCGAGCAGUGCAGAGCUGCUUGUACUAAUGUUUUAAACAUUGCAUCUGUAUUAGAUUGGAUUUUAUUGACCUUAUUAUCUGGAGAUGGUGUUUAAAGGUGUAUGCAUUACAUGGGUCUUGGGGAAACCUCUGCAGCAUCCAUGCUGUGGCUGGAGUUGUUCUCCUGGGUCUCUGCCUAGCAUGCUGCUGUGCGGAGCAUCUAUUGGACAGCAAUAGAUGCUAGCUAUUAGAGAGGGAUUAAAUGCAAUGAGAUGGAACGCUACAGUGAGCCUUCCCCAAACUGCGAAACAAAUGAUUUGGAGAUUUGAGCUUCCCUAAGCAUAACUAUGACCAAACAACGGUUGACAUAGUGUCUGGGAAGUAGGGCGGCUCUUUGGUCCUGGGUGUCAAGACUGCAAACUGACUGUCAAGAUCUUUUAACCAUAGCUAUCCUUUAGGACAGCAUCUUAAAAAGCAGAGACAUCACCUUGCCAACAAAGGUCCGUAUAGUUAAAGCUAUGGUUUUCCCAGUAGUGAUGUAUGGAAGUGAGAGCUGGACCAUAAAGAAGGCUGAUCGCCGAAGAAUUGAUGCUUUUGAAUUCUGGUGCUGGAGGAGACUCUGGAGAGUCCCAUGGACUGCAAGAAGAUCAAACCUCUCCAUUCUGAAGGAAAUCAGCCCUGAGUGCUCACUGGAAGGACAGAUCCUGAAGCCGAGGCUCCGAUACUUUGGCCACCUCAUGAGAAGAGAAGACUCCCUGGAAAAGACCCUGAUGUUGGGAAAGAUGGAGGGCACAAGAAGAAGGGGGCGACAGAGGACGAGAUGGUUGGACAGUGUUCUCGAAGCUACCAGCAUGAGUUUGACCAAACUGCGGGAGGCAGUGGAAGACAGGAGUGCCUGGCGUGCUCUGGUCCAUGGGGUCACGAAGAGUCGGACACGACUAAAUGACUAAACAACAACAACAUCCUUUAGGAACUAAGCUGUUCUUAUUUGCCUUGGCAAUCCCAGCUGAGUUGUUUGACCAUAUUUAGAAAUGAUUCCAGUUUUGGCCCAAGGCUUAUAUCCAAAGAAGUCAUCCCAUUUGUGCAAACACUUCCACCUGUGCAACAGGACCACCUCACCCUCUCUUCUCCCCACACCCUCAGCUCUCCAGAUCUGCUCUGGAGGACAGGGGGAAGUCUUAGAGCAGAUGGGAGGGUGCAUGGGGCACUUAGGAAAAGAAGAGGGAGUCCUUGCGCCAACAGGGUCAUGCUGCAACACUAUUGUUGGUUUUGAUGUUGCGAUCUUCCUUGAAGACUAGACUGGACAGCUGGAAAGGCAUGCUGGGCAUGUUUAAAAUGAAUCUAUAAAUAUUUAAAGUUGUUGUUGUUGUUUAGUUGUUUAGUCAUGUCCGACUCUUCGUGACCCCAUGGACCAGAGCACGCCAGGCACUCCUGUCUUCCACUGCCUCCGCAGUUUGGUCAAACUCAUGCUGGUAGCUUCGAGAACACUGUCCAACCAUCUUGUCCUCUGUCGUCCCCUUCUCCUUGUGCCCUCCAUCUUUCCCAACAUCAGGGUCUUUUUCAGGGAGUCUUCUCUUCUCAUGAGGUGGCCAAAAUAUUGGAGCCUCAGCUUCACGAUCAGCCACUUCACUUCCUUGGAUAUAGAAUAAGCUCAACCGGCAAUUGUCAGUGGAGCUUUAGUUAGGGAUAUUUCUUCUCAUGAGGUGGCCAAAGUCUUUCUUGCAGGGCAGGAGGUGUGUCUUCACAGUGCAACAGAUUUCUGUUGGAACUCUUUAUAUCGGAGCAGACAGAAAGAAAACAAGCUGUUCUGCAAUAGAAAACGAGUCCCACCAGGUGGUAAGCAAAUGGAAGCGACUACAGCAGCCCCGGCCACCAUUUGCGACAGUUGCUACCUGUGCCCCCUGCCAGAGUGAGGCUUCCCAAAGCUGCCACUCAGCAGGGUGCCUUAAAUGACUCCCAGAUGAGCGUUGGCUUUGUGGUGGAGUGCCUUUCGCCUGAUCUUCCGCUGGGGAGGGUGGCAGGGUGCGCAGUUGCCCUGCCCCACAGACUCCUCCAAAGCUGAGAGCCAGUUGAGGUGCUCACACCCCACUGUAAAUGAAAAAUAUAGACGGGGGGUGGUGAGGAAUCAGCCCUUAACACUAGCUGAGUUGCAGCAGACAUAAUGAAGUGUGAAACAUGUUGUUCCCAGUCGGCAUGCCAUGCUGCUUUAAUUUGCAGAAUAUAUAAUUAUGCAGCAUUAAAAUUUCAGGACCUUAGUCUUUGACAGAAAUUGAAAUGAAAACAGACAAAUGCAUGAGUCAGAAAGACAAUUGCUGCGAUCGGAAUAGCUCAGAGUAUGGCGUCGUCGCCGCUUUCUCUCUUGCGAGGCUCUCGCGGCCUGAUCUCUGCCCUGGUAAAUACUUGCUUGCUUAUUGCACCACCGGUGGGUGGGCAGCUUGUCUAAAGUGGGAAAACAUCAUGAAAGGGAAAGGCUGCCAUCUCGUUUCCACAGUGUCGCUACAUUUAAUUAGCCAAUGUGCGCACUGCCAGCAUGAGCAUAGGGGACAGUAACCACAGGUGUGGGAUUUGUGCAGAGAAAGACAUGCACCAGUCCCUCAUGCUAUUGUGGGCUGCAUCAACAGAAGUAUCGUGCCCCGAUCAAGGGACUUCAUACUCCCAUUCUAUUCUGUCUUCAUCAGAUGGCACCUGGAAUACUGUGUCCAGUUCUGGCACCACAAUUUAAGAAGGAUGUUGACAAGCUGGAAAGUGUGCAGAGGAGGGCAACCAAGAUGAUCAGGGGUCUGAAAACCAAGCCUUGUAAGGAACAGUUGAGGGAGUUGAGUGCAGUCUGGAAAAGAGGAGACUGAGAAGAGCUAGGAUAGCCACCUUCAAAUAUCUUAAGGGCUGUUAUACGGAAGACAGAGCAAGCUUCUUUUCUCCUGCUCCAGAUAGGACCCGAAGCAAUGGCUUCAAGUUACAAGAAAGGAGAUUCUGACUAAGCUUUAGGAAGAACUUUCUGACAGUAAGAGCUGUUUGAAAGUGGAAGUGUCUCCCUCAGGAGGCUGUGGACUCUCCUUCCUUGGAGGUUUUUAAGCAGAGGUUGGAUGGCCAUCUGUCAUGGAUGCUUUAGUUGAGAUUCCUGCAUUGCAGAGGGUUGGACAAGUUGACCCUUGGGUUCCCUAUGAUUCUGUAUUCUAUGUGUCAGCCUUACAAAAACAUAGUUGGGGGUCUCUAAACAUGUACUAGAUUGCCAAGAUGGCUGAAGCAUCUAGUUCCCUGGUCAGCAACAGGGUUUUGUGGUCAAGCCGCUUUGCUGGGGGAAUUGUUUGCCAGUGCCCUGACCCUUUAAGGCAGAGCUUUGCAAACUCCUCAUGUUGUUGACACACUUUUUAGACGUGCAUUAUUUCACGACACAGUAAUUGAUAGCCAACCGGCGGUUAAACGAACCACUUUCCAUCGCUGGGAGGAGCGCGGGGAGUGUUCGCGGGAUACACCUACGCACUGCAGCCAACACACUAAUGUGUCACAACACACAGUUUAGAAAGCUCUGCUUUAAGGGGCCUGCAGGAUCCUGGGUUGCCUCAGGCAGCAAACUGAGGAGUGGCAAGCAGAGGACAACCCAUGCACCCUUCUCACUGCCAGCUGCAUCUCAACACCUCACAGUGCCUUUGUCAAUCAAAUGCAAGGCUAUAGCCAAGUGCCUGCUAUAGCCAUUGAAUUAUUUGAAUGUGAGGUUUAUGUGUCCUGCUAUUCCAUGGGAGUGCAGGAAAGGCACCAGAUAUGGCAGUGGGCGAAGAGUUGAGCUUCCUGUGAUUGGGGUGGGUCCAAAGGGGCCUUUCUAGGUGCAGAAAGUGCCUCCGGCUUUCGGAAGAGCUGUUUUGCACCUUGCAGUAAAGGUAAAGGGACCCCUGACCAUUAGGUCCAGUCGUGACCGACUCUGGGGUUGCGGCGCUCAUCUCGCUUUACUGGCCGAGGGAGCCGACGUACAGCUUCCGGGUCAUGUGGCCAGCAUGACUAAGCCGCUUCUGGCAAACCAGAGCAGCGCACAGAAACACCGUUUACCUUCCCACCGGAGCAGUACCUAUUUAUCUACUUGCACUUUGACGUGCUUUCGAACUGCUAGGUUGGCAGGAGCAGGGACUGAGCAACGGGAGCUCACCCCGUCGCGGGGAUUCGAACCGCCGACCUUCUGAUUGGCAAGUCCUAGGCUCUGUGGUUUAACCCACAGCGCCACCCGCGUCCGUCUUUCUUGUCUUGCAGUACAGAAAGCAAAAAAAUCUCCAUCUAGUUGCACCCCCCCCCUUUACGUGAGCAGGGCAAAAUAACGUCUACGUUUUAGCAUUGUGUGAAUUUCUUUCCAAGCUCAUUUGUGGAACAGUGCUAGCGGCUAGUUUUCUUUAACUAACAGUUCUUUGGAUUCCGCCCAAGUUUUGCUUUUGAAAAGGUAAGUCUCUCACCUUUAUAGCCGAAAACAUAUGCUUGGAAGUGUGGGGGAAUGCCUGCUGAAAUUCCUAAAGCCGGAUGAUGUCUCAAAAUGAUUUCCAGGCUUGGGGAUACGGGGCUUCAUUGUCCUGGGUAGCUCUUCACCCCAUGCCAUGAUUGAUGAGCAAAUGAACAAAUAUGGCCAGAUACACGGUGCAAAUUCAGAUAUGCUGCAAAUUUUCGUAAGUUACGCAGCAUGCAAAAUUCAAGUUUUAUUGAUGCUGAAUUGAGAUUGGGUGCUGAAUUUGAUGGGAGGGGAGGCUAGUAGAAAGUGUACAUAAUUCUAGAUGCAGUUAGAUAAUCCUCAUAGGAGGCCUCUUGCGGCACCGUAAUUCCUCAAAGACUGGCUAAGUUCCUAGGUUUACUGAGAAAGGGAGGCUGCAAGGGAAUGCCAGAGGUCAAUUAUACUUGUAGGCAUAGCACAGCCAGCUAAGCAAGUUGAUCAAUGAUGCCUGAUAAACACAUUAGUGAGCAUCCUCCGGUCAAAUAGCUGCACCGCAGUGGCAAUGCAUCGUUGUUUGUUACCCAGGAAGUUCUCAUCAGAACAAUUAAUGGUUGAUCAACUAUCUUUUUCAACACAGUGCCUCAGGUAGAGGCUAGCAGAGUGUGGGAUCGUACUGCAUGUUGUCAGCUAUACUGCAUUUCCUGAACCUUCAGUUAAAAUGGAAAUUCGAGUUUACCAUUCACAGAAUCCUCAUUAGAAUGGACCAAGGGGUCCUAAACGGCCUCGGCCCAGUAUACCUGAAGGAGCGUCUCCAUCCCCAUCAUUCUGCCCGGACGCUGAGGUCCAGUUCCGAGGGCCUUCUGGUGAUUCCCUCACUGCGAGAAGCAAAGCUGCAGGGAACCAGGCAGAGGGCCUUCUCGGUAGUGGUGCCCACCCUGUGGAACGCCCCCCCCCCAGCUGCUCACACAGUUUGCAAAUCCAUUCAGCCAAUGCCACCAUUCGCACAUAGGUGCAAUGGUGCAAUCAAGGCAGGAGAUUCCGACUCAGCAUCAGAAAGAACCUAAAAGCUGUUUGACAGUGGAAUGGUCCCCCUUGGGAGGUUGUGGACUUUCCUUCUAUGGAGGUUUUUAAGCAGAGGUUGGGUGGCCAUCUGUCAUGGAUGCUUUAGUUGAGAUUCCUGCAUUGCAGGGGGUUGGACUGGAUGACCCUCAGGGUCCCUUCCAACUCUACAUUUUUAUGAUUCUGUGAUUCUAGGUGCUUAUGGGAUCUGAGAUCAUUCACAGAAAGGAACUAAGCCAUGCAAGUUUCUUAUCACUUGACAGUGUGGUGUAGUGGUUGAGAGCGGUAGACUCGUAAUCUGGUGAACCGGGUUCGCGUCUCCGCUCCUGCACAUGCAGCUGCUGGGUGACCUUGGCCUACUCACACUUCUCUGAAGUCUCUCAGCCUCACUCACCUCACAGAGUGUUUGUUGUGGGGGAGGAAGGGAAAGGAGAAUGUGAGCCGCUUUGAGACUCCUUCGGGUAGUGAUAAAGCGGGAUAUCAAAUCCAAACUCCUCCUCUUCUCUUCUUUUCUCAAGCACAGUAUGUAUCAAUGAAGGCUGUUCACACAUUGGAGUGUGAGCCAUGGAGUGCAGGCUGGUUUGCGUGAUGACGUAUCUAAUAACUGGCAUGCAUGUGAAGACCAUCUAACACCAUAUGCUUUUCUGUCCUCCUGCUGCUGGUAGUAAACAAGCGUUCUUUGCAGCUCUCCACUGACAACAUCAAUGCUGUUGGUGCACAAAUUAGGAGCUAAACAGAAAGCCAUGUUAAUUUCAAGCUCCAUUAGGAACACCGGCAGAAGAAAAGGGGGGAGGGCAGUCAAUGUUUCCUGAAAAGGGCGCAAAAGAUGGUCAGGGUGCAAUCCUUGAUUUUCUGAUAAAGAACAGAGGAGGGUUGGCUAAAACAAUCGACGCAAAUGGGAAAUAUACUGGUGGACUUAAUGGAGGAUGCAUGAAAAACCGAUAAACAUUAAAGGAAGGAAGGAAGGAAGGAAGGAAGGAAGGAAGGAAGGAGAGAAAGAAAGAAAGAAAGAAAGAAAGAAAGAAAGAAAGAAAGAAAGAAAGAAAGACAAAGAAAUAUACCUAGGUGUCUGGCAGGAUGGAGCUAUUGCCAGCUUGCUAGCACUUCAAUUCUUCCAAAUAGAUUUUAUGGACAAUCCGGUAAUGUUUAUAGUCUCGCGGCUGCAUACGUGGAGAAUUGUUCCUUUGAAGAACGCUGUGGUCAGAUUUCACUCUGACGUUUCAUUGGCAUAGCCCAUCUAUGUGUGAGAGUCCUUUGAGCCAUUUUUUAAACAUUUGUCAUCCUUCCAGGACAAAAUCUGCAAAAAUGCAUUGUGCCAUUUGAUUAUUCAGACACAUGGCGUGGCGGGAGGAGCAGGAGAGUCAGGUUUCAGCAAUCAAUAGUUUUCUCUUAAGUUUGCAGCAAAAUGGAUUUAUUUUGUAUCCAGAGCAAUGUCUUAAUAGGGGCUUCCAGGCUUACAUACUAAAUGCACAGACUGCACAGAUGUAGAAUAUUCUGCCCUGGAAAAAGCUAGUUAAAGAUAGGGGCGUUUUACACAAAAAUAUCCUGACUCAGGAUCUAGGGUACCACAUUCCAUUCUCGGCAACCUUCCAGCACCACAAGGCAAUGUUGGGUGGUGCCAGAGGCAAAAAUGGGCAGGGCAGCAGGUGUAGCUUCUACCUUUAUACAGCGGACUCGUUUCUACACUUACUCUAGCCUCCACCCAGGGAAGCAAGAACCAUGAUCAGAGUUCAAGGGCACAUUCCAGUCAGGCAAAACACAUAUGGGAGGUGUUAAGCAGAGCCUGGAGAGGGUGUGGCUGGGAAUGGAAUGUGGACUCUGGAGAGGCUUGGGGGACUACAUUUAGGGCCAAACCUUCCCCACACCUGAACCUAUUUGCGUAGCAUGGGUUGCCAGUGCCCGGGGCCAUCCAUAGUCCUGGAUGGAUGGAAGCAAAAUGGGCGAAGUACGCAUGCACAUUCAACUGCUUGACAAUGUCCACAUCCCUCAGGAGAUCACAGCCACAGAUAUAAGAAGAGUUAUUCCAUUGUCUGAAGAGGUCACUUCGUGGUUCACAUGGAGAAUCCGUUUUCAGUGGAACCCACCGACAGAAUUGCGCAGCUGUAUUUCAACACCGGGUGUUGAUAUUUUGUGCCCCUAACAAUUUUGCGCCUGGGGCAAUUGCCCCUGUGCUAUGCCACUGACUGAGCCAGAUGCUUCUUGGAGUGUGUAAGUAUGGCCCUGAUCCAGAGCAGGCUCAUCACCUGCAAUUCCCUUUGAAAUCAGUUGGCCUUAAGUUAGUCUUGAUUUACUAAAGUCCCAUUGUUCUUGGUGGGUCUUAGUAACCAUAGCUUUUGGGUGAAAUUUAUGAGUGUCCAAACAACACAGUUAGUUCUUAGAAGGAGCUCCAAAAUGCCAGUCACCAAUAAAUUCCUUCCAAAUCAAAUCCAGCAGUUGCCCAUUGUGUUUUCAUCUCCUCUUUGGGAGGCUACAUUUGCAUCAACUUGAUCAGGUAGCAGGUUUGCCAUUUGGUUUAUUUGUGAGUGGCUGUCGAAACAUUUGCUUUUGAUGUUCAAGCCAGAAUACGUAAUUACAAACUGAACUACCCUCUGGGUAAAUGUUGUGAGUAUUAUUGCAGAAGGUUAGCAUUCUCUUGGACCCAGAACACAUAAUGUUUAUUACCUGUUUAACCAUUAUCCAUUCGUAGACUUGUUGUUGUUAUUAUUACUCAGUUUACAUGGCCCUUUACAGAAUAACAUUGGAAAAAUCAAUUCCUAGGCUAGAAGAACAGACAGCAACAUUUGUUGGUAUGGGGCAUGUGAUGAUACCUAAAUGUUCCAUGGGUGAAGACAGAAGGUAGAAGUAGCUAACCUGUAACUGUCCAGAUGUUUUUGGACUCCAACUUCCAUUAGCCCCAGCCAGCAGGGGCAAUGGUCAGGAAUCAUGGGAGUUGUAGUCCAGCAACAUUGGAAAGCCACAGAUUCACCACACAAGGCAUCAAAGGAAGCUACUCUGAAGAUGCAGCAGGUAACUGACACCAACGGUAGAGUCAAUUAAGGUCAAUAGUUGAGAUCAUUGUGGCAGCAUGUUGUAAUGUUGAAAUACAUUUAACUGUGCUUCACCUUGUACAAUAUGUUUGACACAACAUGGGCUUUAUUUUAGAUACUUCUGCAGCUGGAGCCCAUGACUAAGGAAUAUUUAAAGGGUCCCCUAAACCUACUAUUGAUCCCAAUGGCCUUUCUAGUACAGUGGUAUCUCAGGUUACAGACGCUUCAGGUUACAGACUCCGCUAACCCAUAAAUAUUACCUCAGGUUAAGAACUUUACUUCAGGAUGAGAACAGAAAUCGUGCGGCGGCAGCGGGAGGCCCCAUUAGCUAAAGUAGUACCUCAGGUUAAGAACCGUUUCAGGUUAAGAACGGACCUCAAGAACGAAUUUAAGUUCUUAACCCGAGGUACCACUGUAGUAGGUGAAUGGAAGGUUUAGAUUGACGUUGCCCCUUGUGGUACCAAACAUACCACUAGAUGGUGGUGUUUGUCCUUGACAUGCUAAUCUGCAUCCUUCGACCACACCUGAUCUCUCUCCCUCAACCCAAGCACGCAGCUCAGCCAAUAUUUGAAAUUAAAUUAUGAAUGGUCCAUUGAAAUAAUAACUUUACAAACCUCACUCCGAGCACAGACGUGAUUGGUCGAAACAAGCAGAACACUUAACCUCUUUCGAUUUCCUCUGGUCUUUUUGUUGUUGAUGAUGAUGACAAUUGUUCAUCCCAAACCAAGUCAGAACGCUUAACCCAUUUUUAAUUACUUAAAAGUUCCGGGCAAAUCGCAGCUAUAUCACAACCAUCCCACUGUUUCAUUCCUUGUAACUCAUUGUAAUAAGACUAUCCAUUUCAACCCAAGCUGUCUCCCAAUAUUUUGAAAGGGAUAAAAUUUAAAUCAUGUAAACCCUGAUCAUUUGGGACAGGAGGUAUUCAAAUUAGGGUUAGUCUGAAAGUUCUUAAUUUUUUAAAUUUAGAAAUAGCAGCUGUUUCAUGGGAAAGGAGGUGGGAUGAAAGUGGUUUACCUGCUUUUUGAAGGUAGGGGUGAAUUUUGGAGGUGGGAAGAAAAUAUCGCCAUUCCUUCUCCUGGCUCAUGCCUGCCAUUUUGGUUUCUCCAGAGCACUCUACAUCAUGGCGUGGAGUCAUUCUAUAGAGCCCCAGUCUCCCCCCUUUCAUGACCUGGAAAAUUGCAUUGGGGCAGGGAGAAAGGAAAGCCAUUUUGGCUAAGCAUUUAAAAUCCUCUUUCUCCUUUUUUAAUAUGAUUUGACCUGUACUGGAAAGCAGCUGCAUGCCCUCGCCAUUUCACCCUCAUAAUGCAGAUAUCCAAAGUAUACUAUACACCCAGGUCAGAGCCUUAGGACCUGACAUUUUCCAGCCAGUCUCAGACAGACAGACAAACAGACACAUAGACACAUCUCCAGAGUCCAGCAUCUUCCCUUGGAACUCAAACCAGAUGUCUUCCUAAUUCUUUUCAUAAGAGAGCAUAGCGUAGUGGAAGAAACAUCGGUUUGGCCUACUUAGGUUUUGCGUCCCAUUUCCUGUGACUCUGACCACCCCAAGGCACUAAUUUUAGCAGCCUCGUCUCACCCAGUCUGUGCCACAAGCUUUGUUACAAAUCAGUUAGGCAGUUGUCCAUGUUUACCUACAAAGCACAGGAAAUGCAGUGGCGGUAUGUUGCUGUUUUGUUUUUAAAAAGGCAUAAAGGCUAGGCAGGGAGAAGAAGAAGAAGAAACGAGAAGAUUUGCUUCCUGGUGUGUGGUCACAUCCAGCUGACAGCUUAAGAGCUGAGCCAGGAUCAUGCAUACGGGUGUUUAUUGUUCCAAGGUUGGAAGGAUGUUCUGUGGCUGUAAUAGGCACAAGCGCCGUUCUAGAACACCCAUUCCAAGAACCACGUCUUGUUUAUUGUCCUUUCUUUAAGCAGGAAGUCUUAUAUCUUCCUUUGGCCAGUAAAGGAAAUACAUAAAAUUUCAGGAUGCACAUUGUUGACCAGAAUGACAUUCUCUCCCAUUUAAGUCCACAGGACAAGAGCUCCACACACACACACACACACACACACACACACAAAAUUUUCUUUGUAGGAUAAAUUCACAGGGCAGAGCUCAGCGUUUGGGACCUUCCAUCAAGCUGAAAGAGGCUGCUUGGCCUUUCCUUUGACUAGGAGGGAUCUGCAAUAUGUGUGACAAGCAGGGCAUGUGCCAUCUCGCCCAUAUCCCCUCUGUCGUGAAGGAAGUUCUGUGCGUGGCUCAACUGCCGGGGAAUUUGUUUUGGCUCACUUCUUCGCUAGUUAGCCAUUAAGAGUCAAUUUCAACAUGAUUACAAAUCUACCUUGGGCUUGCCUGAGCAUGCAACUGUCAUAUCUGCAGGCUGGACACAGGGGUCUUUGUGCAAUUUCUGCCCCCUUGUCUGCUGUGUCACUGACCUUCCAUGGGUCGAGCAGGGAAUAAUUGCAGGGAGCUUUUACUUGCAGUUGAUUGUAUCUUAUGUGAUCAAGGACCCUGCUUCCUCAAGAUCCUCGAGUGCUCAGAAAUUUUGACUUCUUUUAUGAGAUGGCCUCUUUUUUUGGGUCACCUUUAAUGUAAGAAAUACCCUUGGCCCUUGGGAGUGAAUUGGGGGGGGGCUGUGAGGGACGCAGGAAACAGUUGUUGGGUGAGCAGAGUUCUAUUCCUCUAUCACUGAAUCCAACCUAUUAUGCUUCUUUAAAUGUCUAUUAAAAAAAUGUAAGCACGAAUGUAGCAAGCUAAUGUUUGCCUGCCCAGGUAUACUGUUUGGGCACAUUUGGGCUUGGGAUUGGAAUGAAACUUAUCUGUCUAGCCAAAUUCCUAAAAUCCAUUUGUGCAUCCCUUCCUUCCUUUCUUCCUUCCUUCCUUCCUUCCACCCAUGGGUUUUUUCUUUGAAUCUGAUCACCUUGAUCCAACUCCACGUCCUCCCUUUAAAAUAUCAUAAAAUAGUAGAGUUUUAAGGGAGCCUGGGGAUCAUCUAGUCCACCCCCGUACAGUGCAGGAAUCUUUUGCUCAACGUGGGGCUCGAACCCACAACCCCAAGAUUAAGUGUCUCAUACUCUGCCAACUUGAGCUAUCCCUCAGGGAUGUUUAUAUACAACAAGUACACAGCUUGUUGCACCAGGAUGCAGACACACGUUCACAUGCGCAUUUCAUUGAAUAAGAGUUUGGAUUUGGAUUUGAUAUCCUGCUUUAUCACUACCCUAAGGAGUCUCAAAGCGGUGAAUAAUCACCUUUCCCUUCCUCCCCCACAACAAACACUCUGUGAGGUGAGUGAGGCUGAAAGACUUCAGAGAAGUGUGACUAGCCCAAGGUCACCCAGCAGCUGCAUGUGGAAGAGCGGAGACGCGAACCCGGUUCACCAGAUUACGAGUCCACCACCCUUAACCACUACACCACGCUGGCUCUCAAUGCACUGCGGACAAAUGGCGCCCAAAGCUGCAUUAUGUGUCUACUUAGUUCCGGGUGGGAAACCUUUGGUCCUCCGGAUGUUUCUGAACUACUACCCCCAGCAUCCCUGGCCAUUGCCCAUGCUUGCUGGGGCUUGCUGGGAGCUGUGGUCCAGUAACAUCUGGAAGGACGAAGCUUCCCUGUCUCUGCUUGAGCGGGAUCAGGGUGAACAAAUUUAGCACUUGGCACAGUUUGUUGCAUUCGUAAAGCAAGCAUCAUUUGGCAGGCAGUGGUUUGAUGUUGCUGUUUAGUUCUUCUUCGGGGGGGUUUUGGGGGGAGCGUUUGUAAUAGUCUCUUAAUGAAUUAUGAAUGUGAUAAUGUGAACGUUUCCCCUCACAAGCCAGCCUUCACAGCUUCUGGAGUAAUAAUGUUUUCCGUGGUGCUUUAGGGCAUGCAGAGUCCUCACGGCUUGGAGCCCCACUCGGUUCCUUAACAGAGUCCUUUCCUCUCAUUGCAAGACAAUUAAUUUUUAUGAUUCGUUUACCAAUACUGGCACAGGCUUUGUUUUUGUAAUGUUUAGUUGAAAAUUGGUUUACAGCAGUUUCUUUUUUUUAAAAAAAUAUUAUUAUUAUUUUAGUGCAGUGAACGCGACCGAGGCAGGGGAGAAAUCAAGCCAAUGUGGUAAUGUGCAGCUUCGGGUAGAAUUUGGAGGAAUUCACAAAAAGGGACAGCCAGCCUCGAGGGAAUGGCUUCUCUUCCUAACGUUUCGCUGUAAUCCUUCUGAUAAUACCUCAGACUUGUCAGCUUUGGGGCGAAAGAGCCAGAGCUGAUUUCUCACUGGCUCAAAAAAUAACUUCAUGAUGAACAGUUUUUUUAAAAACAACACACAAAUAAAUACAUUUUUCUUCUGUAAUAUUCUGAUUGCGCAAUCCAUUACAAACAUAACUGCAAAAUGUAACUCUUAAGAACUUUGGUAUCUCUCUCGUUCCCUGUCACCUCUGUUGAUUUCAUGUAUCAUUCCUUAAAUGUCAUCAGUGAUGCUAUGAAAUGUCACACUUGGUUAAUAUUGCCCGUUCUUCAGUAUGAGCACAUUAUAGCCGUGCUCUCCUGGAAUAAUGGGAGUUGGAGGGGACCUGUCGAGUCACUUAGCCCGUACCCCAUACCCUGCAAUUGUCCCGCUUUUCCUGGGACAUCCCAGAAUUACAGAAGCCGUACUGGCUUCUGAUUGGAUACCGGAAUGUCCCGUUUCUCCAUCACUGCCACUACUGAGCUUGGGGAGGAGGUUGAGCUUGCAGCCAGCACUGGGGCUUGCAGUGGUGCCACAAUCUCGUGUGAGUCAGCCAUGUCUUUCAAUGCUACAUUCUCACAAGAGCCACCUGUCCUACAUAGGAGCACCAGAUGACACUCGUCCUGAUUUUCACCAGCAGAAUAUUUUAUUACUUGUUACAUUCCUAUACCACCUUUAUCUUCCAAGGAUCUCAAGGUGGUGUACAUGGACCUCCUCCUCCCCAUUUUAUCCCCAUGGCAACCCUGUGAGGCAGGUUAGGGCUAAGGGAUGGUGACUGGCUCAAGGUCACCCCAUGAGCUGUAGAGUAUGAUACCCCCUGCUCAAUACAGCUGUAAGUUGAGCCUCCUCAACUGAUAGCUUUCCAGCCUCUGCUCAAAGUCCUUCAACGUGGGAGAGACCGCCACCUACCUGAUUAUUAUUUUUUCUACUGUUGAACUGCUCUCACUUUCAAGAAGCUCCCCUAAUGGUUGCCAGCUGGUUUUACAGGCUCGAUUCAGACCCCAAAUGUUUGAGAGACUGCCUCCUUCCCUGGAGAACUUCUUGGGUAUUAAGAUCGGCAGAAGGAUACCUCUUGGAGGUAUCUUCACCCUCGGAAGCUUGGGAUGGUGGUUGCCUUGAAGAGAGGUCAUUCUCUAUGGCAGUUUCUAGGUUGCAGAAUUCCUUUCCCUCAGAGGUGCAUCUGGCAAGUUGAUAAUACAGUUUCCACCACAUGCUGAAGAUCUAGGUUUUUUCCAUGGCCUUUGACGCCUGAGAUAUUUGUUCUCAGAACCUGUUGCUGUAAAUUAACUGUUUUUUAAUAUUUAGUUUUAAAUUGUGGUAACCUACCUGGGGAUCAGCUUCAUUAAGUCUUUUUGCAGCGAAAACUCUGUGUUUUGCAGCACUCGCCCAAACUGAGUAAUUGAUACUCAAUCCCAAGGGUCAUAGAUAUCACCCCAAAGCCCAACAUGGUCUGAUUCGUUCCAAAGCCGUGGCAAAGUUUGUCAACACUUUUGCAGCAUUUUGCAGUGAAACAGAGUUCUGGUGGUGUGACCUGAGCACUCCGUUCAGAAUUCCCUACCCUGGUUUAAUGAGAAGCGUUUUGAGCUCGGGUUUCCAACCAGCUUUGAACACUCUUGAACACAUUAUAAUCUAAGACAAAGUUAACCAUUUCCCAAACAAAAUGCAAUGGAGAAUUUUAUUAACCGUUUUGCUCAACUCAAGAUAAAUUAUUCCUGCAAUCCACUAAACCAGUAACUUGAUAAAAGAGUGAGAGAGAGAAAGAUAAGGUUAGUCUGGCAGGCUUUAUUCUUAACAAACCAAUGCUUGCUCCUGCUAAUCACCGCAUUGUUUUCGAGAUACUUACAAAUUAAUUCCUGGCGGAUACGUUCUAGUAUCUUCCUUGGUAUCGGAAUCAGACUAAUCAAUCUGCAGCUUUCCAGAUCUUCCCCUCCCUCCCCUUUGAAGAUUGGGACAACAUUUGUCUGCCUCCUGUCCUGUGGGACCUCACCAGUUCUCCAGGAUUUCUCAGAGACGAUAAGAUUGUGGUUCUGAGAGUGCUUUAGCAAAUCUCUUUAGUGUACCCUAGGAUGCAAUUUAUUGAGCCCUGAAGAACUAAACUCAUCUAAGGUAGCUCAUGUACAUUACUGCAAAAUCAUCCCAAAAAGUCAUAGAAUCAAACCCAGCACCAGACAUACAGAAUCAUACACAAAACUGGGUUUUCUUGCUCUUCCUCCUCACCCAGCAAUAAUUCCUAAAAUAUAAGUAUAUUAGCGUGGCCCCUUGCACCGUUUUGACAAUGGUACCUCUGGGAGGCUGUCUUACUACAAUGCCAUCAGCACUCACCACCGGAGUUGCAUGCCCUCCAAGUCUUCCCAUUUUUCAGAAUGGCUUCUGAUUUGAUCCUGGAAUGUUCCUAUUUCCCCUGCCAGUGCUGCUGCUGUUGAGAUCAGGGAGAAGGGUGAGCUGGUGCUUAUCCUGAGUGGCGGUGGCAAGGGAGCACCCCAUUGCUUCUCCAUGGUCUUUGCUGGGCAGAGCAGGCAAAGAGGAGGAGAGGUUGCUGCUAUGGAGGCCCAGCUCUGCAUGAUGCGGCCGCUCUGAGGGGCAGGCGGAGAGCUGGAAAGGAGUUGCACAGUGGAGUGGAGCACAAGGAGUCUUGCUUUUUUAUACAGUCAUACCUCAUGUUACAUUUGCUUCAUGAUACGUUUUUUCAGGUUGCGUCCUGCGGCGACCUGAAAGUACCAAAAAAGGUUACUUCCGGGUUUCACCGCGUGCACAGACGCACAAAAUCACGUCGUGCACAGAAGCGGCAACCCGCGCGUGCGCAGACGCGCCGCUGCGGAUUGCGUUCUAUUCAUGUUGCGAACAGGCCUCUGGAAUGGAUCCCGUUCGCAACCAGAGGUACCACUAUAUAUUAAAAAAAUGCUUCGUGCAUCCACAUCUAAUUUUGUCCCUUUGUAAAAUUUAUUUAUUGGUGUAUGUUUUUCUUGUUUUGUAAAUCUACCAAUGUCAAGGACUGUGUGAGGAGGGCUGCACUGAGGAGGAAUGAUGGGGGUCACCUCCUCCCCCUGAUCCCAAGUCUUCCCAGGAACAGGAGGACAGCAUAGAUUUGGAACAGUGGUUUGCAGAGGGGCAUAGUUCAGAAGGCAGAAGCUGGGAAAGACUGGAUGGGGGACUGCUAGAAGACGAAACACUGGGAGAGAGAGGGUUAACAGAUUCACAGUCCUUGGACAGCAUUCCCCAAGGUCGAGAAGAGCUCAGAAAGUCUCAGAACAAAAAGCACAGAGGGUACAAACUCAGAUUACAAGACGUAGGAGUGGCGUAGAUUAAUAGGGACAGAGGAGGGUGAGCCUUAAUUGGAAGCACCACCAUUUCUAGCAAGACGCAAUCUCACUGUGAUUAUUAAAGAAUCCAACGUUCCUUUUGUUUGAUCUUAUUAUUUACUGCCACAGGGGAGGAAGCCACUUCCCCGAAGCCUGACAACCAAAGAAUAAAAUAAAAUCAGGAUUAAGGGGUUUUCUCAAGACACUGGAGGGCGUGUGUGCUGUGUCCCAUUGUUGUUGUUUGAACUUGCCCUUCUUCUGUGAGCGUGGGGUGGGGGUCUGAAGAGGGUCAAUUGGAGGGGAGCGAGAAAUGUCCUUAUUUUCAUCCAAGGAAUGUUGGAGGGUAUGGAGAUCACUGCGAAAGGGAGUGAUUAAGGUAUGUGGCAGGAUCCCCUUGAGGUGUCUUCACUAAGUCAACAAUUCAUACAGGAAAUGAACCCAAGGCAGCAUUGGGAGGGCAGAGAACUUCAUUUGCUGCUGUGGAAGUGCUACCCCCUUCAGAGAAGCACCUCUAGGUGGUUGGCUUAAGCCCGUAGGGGCCUGCCCCACUCCCCUUUGCAGUUACGGGUUGACUGCAAUGUGUAUGGAAUCAGCACCGGCAAGGAAGGGGCACAUUCAUAAGUCUUUCUCAUGCCCAGUCACAAGAAAGGCUGGCGGGGAGUGUUGUGAUUCAUCCCCAUCUGAUUGGAACCCUUGUAUAUCUUUCCUUCCGUAUAAAUAAAGGUAAAUAUAUUCUGAGAUCUCUGGGGUAAUUCUUUCCUCGGCGCUCGAGAGAUAUUUCUCUGCUGGGAAACAAUUAGUCUGUGGAUUUACUUCUGCCUUGUUUUCUAUUUCCUGUUUCCUUUACCCCCUCUGUGCGAUACGCCGGCUGCCUUAUGAAGGGCUGGGGAUUAGCUGUGCAGCAGCACACAAUGCACACAGGCAAGGUAGCAAUAAUGUGAGUCAUUCCUGCUGCUUGCGGCAGCCCACCUAGCAUUUGCCUUGGAGUAAUCUCACCUUUCCUGUGAUGAAAAAGUAGGUGAUUUGCCACAGAGCCCUUGCGAACACUCGCUAUGUAGCGUAAUUUUCUCUGUCUGUGCUGGUUGCUAUAAAACCAAUCUAUUUUUAUGGCUGUCUCUAUCUGAGAUAUUUCUGGCUAAUGAAACAGUUCAAUUUGUUUUGGGUAUAUGUGUGUGUGUGUGUGUAUCUGCCAAGUGUAAAUAUAUAUAUAUAUCUGCUAAGAGUAUAUAAAAAAAUCCACAAUGGUGUUUGUUCUCUAACCAAAAGAUUUUGCAUGAUAGAAGCAAUGCCAGGUCAAAGCAAACUGCUCCUGUUAUGGUUCUCUGCAAGAAGAGAAUGUUAAAUUAUAUUAAGAAGUGACCAGCAUCUACCUGAUAAGGUAAAGGUAAAGGGACCCCUGACCAUUAGGUCCAGUCGUGGACGACUCUGGGGUUGCGGCGCUCAUCUCGCUUUAUUGGCCAAGGGAGCUGGCGUACAGCUUCCGGGUCAUGUGGCCAGCAUGACUAAGCCGCUUCUGGCGAAAACCAGAGCAGCACACGGAAACGCCGUUUACCUUCCUGCCAGAGCGGUACCUAUUUAUCUACUUGCACUUUGACGUGCUUUCGCUCAAGGAUAAUUAACUAUGAACCCCAAAAUUUGGGAUCCCCUCCAAACCUGUGCCAAAGUUUUGCAUUUGUUUUGCAACACCCCACAAACUGAGUAAUUGACAUAUCAAACAUGGGGUUCAUAGUUAACACCCAAAAGGUUUGGAGGGGAUCCCAAAAUUGGGGGUUCAUGGUUAACAGGGCCUGAUUCUCGCACAGACUAGCCAGAAGUUCUUCUGCUCUUGCUUUUUUCUUUUAUCCGGUGUUGUACCUUGGUUUCUUUUUAUUGGUCAACGUAGUAGGAGAUUGGGGGUCUCUGGUUUUUAAACAUUAGUCAGGGUCCACAUCUCUAAGGGGUGUUCGAUGCCUUGCAAAAUUCCUGUGUGCAAGGUAUAUACACAGAACCUCCCUACUAUCAAACUAUCAUUUUCCCCCCUGCUGUAUUUCCCUUCUUCCUUCCCACUUUUAUUUUCUUCAUGUUAAAACUAUGCUGCUUUGAAACUGUGAAGCUCCCUUGCUAUUUUCGCCAGUGAAUGAUGCAUGAAGUAAUUUGUUAUAUUUAUAGUAUUGAAAUGUGGGUUUUCUGUCUGUUGUUGUAUUUGCUGUUGUUUUGCUAUGUUGCUGUGAAAUUGCUUUUGCAGUGUUUGUUUGAAACGCAACCCUGUUUCAUUGUAGUUCAUAGAAGUUCACAGACUCGUGGAGUUAUACGGGACCACAAGGUUCAUCUAAUUCAACCCCCUGCAAUGCAGGAAUCUUUUUUGCCCAAGGUGGGGCUCAAACCCACAGCCCUGAGAUUAAGAGUCUUGUGCUCUACUAGCUGAGCUAUUGAGUUUGUUGUGAGCCACUUGGAGCAUGUUACUUUUUUGCGUGGGAAAGCAGCAUACAAAUAAAAACAAAUGAAUGUUGUUGGAAGGUAUCUGAGCACUGAAAAUAAGAAACACUUCAAUGGCUUUCUCUGUGCUCACCUAUAUUAAAGAGCAGGAGCAACUCAGGUGGAAGAGAGGGAGAGCCCUUGCCAUCGGAAACAGAUACACUUUUGAUGUACAGUGGACGCUCAGGUUGCAGGUGUGAUCCGUGCGGGAGGCACGUUCGCAACCCGCAGUGCCGCGUCUGCGCAUGCGUGGGUUGCGAUUUGGCGCUUCUGCGCAUGCGCAAAGAGCGAUUUAGUGUUUAUGCGCGAGUGCCGAAACCCGGAAGUAACCCGUUACGGUACUUCCGCGUUUCGGUGCGUCCAUAUUCCGAAAACGCGCAACCUGAAGCAUCUGUAACCCGAGGUUUGACUGUACUUUUUUUUUUUUUUGCGCUCUUGGCCCCAGAUUUCAGAAAGGCUCUCAGCGAAAACACGUUAAUGAGUUUGUAAUUGCUGGUCAGAGCCCCAUGGCUAUUUCUGAGAUCUUGCUUAAAUUCUUGACCAAAUCCUGGACAGAUUUUUUUAGGGUGCUCUGGGAGGUGCAGAAAUGAAGAGAAUCACUCUCCUUUGUAGAUGUCUCCCACAGAAUUAAAAGCCACAAGCUUGUGCAAAGUGCACCCAGUGGAUGCAACACCUGGUGUGCUUGUUUUAAUUGCUGUAGCUGUUACAUACACCGUAUGAAAAUGACUCUCGUGUACUGGCCAUGAUAAUUUCUUAAGAGUCCUGUGCAUCAAUUUCAGUGCCCUGCCACAGCCGUUGUCCUAGGUUCCUGACAACAUGGCUCUUUCUUUUUUCUGCAUCCAACCUCUCUUCUUACUUUCUUUCCUCCUCCUUCUUCAGCCUGCCAUCUGGAGAGAUGCCACUUUUUAAAAUAUAAAAAUCUCCCUGCAAGUAGAAAGUUAGCACACCAGGACAGGGUGCUUCUCUCCAGCUGCAUGUUGGAAAAUUUGCCGACUAGGGAUACAGAUUCUGGCUUUGCAGGGAGUUUCUUAUGGAGGCGGCAGUGGCAGUAUUUAAAAUUGUAUUUCCUGGCUGCAGGUGCUAUAGUUUGCUGUGCCUCUGUAGAUCUGGAAUCGGUGCGUUAGAUGGUACAUUAGAUUCUUGGUACAUUAGAUUCUUGAGGCUUCAGAAAAUAUGAGCUUUAGAAUUUGUGCAAUAAACGUGCUUUGUGUCCCAGCGUUUAAAAGUGGUUAGUUGAAGUUCACUUUGGACAUUCUUUUCAGUGCUAUUUUAAUCUGAUCUAAGGGAGAUGUGUUUAGAAGAUAAAUAACUGAAUUAGUUUCCCAGCAAAAGAGAGCAAAGGCAGUGGGGUGGGGUUUCUCCUUUGUAGAAAAAAGCCAACAACAAUGACAUCCUCUCUUGGGGCAAAUCUAAUGUGCUCUGUUCUUAACUGUUCAGGCCUUUGUGUGCUGUAGGGAAAGAACACAGAUUAAAAACAUAAACAGCUGAACAUGCUGUCAGGAUCCGAAAGAUCGGGCUUGGCUCUUUAUUUUGUGUCCCAUGCAAUUGUUUCCUAUUAAUGUCAAUCGGAGCUCUUGACAGCGAGAUUGUAACUUGCAAUUAAUACCAAUAAACUAUGUCCCAGUGUGCUGACUAACACUAUGCAAAGCUGGAGACAAACCCAACACAUAAUUAUGCUACCCAACAUGUAAAAGCUUGACUUGGCAAGGGCAAGGGGGUUUUUAUUUGCCAGAGGUCCUUGCAACGCUUAGGAAUAACCAUCUGAAAGUACAGGUGUCGUUCUCUACCCAUCUAUUUGUUUUAACAUAUCUUCAUUCGUUUAGUAUGCGGGUUUUGUCUCUUCCAGAGAAGGCACCUGCGUCAAGGCAGAGGUACUCCAGUCUGUGGAUGUUCCUGUGCAUAGGAACUGAAGGGGUUUUCCCACCCACCCACCUUUUUCGUUAACCGAUUAUCGCUUCCCCAGAUUUGGCACCAUUAGAAUGUGCAUGGGAUAGAAUGUGCAAGCCAGACUUGGAAGGAAACUUAAGCAUUGACUAGAAAUGCAAAUAGAAGGGGAAGAAAUGGAGGCAGUGAGAGAUUUUACUUUCUUGGGCUCCAUGAUCAUUGCAGAUGGUGACAGCAGUCACGAAAUUAAAAGACUCCUGCUUCUUGGGAGAAGAGUAAUGACAAACCUAGACUGCAUCUUAAAAAGCAGAGACAUCACCUUGCUGACAAAGGUCCAUAUAAUUAAAGCUAUGGUCUUCCCAGUAGUGAUGUAUGGAAGUGAGAGCUGGACCAUAAAAGAAGGCUGAUCGCCGAAGAAUUGAUGCUUUUGAAUUAUGGUGCUGGAGGAGACUCUUGAAAGUCCCAUGGACUGCAAGAAGAUCAAACCUAUCCAUUCUGAAGGAAAUGGAGAGCUCACUGGAAGGACAGAUCCUGAAGCUGAGGCUCCAGUACUUUGGCCACCUCAUGAGAAGAGAAGACUCCCUGGAAAAGACCUUGAUGUUGGGAAAGAUGGAAGGCACAAGGAGAAGGGGACAACAGAGGAUGAGAUGGUUGGACAGUGUUCUUGAAGCUACCAGCAUGAGUUUGACCAAACUGCGGGAGGCAGUGGAAGACAGGAGUGCCUGGCGUGCUCUGGUCCAUGGGGUCACAAAGAGUCGGACACGACUAAACGGCUAAACAACAACCACAACAGAAAUGUAUUGUUAUAGGUUGUGGGUGCUAGGGCUUGUGGGUGCGAGUCACCCAUAUUUUUUAGAAUUAGUCAGAGUUAGAAUUAGUCAAGGUUUAAUCAGUGAGCCACCCAUUGGGUGGGGCAAGCCAGGGGAGGCAGAGGGCAGUCGCAAGCUGCCCAUUGCCCUUUUGGUCAUCCUGGAGCCUGCAGGCAUCCAAGCCACCAUGUCAGUCCUGCUCCCCUUGGUGUGGCACCCAGUGCCCCCCACCGCCCCCCCAGCUACGCCUCUGGUUUUAGUUACACUGUGCCGAACAUGGAAAUGCCUGGAUUUAGCUUAUGUUAAUGAACCUGGCCAGACUGGCAGGGCUAGCUGAGUGUCAGCCAUUAACAAACAAAGACCAGUGAUAGCCCAUCAAGGGAGCUGUCAAAAGAGACUGCCAGACAAGGAGAGGCGGGGCCCUUCCUCCAGCUGUGUGUUGAAGGGCCAGAGACAAAAGGGCCUUUGGGAUUUCAGGGUGGAUGGCAUAAGAACACAGGGGAGUUUUCAGAAGAGGAAGUGGGCUAGCUGUAAGAGAGAGGCACAGAGGAUGGCUUUUUGCUGUUCUUUGAAUCAAAAAGGAGGAAGAGGAAGCCGCUUGGGGAUGUGAAUGCUGUGUAAUCUCUUCAGGUUGUGUGUGUGUGUAUAUAUCUGUAAAUAAACCAUAUAUCAUAAGGAGUGUGAGUGUGAAUGUGUGCCUCAUUGUCCAAAAGGAAACACAAGUGCCUGAACCCCUGGAAUCUUGCACCGCUCGUGGAGAUAGGGGUGGCGGGUAACCCUAUUGGGAGCCAGAGUCAGUCUGAGUCAGGUGCAUGCUGGGAGCUGGGCUGAGAAGCCCAUUUGAGAAGAAAGGCUGAGAAACUGACAGUGGUAUGUACCUCCGUGAAUGCAUGAGCAUUCCAAACUGUCACCUGAACCCAGGCUCUAGGUUUGCAUCCUCAAGGCAAACCAACAGCUACAAACCAAGGCUGGUUACCGCACUUGGUUUAUCUCUGGUGAGACAAACCACAAACAUGAGUUUGAACGACAUAGUAAUAGAAACCUCAGCUUAGUCCUGAACAUCAGGGCAGCAGCAGAACUGGGGAAGGAUUCUUCCCCAGAACUUCAGGCUCCUAUUGAGGAAUCCACACAUUUGCACUAAGCUAUGGUCUGAGCUUAAAGGCGUCAGGCCUUUGGCCAAACAAUAUCAGUUACAAGCAAUAAACCAUAAUAAUAAUAAUAAUAAUAAUAAUAAUAAUAAUAAUUUAUACCCCGCCCAUCUGGCUGGGUUUCCCCAGCCACUCUGGGCGGCUUCCAACACAAUAUUAAAAUACAAUAAUGCCUCAAACAUUAAAAGCUUCCCUAAACAGGACUGCCUUCAGAUGUCGUCUAAAAGUCUGGUAGCUGUUGUUCUCUUUGACAUCUGGUGGGAGGGCGUUCCACAGGACGCGUGCCACUACCGAGAAGGCCCCCUGCCUGGUUCCCUGUAACUUGGCUUCUCACAGUGAGGGAACUGUCAGAAGGCCCUCGGCGCUGGACCUAAGUGUCCGGGUAGAACGAUGGGGGUGGAGAUGCUCCUUCAGAUAUACUUACAACAAAGCUAUGGGACAUGUACUCAAGCUGCCUCUGGAGAGCUUCUAGACUAGAGUCAUAGAAUCACAGAACUGUAGAGUUGGGAGGGACUCCAAGGGUCAUCUAGUCCAACUCUCUGCAGUGCCGGAAUCCUGCCCACUGCCAUCCCUGGGUGGACUCAAACCACCAGCCAGGCACAGAUGGUGCACAGGCCAGAAGAUGCCUUAGUGCACACUUUGGAGUGUGAGUCAUGCCGUGAAGAGCUAACAGCUGAUUUGCACGGCCUGACCCUGACAAUCAGCUGGGGCCUCUCCAGCUUUGCAACUCAGACAAGCAUUUCUGCUUUCAUAAGGGAGUGGAUUUUCCAAAGACGUGAUAAUUGUGGUAAUUGACUUUCUGCCAUUUGGUGGGAGGUGCUGUGGGCAUUCUGGAAAGGUGUAAAUACAAAUUGCCUUGGCCUUUAUUUAAACAAAGUUUUACUGCCAUUUAAUUUUUUUUACUGCCGUUUCCAUGAACCUGACCUGGCUCCAGGCUUGUAAGGUUCAGUUGCCAGAUUCCUGACAAGUUCAAUCAAUUCAGGAAACUGCUCAGUAGUGCCUAAAGUAGUAUUAGCCUUGUCAUUUUAGUUUCCUGGCCAUUAGAUCAUCUUUGUUAUAGCUGCACUAUAUUAAACUCAACGGCUCAUGCAGUUAAGGUUAUAAGAAGAUGCCAAAUACUGUGUCAGACUAAUGAUCCUUUUAGCCUGGACUCCGAAUAAUGUUUAAUGGCUAUCAAUUAAGGGGAUGACCUUUUGUCUAGUCUUUGGAUUACCUAAUAGCUGGAAAUGUUUCCUCAAUGCCCAUUAAUGGCUAGGAGACCUCUCUUUUUUAUUAUUAAAAAUGGCUUUUUAUGGCUGGUGGCUACUAGCUAUGACACAUCAUGGCUGUCUGGCUGGGGAAACAGUCAGACAUUUCAAAUGCAGCUGAUAAAGGAGAUGGAAGAAUGAGAUUUUGUAGAAAGCUAGAGGGAGAAGGACUCUGAGGAUAUCAUUUUUCAUUGGGGUGGAGGUUAUGUUGCUGUAAAGACAGGCAUUGUCUGUCAUAGUACUUUUUCAGGAAAACAAAUUGCUUGCAUCUGCUCCAACCUAGAUGCCAUAGCUGUAACUGAAUCCAUUCUGGUGGUCAGAAGGGCUCUGCCUAGUCAGACUUUUGUGGAUGUUGUUUAGUUUCUGCAACCUGAGGAUGUGGACAGGGUUCUUGGAAAGGAGAACCCUAUUUUAGAAUAGAGCAUUCAAAAUGGAAAGCAGAUACCAAAAAAAUGCAGUUGAGAUUCCCUUAUAAAGCACCGUAAAUUAGCAGCGAAGCAAAAUACCCUGAAUCUCUUUCAUCACAUCCAAAAAAUGCAAUAAAAACUCCACACGUCAGUUGAAAUAUCACUAGCAGGUUUACAAAAUCACUGAAUCAGAAGCUGUGCCUCAAUGUCUCACAAAAAAAGAACCAACCUUUGCAUUUUCCCAUGUAAUCAAUUUAGCCUCAGCCAUUUUCCACCAGGACAAGGGUGGUGCUGUGGGUUAAACCACAGAGCCUAGGGUGUGCCGAUUAGAAGGUCGGCGGUUCGAAUCCCCGCAACGGGAUGAGCUCCCUGCUCCUGCCAACCUAGCAGUCAAAGUGCAAGUAGAUAAAUAGGUCACGUCAACAGGUCGCGUCACGUCAAAGUGCAAGUAGAUAAAUAGGUACCACUCCGGUGGGAAGGUAAAUGGUGUUUCUGUGCACUGCUCUGGUUUGCCAUAAGCAGCUUAGUCAUGCUGGCCACAUGACCCAGAAGCUGUACGCCGGCUCCCUCGGCCAGUAAAGCGAGAUGAGUGCCGCAACCCCAGAGUUGUUCGCGAGUGGACCUAAUGGUCAGGGGUCUCUUUACCUUUAUCUUCCACCAACCAGAGCAGUAACACAGUUAAUCCCUAGACAACUUUUUCUCAUGAAGCAGAUGUCCCAUCUGCAAAGGAUCCAUAAUAGCAUAGCACAUAAUUUACAACCAGCUCAUCCAUCUAAGGCAGGGGUAGGAAAUCUCAGCCCAGGGGGCAAACACAGCCCCCCAGGAAUCAUAGAAUCAUAGAGUUAGAAGGGACACUGAGGUUCAUCUAGUCCAUCACCCUGCAAUGCAGGAAUCUCAGAUGAGCAUCCAUGACAGAUGACCAUCCAACCUCUGCUUAAAAACCUACAAGGAAAGAGAGUCCACCACCUUCUGAGGGAGUACAUCCUACUGAUGGAACAGCUCUUACCAUCAGAAAGCUCUUCCUGAUGUUUAGUCGGAAUCUCAUUUCUUGUAUCUCGAAGCCCUUGGCUUGCUCCGUCUUCCAUGCGACAGCCCUUGAGAUAUUUGAAGGUUGUUUGACCACACCUCCUCCCACCCUCUCCUUGAGUGCUGUCCUGUGUGCUUGAAUUGUGAUCAUGCCUUUGGCUUCCCUGGGUGAAGAAAUGCGUGUUGUAGGGAUGGGGAAACCUCUGGUGUUUUCACAACUGGAAUGUGACCUACUUACUAUGCACUUUCAUUGCUCUGCCUAUUUUUGCACUGGGCCAUGUCAUGGCCCCUUGAAGGUUGGUCAUGUGGGAAUCUGGCCUUGAGUCUGGAAUGGGUUUCACCAUUCCUGAUCUAAAGAAAUCUAGCACCAUACAGAUAGCAGCAGUACCGCUCCUUCCCUGUCCCAAUGAGACUGCAGUGAGAGACCCACUACUGAAGAAACCAUCACUUAAUCAUUCUAUAACAACUAUUAAGUAUCAGUCUCACAUUUGGAGGGGGGGUUGGGGGGAAGGCUCUUGAGAAGCCAUGGGUCUGCCCAUGAGUCUGACCAGCAGGGGCUCAUACAGACCUGUUGCACUUGAUAAGAAAAAGAUGCACACAUCUGCUUUUAAACCUUUGAAAAUGCUAGGUGGAAUUAUUACAGGGUAACUGUUUGUCCUCUGAACUGUGCACCAAGCAUUAAAUAUGAUAGGCAAGUAGUUAAAUAUGUCCGUUCACAACUUUUCAAAAUUCUGAUCAGAAUGUUCCUAAUUGGGGAGCUGAUUUGGUAGCAGUGGUGCCCAAAGUAACAUUAUGUAUAUUCUGCUUUGUUGCCAUUUUAGGAUUUACAGUGUGUGUUAUUAGCACUAUUAAGUACCCAUCAAAAGCAGAAGUGGGUCCCAUGUUGAAGGUUGGGUCUCAGGUCUGGACCCAUUGACCUGCUAACUGGACCAGCUAUCUAAACCAACCAUAUGCAUUUCGUGUUUUUCAUAUUGUGGUUUUAUGUUGUGAACCGCCCUGAGAUCUAUGGGUAUAGGACGGUAUACAAAUAAAAUAAAAUUCCACCUACUCUCUAAAGUUAAGAAAUGCCUUCCUAAAAACACACACACACACAACCUGUACUCAAGAGGCUAGGACGGUGCAGGGAUGUAAUCUUUCCAGCAUCAAACUCCUGGUCCUAAUGCUUUGUUCUUAGUGGGUCUUCUGCUUCUCUUGCUAUUUCUUUCCUAGUAUGGAAGAUCCUGUUCAAAAUUGCACGGCUGUUCAGUUGAAUGGCUAGGUACAAUAGCUGGAAAAGUCAAGUUGCACCUGACCAAAGUUAUAUUCACUUCUAGCCUUCAGGAGGACGGAGGUUGCAGUUUCUGAAGAAGCCAAGUGUUGGCAAGGGUCUAUUUGAAAAAGAAGCAGACCAGAACUAAAUUAUCGCAGUCCUCUUAUAUAUUGUCUUCUUUCCCCGGUAGUUGCUUUCUGAAGCCUCUGCUUCCACUUUUCAAGGUUCGUUAGCACUUGAGAGUUCAGUAGGAGAUCACGGAACAGGAGGCAGGAAGUUCACGGUCACCUCCUAGCAGAGAUUGCGAAGAUGGGAGAGCCAAGAAGACACGGCAAACCUGUGGUCCUCUAGAAGUUGGGAUCCAACUCUCAUCAGCCCUGACCAUUGGCACUGCUGGUGGAAAUUGACAACAUCUGGAGGGCCACAGGUUCCCCAUCUCCAGUGGGUCCAUACAGAUGUGGAAUUACUGACAGGGUGACCUUUGUCUUCAUUCUGGAUACCAAUCCUAUAAAGAGCACUUAACAGUUCAACCCAAAGGAUGUCUGCUCACAAUUAAGCUCUGUUUUGUCCCAUGUGGCUUAGUUCUAAAUGUGCAUGCAGUUGCAGGCUAUACGAACUUCUGGAUCUACUCAAGGGUUGUGUGUUUGGCUACUGCAGUUGGCAUCAUAGUGGAAUCUCAUUUUGAGCUUCGGCGGCAGCAGAAAUUGCUGCAACUGAAUGCUGUGGCCCCAGAGGAGAGGCAACAUUUCAUAACAGCUGGGCUGUCGGCUUGCCAGUAAUCCCUGUGGGAGUUGUCAAAUGUGUGGGCCAGCCCAGAGAGUGUGGAUGUGAGUGCAAGCGGGGUUGGACUGUCAAGAAUACAGAUGUGGAGAGCGCCUCAGGUGAAGAGGAGAAGCUAAGUUUCGGAUGUGGAAUGUGACAGCGAGCAGUGAACAUAGUGUGGGCAAGGGUAAAUCUUUUAGGUUUUGGGAAAGACCAGAGGAGCAAAGUUUUGGAAAAGGAGUAUGUCAAAAUAAAUGCCGCUUUGUUCCAUACAUUUAAAGCACUGCUGCUUCGAGACCAACCAAUUUAUACUCCCCAUCACUGCUUCCCCAGGGAUUGGUAUUCAGUGGAUGUAGCUUUAAAAUCUUGGGAGAAUAGCUGUUCAAGGAGCCUUCAGGUAACACGAGAGAAGCAGAAGGGCACUGGGAAGACUUUCAGAACCGCAAACAUUUAAAUCUAGCAAAAUACUCUAUGCCUCAUUUGUUUGCAGCUCUGAGGCAUCCAUUGGGUUUCAGUUUAUUUAUUUAUUUUGCAAAAAAGAGAGAGAGAGCGCGAAGUCUUUUCAAAGAAUAGGCACCGUGGGAGCAUUUUACCUUCUGUCAAAUCUUCUUAAGAAGGAAGCCACCAGAGCAAGCACAGAAGGCUAGAGGAGGAGGAGACUCCCAGCUAACUGUCCCCUGGCAAACAUGAGUUUGGAUAAUGGUGCUGAAUGACCUUGGUCAUGCCACCAUAUCACUUCAAGCUUCCUCAUUGCCUGCCUCCACAGAAUCCAGUGUGGGUUGGUGUUUUUUUUUAUCGCCCAUCCAUUUGACUUUGAAGGUACCACAAGACUCUGUUUGCUUUGUUAAAGACCAGCAGAUUCAUUGCAGCAUAAAAGUUUCGGGAGUAGAGCUCGCUCACAUCUGGGGAAACAGGCCCUAGAAUCACAGGAAGCUGCGUUUAUACCAAGUCAGACCAUUGGUUCAUCUAGAUAAGUAUUUGUCCGCACUGAACGAAAGAGUCACUCCAAGGUUUCUCUCCUGCGAUUGAACCUGAGACCGUCUGCAUUCAGAACAGAUGGUGUGGCCCUUUGCUAAACCACAGAGGCUUACUCCAUGGUACAUGUUUGCCCCUUGUUUGUGUCGGGAUCUGCGUUCGACCGAGCUGAUAAAGCUCAUCUUCCUCUGGCCGAGUCCUUCGGAAUUGCCCCCGACGUGAUUGACAACCUGAGCCUUUGAUGAGGCUCCAGGCACAUCCCAUUCAGCAGAGAAUCCAAAACAGCACGCGGAAGUAAUGAGAUUUAUGGCUACAUCGCUAUGCUUUAUUUCUUACUACGCAGACAGCAAAGAAAAAUACAUCCUCUCUCUGUGAGAGCAGAGAGCAACUGAGACAAAGGAACAGGAAACCAGUAACGUCACAUCCGUCUCCCAUCUCCCGUGAGACUUCCAACAGCCUGGAAGGUCUCUGGAAUGUAAACAGAGUCUUGUGACUCUAUGCAGCUGCACAGUGGCAAACAGAAACUAAUAGUUUGCGGCUCUUCUGUAACAGAUUUAAUGUGGCUAACCUUCUUGGCUUUACUAAAGCAAAAUAAUUUAGAGGUUUUUUCAGCUUCAGAGUGAAUUUGAGUUUGCCAUGUGCUUCAAAAGGAGGAAGGUCCACUGCCCCGUUGUAAAGCAUCUAGCUUUAUAUCAGUCAUUGACAUUACAAAACUUCAGGCAAUGAAACUGGGCAAGCUGUUGGCCUGAGAGCAACAAAAGUUGACAGUUUUUGUGUUAAUGUCAAAGCUGUUCCAUAGGCAGCCCUCAAGCCAGAGCUAAGCAGCCCAAAAGACCCUGUAAAUGUUAUUAUCGACAAAGCAAAAGUCCUAGCCUGAACAGUAGGCUUUUCUAAUGCUUCCUGUUGAGGAGAGCCAAUGGCCAGCCUGGCUGGGUGGAGGCAAUCCCUUUACUGCAGGGGCAGCCAAUGUGGAGGACACCACAGGCUGUGGACCACAACCCCCAUCCUCCCUCACCAUUGGCCAUGUUGACUGGUGGUGAUGCGAGUUGGAUUCCAACAACAUCUGGAAGGCACAAUCUUGGCUUAUUCUCCUUUGCGAUCAAAGGAGAUGCUUCAUCUUGUAGCGUUGUUGGCUGAAGAUGUGCAUAAGCCAUUGAUUUCUGAAAGUGUACGCAGCAGUUCCUUGCAGUUAGAUCAAUCACUGGUCUAUCUUCAGAAGUGGGCAGCUCCCUAAAAUUAGACGUGGAUGUCUUCCUAUGCCUAUUAGUCCAUUGACAUAUUGGAGGGAAUUAAAGACAACUAAUUGACAGAAUGUAGACCUGCAUCCUACUAUAUUGCUGUUAGCAUUUCCUUUCCUGCCCUGCCUUCUGUUGAGUGUCUAGACUAGAGUUGUUCAUUCAUACAAGGCUUUUUGUAGAUGCCAGUUUGUUUUAAGAGUUGUUUUUCUCGCUGCUCAAGGUCACCAACAGCUUUGGCAUAGCAUUAGUAGAAUGAAAAAGAGAUGUGGGGCAUAUCUUGCAUGACACAGACUUCUGAACCUUUAUCUUUCAAGUUCCCAAAGUCCUUUUAAUAGUAGAUCUUGCUUAUUUUAAUGAGCCUCAUUAUACCUCGUUUGUUCAGCUCUCUUGUGUGCUGCCAUAUGGCUCCGGUGGCUACCUAGUGAAAAUGUAUUUAUUAUCUCAUAAAACAUAUAUAUAGAGAUGUCAGAUGCAUGUAAUUAAAGGAAUUGUCUUUUGAGAUAUAUAUAUUUUAUCAAUUAACCACCUGGAGCUUCCUAGCCAAAUCUUAAUCAGCUAGCUGACGGAAGACAUCUUGAAACCAUGUCUGGAAAGAGGCAAGCAAAGAUCUAUAUAUACAUUCAGGCAUUCACGAAAGUGUGAUAAUUGUAAGAAGUAAGAAUGGGGGGCAGGAUUCUAUUCAGUUCACAUUUAGAGGCGAAUUUCCUAAUUCUCAUUUCCUGACGCACAGCCGUUGUUGGAAAUUUUCCAAAUUUUGCAGUGUAGUUCUACACAAAUUCAUAUACUAGAGGACAGUGCACAUUAGAAUGCACAUGUUAGUGGAAAAAAAGAAUAAAAAAGUAGCUCAGUUGUUAGAGCAUGAGACUCUUAAUCUCAGGGUUGUGGGUUCAAGUCCAACGGUGGGCAAAAAGAUUCCUGUAUUGCAUGAGAUUGGGCAAUACAGAUGAUCCUUACAGUCCCUUCCAUCUCUACAAUUCUGUGAUUCUGUGAAAAUGCAUGAUAUUAGGGGAAAUUGCAUAGGAAAAUGUGUACACUGGGAGAAGUUCGCACUCUUGUUUUUUUUAAUAAACUGAUGAGGAAAUGUAGAGAGCUGAACCAAGAUUGGAAAAACAAGAAACCCAAAUUGGCAGCUCUGACUAUCCCUAGUAGAAAGCAGAAGGGCAAGGCUGUGAACUUUCAUCCCCGCACUGCACCGCGUACUCCUCCCUGGCCUUGAGCUUAUAUCUGUGUUCCUCACUUGUAUCCCCCCACCCUUUUUUUAAUGGUAAUAUUUGGACCCUGCUUUGCUUGGCAUAUCUCCCAGUUCUAGUUGUUAGAAUUCCUGCUCCAUGAUUGCAGUCAUGGGAUUUUUGUCUAUCACAUGAUGGUGUAUGUUUUGACUCCACAGAGUGGGAAGUGACAAAGACAGGAUGUUUGCAUUACUGUGUUCCGUGAAGUGGGACUAUUGUCCUUUGUCCUUUUCUCUUUGCUGUCUGAUGCUAGAGAGAGAGGGAGCCAUGUUGCAGUGCUUUGUGUGUGUUUAUAUGUAAAUAAAGUAGAUUAGCCAAAAUGCUGAGUUGCUGGGGUCUGUCACGCACAUGAUGCGCAAACUCUGCAGAUCCCUAAGUGUGCCAGUGUUGGUUGGCAUCGGUCGCUGUGAUGUUCAGGCUGAAGAAAGCUUUUGAAGCUCCCGAACGAUCGACCAGGAGGGAGAGAACAUGCCAGUUGGUCAUGUGUCUCUGCCAGGGUCCUACUCAAGUGUAGGCUGAACUCUUGACACUAGUAAGAGCACAGAGUAGAACACUUAGGCUUGAGAUCUAACCCCCUGCCCCCAACAUAUGAAACAUUUGCUGGAAAUGGGUGGCAUGUUUUAAUUUCUAGAGAGAGAGGUGCAGAGACUCAGACCAUAUAGGCCAGAGAGACUCCUUAAUGCAAUGUGCAGAUGGAGUAUGGGCAGAGCAGGUUGUGUUUGCUAAGGCACAUUUUGACUACAUUCCAGCUACCUGGUAGAAGCAAUUGUUGGCUAUCAAGCCUGGCCAUGAUUUUUUUGACUCCUGGGAAGUACCUUUCCUUCCUACAAGUCCAUUGUGUGCUGGCAAAUGAUGUCCACAUGCUCUAAGUACAGAUCCCACGCUUUCCACCUGCUUCUUGAAUGGAAUGGCAUCCUUGCUUAACCAGGAUAGCUUAUCACAUCAGGAAGGAACUAGUGAAAACUUGAGUUCACCUUGACACACUGAAUAUUGUGAGAUACACCGAAACAGCAUAAUCCUCACAAAGUGAUUUUUAUGACAUCAAUUUCCUGUGUGGAUUAUGGUGUUUGAACAUUCCUGGUGUGAUAAGAGAUGUUAGGGGAACAUGUCAAGGUGGACUCGUUUUCCAGUCAUUCGCUCCAAUUUCCUACCACACUGAACAUUUGAAUUGGUCCUCGGAGACAAUUGGAAUGUAAAUUCAAGAGUUUAUAGCUUUCUGACUGAAAAUGGGUGUAUGUUUUUGUCGGCAAAGCCUGUGGUUUUUUUAGCAAAAGUAACUUGAGUUUCCUCAGCUACCCAUACACUUUGCCCAUAUGAUGCCAGUCUGUAAUGCACAGACCCCUUUGCUAUGUGCAGGUCUCUUGCUUCAAUAGUAUCUGUGCAAGCAACAUAACACUUGAGAGUCCUUAAGGGAUGCGGGUGGCGCUUUGGGCUAGGACUUGCUGAUCAGAAGGUCGGUGGUUCGAAUCCCCGCGACGGGGUGAGCUCCCGUUGCUCGGUCCCUGCUCCUGCCAACCUAGCAGUUUGAAAGCACGUCAAAGUGCAAGUAGAUAAAUAGGUACCACUCCAGCAGGAAGGUAAACGGCGUUUCCAUGUACUGCUCUGGUUCACCAGAAACGGCUUAGUCAUUCUGGCCACAUGACCUGGAAGCUAUACGCCGGCUCCCUCGGCCAAUAAAGCGAGAUGAGCACCACAACCCCAGAGUCGGUCACGACUGGACCUAAUAGUCAGGGGUCCCUUUACCUUCACCUUUAACAGAUCAACAUUCAGUGGUAAAGGGCAUUCUUUUCUUUAAAAAGGGAUCUGCACCAAAGGCCUUGGAGAUCAACUGACCAUUAGAGCUAAGGGUGUAAGGGAAGAUGGACCAAUUGUCUAACUCUCUGUAUAAGCCAGUUCUUUAUAUCCAAGUAUGCUGUGAUCUCAAGGAGACAGCAGGCUCACUCAUAACUGAGCUAUGGAUGUUGUGGAGAGUUUUCUACAGAGCUGUGUCUCUCAUGACUUAAGGAAUUCUGUCUAGAGAGGAAAUGCUGCAAAGGAUUCUGGGACAUGUUCUACCACACGCCUUGUUAAUUUUAGGUUUGUCUGGCCUCACCACUGCCCCAUUUGAGGUGAGAGUUGUGCCAUAGGACAUACCCAACACUUUCUUAUGUCUGCAUAAGAAAAGGAUGUAAUAAUAAAAGGAUGUCACAUAGAGGAGGGAGAAAGGUUGUUUUCUGCUGCUCCAGAGAAGCGGACACGGAGCAAUGGAUCCAAACUACAAGAAAGAACAUUCCACCUAAACAUUAGGAAGAAUUUCCUGACAGUAAGAGCUGUUCGACAGUGGAAUUUGCUGCCAAGGAGUGUGGUGGAGUCUCCUUCUUUGGAGGUCUUUAAGCAGAGGCUUGACAACCAUAUGUCAGGAGUGCUCUGAUGGUGUUUCCUGCUUGGCAGGGGGUUGGACUCGAUGGCCCUUGUGGUCUCUUCCAACUCUAUGAUUCUAUGAUUCUAUGCAUGUUGUGGGGAAAGACGAGUCAUGAAUGGAUAAGCUGUCCUUCGGUGAAACUCAUUCGCCACUCCUGAACUUAGGGACUUUGAUAACUUUCGAGGGGUUUCCCUGGAACACAAUCUGAAAAUCACAGCUGUUGAAUAUAAGCUGUCAUUACAGGAUAUUAGUUUUUGUUAUAGAGCAGGGGAAGCCAACAUGGUGUCCUCCAGAUGUCGAUGGACUACAACUCCCAUCAUCUCAGACCAUUGGCCAUGCUAGCUGGAGUUGAAAGGAGUUGUGCUGCAAUAACAAAUGGAGGUCACCACAAUGUCUGCCCCUAUUACAGAUUUUGUAAUCCCAUUUAAGAACAUGUGAGACUGUUUUCUGGAGCUGGCUUCUUUGGGAGCCAGAAAGUUAAUUGUGAAAUAGUUGUGUGUAUUUUCUGCAGGUGGUAUGGUAGGAAGAACUUUGUCUUCAUUGCUAGCACAGAUCGAACCCUCUGGAGAGGUCUUGUAUUAAUUUGUGUCUUGUAUUAGAGGACUGGGAACUUGCUUCCUUUCCCUCACCUGGCAGCUAACACCAAAAGAAUUAUGUUUGCACAGUCAAAAGUCUGUUCUGGGGAUGGUGACACGAGAGGACACAGAAAGUCACAGCUCGAGCCCUUGUUUGUCUCUCAGCAAAUUAUGUAGCCAUCACAUGCAUCUCCAGAUUUACUAUCUCUGAAUCUAAUUUAGGGUUCGGGUCUCGGGCUUAAAUAACUGGCUGGAUAACUUGCAUAACUCUGUGCAUAACUUGCAGAAAUAGUUACAGCUUUUGUGUGAGCAUUCUUUAUGAUGGGUUAUUUCAGCUACAAACAAUGCGCGUUCCCAAACCCAGUGAGAUCCUUGCGCUCUGCUUUUGCAGAGCCACGUCACGGAGGAUAGAAGGUAACAUCUCCAGCUUCUAGGGUCAGACACAUGAGUGAAAGUCAACCGGAAAUUGUCAGGCAGAGAAUUGAGGCCAAGGUAGAUUACCAGGAGGCAUCUUAGACAGGUGGAGGUGGGUGUGGAGAAGGGUUGCCUAGGAAAUCGAGAGACUGUGGCUGGCAUCAGUGGUGGGCAUUGCCAGGCACCUGCUGAGGUUCAUGUCUUAGUAGGGGAGUUGCAACUGUCUACCAGAGCCCCCUGCCUCUUCUUGCCAUUGGCUGCCUGCUGUCUCUCCCUCUGGCGAAAUAGGAGAGGGCAAGUGGAUAGCAGGAACCAGAAGAAGGAGCAACAACUGCUGCUGCCUCCUCAUUCACUUGUGCCUCAAGGCAGCAGUAGGGACUGAGCCCAGAGGGAGCGUGUUAGUGCCAGAUAGAGGAUAUCUCUGUCCAGUAUAUCUGAAGGAGCAUCUCCACCCCCAUCGUUCUACCCGGACACUGAGGUCCAGCGUCGAGGGCCUUCUGGGCGGUUCCCUCACUACGAGAACCCAAGUUACAGGGAACCAAGGAGAGGGCCUUCUCGGUAUUGGCACCCGCCCUAUGGAACGCCCUCCCGCCAGAUGUCAAAGAGAACAACAACUACCAGACUUUUCGACGACAUCUGAAGGCAGCCCUGUUUAGGGAAGCUUUUAAUUUUUGAUGCAGUACUGUAUUUUAAUAGUGUGUUGGAAGCCGCCCAGAGUGGCUGGGGAAACCCAGCCAGAUGGGUGGGGUAUAAAUAAAUUCUUCUUCUUCUUCUUCUUCUUCUUCUUCUUCUUCUUAUUCUUACUAUGAUUAUUACUAUUUUGACACAGGGCCCCUCAAAGCCUGGUGCCAGCAUGGCAAAAGUCUUCUGCAGGGACAGAAAUGGUUGCAUGACUAUACAGGGGACAGAAAUAAGGGUGUAUGCACUGUAGGUGAAGCUACUACUCCACGGCAUAGACAAAAAGUCAGCUCACUGGAAGGAUUUUUGUAGGGGACAGGAACAGCCAGGACCUAACCAUGUUGGAACUGGAUAGAGCAAGGCAGAGUCCCUCACAAGCAGCUUGUGAUAAAAACUCAUUUAUUGCUUUUCCAAUCAGCAGUCAUGGCAACUAGAGCAAUGCUCUGUUCCAACUCCCAGAAGGCCUGCAGUUUGAGUCCACCUCUGACUCAUGACCUUUGCAGGUUAUAGAAUAGCAGACACUGCUCCUCUGGAGAGGAGAAGCACCAGCCACUUAACAAAUACCAGUGUCUCCCUUAUUCUUGCAUCCCACCCCCUAAGCAGUCCACGCAUAUGGCAUGAACAAAGAAGAAUGAAACAACCUGCUUGGCCAUUCUUGCUUGGCAUGGAAGGGAGUUUUAAUCAUGGCUGACUAUUUCAGACGCGAUUUUCCCAUGGGAGUUAAUCUCCUAUUUAGGCUGGUUCUUAUAACCAAAUAGGAGGCUCUGGCAUCCCUGUGUUGGUCAUGAUGCGCUGCUCAGCCUUAAAGUCUUCCAUCUUAAAUUCCUCCAAGGGCUGAACUUUUAAGUAACAGUGAGGAAUAUGAGGUCCUUCAGAGCCUGAAGAUUGAACACCCCAUGUAAGCCUCGAACACAUUUUCCUCCUCCUUUGGUGCCGUAGCUGCAGUUUUAAUGCGGUGUUUAUCUGUCAUUGUCAGUAAUGCCCAUGAAAUGCAUAAACCUGUCUGUGGGAUCAAAGGAGCUAUGCUGUGAUUGAAGAAAGAGCAUUCCACUACCUAAACAGAACUGAAUAUACUAAAAUAAUGCUGUUGAGUGCUUGCAUUUGGGGCAGUUCAGUCAGCACAGGUUGUCUCCUGUAUUUGAUGCAGAUAGAACACCUUUUUGCCCUCUUCCUUGACGCUGAUCUCCAGGGUUUAGAUUUCAUGUUUGUUUCCGAUACCCAUCCUGCCUGUUACCUGUCCUUGGCGAUACAUCAUUUGCAUGGUGACGCAAAAGGAGUGGAUUGUCAGUCUUCAUAAAAUGUCAAGGACCCAGUGUCAAGAUAGAAAGGCAAUAUUCUUCUAAGUGGUUCAGGCAGACAAUAAAGCCUUUUUGUCAAGUUAGAGAUGGUAGCGUCUUCCGUCUCCGAGUGUGAAGUGGCUUUAACGUGGGAAUAUCUUGGCUCUGUAGUCUGCUAUGUGACCUGCUCCUCACUGAGGUGGCGAAUCUGUGUUGGGGCUUUGCCACUUUGAGAUUCAGGUGGAGGCUUCCAUUUCUGAAUGCUACUCCUUGCAAAAAUAAAAAAGGGAUGUCACUAGUAGCUUCUUUUGAUGGUCAGGUAGCACUUCAAAGCCACAAGUCAGGAACAGGGUACCCCUCGACCCAUACACUUUCUGAAGUACAAUUCACCAGGUACCAGAGCAAGGUGGGAUCUGAAUCUAGUCAACACAUCCCUCCAGCAAUGGCUACAAUAGGAUAGGUACAACAUUUCACAGGUACAGUGGUACCUCAGGUUACAUACGCUUCAGGUUACAUACGCUUCAGGUUACAGACUCCGCUAACCCAGAAAUAGUACCUCGGGUUAAGAACUUUGCUUCAGGAUGAGAACAGAAAUUGUGCUCUGGCGGCGUGGCAGCAGCCCCAUUAGCUAAAGUGGUGCUUCAGGUUAAGAACAGUUUCAGGUUAAGACUGGACCUCCGGAACGAAUUAAGUACUUAAUCUGAGGUACCACUGUUGUGCAUGGACGUGUGAACAUAUAAAGCCCUUCUGAUAGAGGGUUUUUACAGAAAUAAGCUAUAUCACGGGUCAACAUGUGGAAUGUACACCAAGUUUGGGAUUGUUAACUGUUUUUAAAGAAGAGCAAUCUGACCUUUGUUAUAAAGAUCUAAUUACUUUUCUUUUAGUAGCAAAAUGCCUACUAGUGAGUGGAACAGAACUGGAAAGGAUUGGAACAUCUGUGUAUCUCUCGUUGUAAACAGACUGUACGGUCUAUUGCCAUAUCAGAAAAAUUAACAAAGAGAUACCGUAUUUUUCGCUCCAUAGGGCACACUGGACCAUAGGGCACACCUAGUUUUUAGGGGGUGAAAUAAAGGGGGGGAAUUAUUUUUCCCCCCAGCCCCAAAGAGCAAAGAAGCUCCCAGAGAGGAGCUUGCCGGGCUGGGGGCAGGGGAAGCCUGAGCUUCCCCUGACCCCAGCCCCCAGAACGGGUUCGGGAGCAGCGGCGAGGUUGCACGCAACUUCGCCUUUGCUCCUGAAGCUUGCCGGGCUGGGGACGGGGGCAGCCCGAGCUUCCCCCGACCCGAGCCCCCAGAACAGGCUGCUAUCCGCAAGCCUUCUGAGCCCGGCGGGAACUCCCACCGGGCUCCGAAGGCUUGCGGAUAGAUGCCUGAAGCCCAGGGAGUGCAGCGGGAGUUGGCGCUGCGCUCCCCGGGCUUCAGGCUGCAGGCUGCUAUCCACAAGCCUUCGGAGCCCGGCGGGAACUCCUGCCGCACUCAGAAGGCUUGCAGAUAGCUGCCUGAAGCCUGCAUUCGCUCUAUAGGACGCACACACAUGUCCCCUUUCAUUUUUGGAGAGCGAGAAGUGCAUCCUAUAGAGCGAAAAAUACGGUACAUGCAUUAAAUAAUACAAGUGAUGUAGACGAUUUUGUUGAAAUAUGGCAUCCUUGUAUAAAACACUUUACUGAUGAUCCUGAAUAUUGGCAACUGCUGAAAUCACAGAUUAGACUUUGGCAAAUUUCGCUAGAUUGAUCUGUCCUGUAGCAGGGAGGGGGCGAGCUGGGAUUUUGUUUUUGCAUCCCUUUCUCUCUCUCUUUUUGUAAUUGUUAUAUAUUGGAAGUCAAUAAAACUAUAUUAAAAAGCAAGCAAGGAAACAAAAAAUAUCCCUCCCACAGCCUUAAAGACAGAGCAUUGCCAUCAUGCCUAGUAGCCACAGAAAGCCUCUUCCUAUUCAUCUAAUCCUCUUUUGAAGGCCUCCAAGUUGGGGACCAUCAGUCGCACCUGUGGCAGCAAGCUUGCUUCAAAAUUAGUGUGUCUAGAAUUGCAGCCCUAAGGAGAACAGCAGCCCCCAUCUUCAUAGCAUUUCUCAGGAUUGUAUGCCCCUCUUUAUAAUUAUUUUCUCUGACCACUCCGAUGCUGGGGUUGUUGUGGGUUGGCAUGCAAUGAGGAAGAAUAGCUGAAGGGCAUAUGAUGCAAUUUGCCUGCAUGGGCCCAUAUGACAGAGUGAAGUGAAUGCCUCUGAUUUGUAGCAUAAGGCUAAUGGUGAGUUAUUUGAUUUAUUGUUGUCUUUUUAUGGCCGGGGAGCAGGGAGAGAGGUGUUCGUUGGUUUUCCUGGCUCAGGUCAGGUGCCAAAAUAACUUGACUGGCCUUGACUGGCUACCGAGCAGAUAGGCACUAUAUCACCAAAACAGCGGGUUGCAUAGAUGGAACUUCAUGUUGAUAAACAGCAAGUGUGAAGCUGGAAUAAAACACUCUUCUGUAUUUGUGCUGUCAGAUGCCUUGGUCUGAGGAUUUUCGGCCACACUGUGUUGGUUGUGCCUCUAAGCAACAAAGCAUGCACACACAAAUACCAAAAGAAAAUGUAGACACACACACACACAUUUACUUUUUAUUGCAGUAAAUUGCAAUGUGUUUAUAGUGGUGCAUGUUGUGCACAUGAAUUAUAGCACCCCAGCAGAAUUUCUGAAAAUGAAAAUUACUGGAUACUGCCCUGAGUCUAACUUCUCCAACCUGAUGCCCUCCAGGUUUUUGGGACUACCGCUCUCAUCAUCCGUGACCAUUGGUCAUGCUGGCUGAAGCUGAUGGGAGUUGAAGCAAUAUCUAGAGGGCAACAGGUUGAAGAAGGCUGAUCUAGCUCAUUGUAAGGCAGGUCCAUGGGUCCAGUUAGCAUCUCCACCCCCAUCAUUCUGCCCGGACGCUGAGGUCCAGCGCUGAGGGCCUUCUGGCGGUUCCCUCAUUGCGAGAAGCAAAGCUACAGGGAACCAGGCAGAGGGCCUUCUCGGUAGUGGCGCCCGCCCUGUGGAACGCCCUCCCAUCAGAUGUCAAAGAGAUAAACAACUACCUGACAUUCAGAAGACAUCUUAAGUUUUUAAUGUGUGACAUCUUAGUGUAUUUUUGGUCUUUGUGGAAGCCGCCCAGAGUGGCUGGGGAAACCCAGCCAGAUGGGCGGGGUACAAAUAAUAAAUUAUUAUAUUAUUAUUAUUAUUAUUGCUGUUGUUGUUGUUUCAGAUGUGUUAUUUCCUUUUUUGAAGAAAACAAAUAAUUUCAGUAACAGAUGAACUUCUGGUCCUCUCCACGCUAUGAAUCCUGCAGCCUAUCUUGGUUUUCCUAGUCUGGUCUCCUUUGGACCACAUAUCCGAAAGGGACCAGGCUAGGAGCACUGCAAGCUAUGAAUUUUGCAUGGCUGUCUUCCCAGGACACUUUCCUAGCUGCGCGCCACAGCAGGAAAAGGACCAUAGCUCAUCUUUGCAGGCAAGAAGCUCCAGGUUCCAGGCAUUUCCAGUUUGAUGGGCAAAUAGCGGGUUAUGGAAGGUCCUCCUCUAGGGACCCUGGGAAGCAGCUGCCAGUCAAAAGUGCCUUGUACUAUGCUAGAUGGACCAAUUCUCUAAGGUAGCUUCAUAUCUCAAUAUGAACAUGGGAAGCUAUCUCCAAGCUCUUGGGCAAGCAGUAGGGUGACACCCCAGGAUGCUUAUUCACUUUGAUCUGCUCUCUUUCUGUGGCCUCCUUUCAGACUGUUCCUUCCAGUGCCAUUCUACUGGGUUAUUUGAAUUGGGGUUACAAAAAAAGGAUAACCUUUGUUAUCCGAUGGAGCGUCUCUACCUCCAUCGUUCUGUCCAGACACUGAGGUCCAGUGCCGAGGGCCUUCUGGCGGUUCCCUCGCUGCGAGAAGCCAAGUUACAGGGAACCAGGCAGAGGGCCUUCUCGGUAGUGGCGCCCGCCCUGUGGAACGCCCUCCCACCAGAUGUCAAAGAGAAAAAUAACUACCAAACUUUUAGAAGACAUCUAAAGGCAGCCCUGUUUAGGGAAGCUUUUAAUGUUUAAUAGGUUAUUGUAUUUUAAUAUUUUGUUGGAAGCCGCCCAGAGUGGAUGGGGGGACCCAGCCAGAUGGGCGGAGUAUAAAUAAUAAAUUAUUACUGUAUUAUUAUUACUACUACUAUUAUUAUUAUUACCUUGCAUUGCUUACAUAAAAAAGCAAUGCAAGGCGAUAAGGAUUAUUUUUUCAACCUUUUUUUAACGGGGUGAGGGGAAGAGAGAAUGAAGAUACUAGACCGAAUUGGCAAUGCCUUCACCACUCCAUUAACAAUUAUCGUCCUGGCCGUAUGGUAUUUUGUUUGUUUUCUGAUCCUAAUUAAUCAUCUUAUUUUUGAGUUAAAAUAAUUAAAGCUAAAUCCUCUCUCUUCAUUUUAAUCCUUCCUUUGCUAAGCCGCGCACUGUUGUGCCAUUCUGUCUAUCCCAUGGAAGUUGCUUGGAGCCAUUUUCCUGCCUCGCAAUCAUGUUGUCUCUUGGAAAGUUAUAAACUCUGAGAGAUGAAAACACCUUCUUUAAAAAAAAGAAGGAAGGAAGGCAGUGUUAAUAAGCAGCUCCCUAAUCACAGCAGAUGUAUGCCUAGAUCCGUGAUCAUAGGACACCAAAUGUCAAUGUUCCUUGCCGAAGCAAGCACUGGAAGUUAAAUGCUUUAAUUGGGAUUUACUUGCUUUGUUUUGUUUCAAACCUAAAUGAAUCAUGGAGCUAAAAGGUAUAUUGUGCAAGCUUGAAUAAAAGUCAUUUGCCAAAAGUCUGUGCAGAUUUCAAAGUAAUUAAAACUCAGGGACUGCCUACUUGGCACUAUCUUCUUAAUUGAUAAUCAAAAUGAGCAGAUCAAAUAAGUAUGCUUUGAACACAGCUGAUAAUUGCCAGCAAUUCCCUUUGAAAUUCUUGGAUCAGUUGGAUUCCGUCAUUAAACUGGUUGUUUGCAAAUUCGCUACUAGUUGAUGCAAAUCCACAAAGAAAACCCUUGCAUAAUACAACGAUGACACUGGGUCUCAUUAAAUAACAUAAUAAGUUUUAGGAUGAGAUGAGAGGGAAAUAAGUUGCUUAGAAUUUGUGCUGCCUUUUUCUUUUCUUUCUUUUUUUUGCCAAAUCAAGGCGAAUGAGAGUGUGUAAAGGUAAAGAGCAAGACUCUGUUCAUUGCACUGGACAAUGUUGUUGUAGAAGUCAACCAAAGAUUUAAAACCCCUUUAAAAGCAAUGGGUGUUGUCCAUUGUCACCCAAGUUGCAUGAUGGGACUUCCUUUUCCUCUCUUCUCCUGCAUCUCCUUGUUUCAUCACAAAUCAACUCCAAACCUCCAGAGUACAUUUUGGGGUCAGAGAAUGGAUAUCUGUUCCAUUCUGCUGGCAAACACUAAACUAUACCUUACAAUGUGUUCCUGUAAGGUGGGGUGGUUUGCAGAACGAGAUACAUCAAAAACUUAAUCGUAAUACAGUGUAAUGUGUGCAUACUUUCAUUUCUUUGCAACAGUUUUUUUUUUUAAAGAGUAUAUUACCCAACUAUUCCUGUCCAGAAAGACAGAUGUAGUUACAGUGGUACCUCGGGUUACAGACGCUUCAGGUUACAGACUCCACUAACCCAGAAAUAGUACCUCAGGUUAUGAACUUUGCUUCAGGAUGAGAACAGAAAUUGCGCGGCGGCAGCGCAGCAGCAGCAGGAGGCCCCAUUAGCUAAAAUGGUACCUCAGGUUAAGAAUGGACCUCCAGAACAAAUUAAGUUCUCAACUCGAGGUACCACUGUAUUCUAAACUCCAGAACUCCACGCUGUUUCUUUAUUGGAAUACGUAGUUUACUGCCAUUGGGACAACACACAUUAAUUAACUACUGAGUGGCACCUAAAGGUGUUGAAGGGUUCUUUUCUGAACCAAAUGCCUUACUAAGGUCCAGUGUGUAAGGGACCUGGACUGCAGAGAAAACUUUCUCAUGUAAGAAGAGUUCCAUCACUACCCCUCCAGCCCACUGGGGUCUAGUUUGAAUGCAUUUCACCAUAUGCUCUGUUCCAUGUACAUGCCAAUAGCAUCUCCACCUGGGCAGCUAAUUAUUGGUGUACUAAUGCUACACAUAUAUGGGGUGGUAAUAGCCACCAACUCAAAUGGCUUUUAAAAAGCAUUUGACGAAUUCAAUGUGGUCAAGGCUAUCAGUGGCUAUCAGUCACGAUGGCCAUAUUCUACUUCUACUGUCAGAGGCAUUAUGCCUCUGAAUACCAGUCUCUGGGAACUGCUGGUGGGCUGUCAGGAGUCCAGGUUCCCUGCUUGAUAACACAGUAAGCAUAGGUACCGUAUUUUUUGCACCAUAACACUCACUUUUUCCCUCCUAGAAAGUAAGGGGAAAUGUCUGUGCGUGUUAUGGAGUGAAUGCCUACGGGUGGCGGGGGGGAUCUGCUGCAGUUGUGAGCAGAGGAUCCAUGGUUCCCCUUCCUUCCCUCCUCCAUGGCUCGCUUUGAAACAGCAAAGCGGGAGAAGAGCCGCUGAGUGGGGAGGAGAGAGGGACAGAGAGCCUGCUUCUUUAAAGGAGCAAAGCGGGAGAGGAGAGGAGUCCGGUUGGCUCCUUUAAAGCAAGCAGGCUCUCUGUCCCUCUCUCCUCCCCACUCGCUAAAUAGCAUUAUUAGCAGCAUCCUUCUCCACACACUCCAUGCGUGCUCCUUGUCCCUUGAGUGCUUUUCCUUCCCUCCCCACUUAAAACGUAGUUACAAAGCACGGAUCCACAUGGAUCCUCAGGAUUUUUGCACUGGGUCACCCCAAAUUCACCAUCAGAUCACAUAGCAUGCCCAUGGCUACAUCUUGCACCAAAAAAAUCAUGCACCCACUGUUGCCUGGGGUCGCAGUGGUGCAAAAAUGUGGUUACAAAGCAUGGAUCCACAUGGAUCCUCAGGAUUUUUGCAUUGGGCUACUCCAAGCUCACUGUCAGAUCACAUGUCUGUGGCCACAGCAUGAACCACAAAAAUCAUACAUCCAGUGUUUCGUUUAGAAUAUUUUUUUCUUGUUUUCCUCCUCUAAAAACUACGUGCGUGUUAUGGUCUGGUGCGUGUUAUAGAGCGAAAAAUACGGUAAUUAAAAAGGAGGAUUUAUUGCAAAAACAAACAGAUAGCUCCGGACGGCUCUAACAAAGCCUCCGGCAUCAUUACUCAAGAUGACCCUUCUGAAGACUUCUUCUGGUGUUGACAGAAGAUAUUGAACUUAUGACCCUUACAUCUCUUGUUUUGCUUCCUAUCUAGCAGCCCUCCCAUUCGCUGACUCUUCAGACUUAGUGGAUCAGCUCCAACCUCUUCCUAUUCUGAGAGGCUGUCUCUGAAUUUGUUUGUGCCUAAUUGUGCCUCCUGUGAGCUUUGGCUGUGUUCUAGCCUGCUCUCAGCUACUGCUUUAUCAGCCUGCCCAUCAAGGUCAGGAAGAGCCGAAGCCUUCAGCUGUCUGCUCUCCCCUGCCUGACUAACAUCUAAGCCUCUCUGUUCCUGGCUUCUUUCUGCAGUUGGCUGCAAACCUUCGCUUGGAGCUGGCUCAUUCCUGACAUGGUCAGAGUGCUGUUGUGCUUAUGUCUAGUUUGCAGGCUUCCCAUAGGCAUCUGAUCACCCCAACCAGAGCAGGUUAUGAGACCAGAUAGGCCAAUGACCAGAUCCAAUAGACUUGUCUUACAUUCUUAAGUGUUUGAAUGUGACAGUGGUGCACUGAGCACUUAUGCAGGUAAACACUUUCUCCACUGCUUGCAUCCCAUAUAAACCGGGCCUGAGAUUUGGGGUGUUUGCUUUUUUCAUUCCUUUCCCCCAUCCCAUGCAAUACAAAGGAUUGGCUUAAGUGCAUGUGUCCUACUAAGCGGAGUAUUCCCUCCAAGAAAAUAACGCAUGAACAGAGCCAGAAUGUUCUUAUUAAUUGCUUUUGAAUGCUGCAGUUGGUGUUUUGUGCUUCAGGUAGUGCUGGGAUAAUUGAAACAGCUGGGGGUGGGGGAGGAAUCAAGUAGGAUUCAAGGUGGUCUGCAAAGCUCUGGAGACAGAUGUGCAUAUAAAUGCACAUUAAAAAUAAACCCAAAUAAAUAAAUACCGAGUUACUCGCUCUUAUUUACUUCUUGCGAUCCAGUGGGACAGAACUCAUUCCCACAAGCUUAGAUGCUUGCAUUUUCUAUUAUUACUUAAGACUUUUAAAGUGGGGGGAGGGGAAUCUGGCUGAAGCUUAUGUGAUGUUUCAAAGUAAAGAGAUGAGUAGAAUUUGCAUAAUAGAAUCACAAAAAUGGAAAGCAUGGAACAUUUGAUAUUUAAAAUAGUCUCAUCUAAAGCUUUUAGCACAGGUAGGAAAGGUUAAUAAAAAUCCAUCUGUACAGCAUAUAAAUUAUUCCAGACUUUAAAAUGUAAAACAAAAUUAUGUCCAAUCCAUCUUCCUGCCUUCUCUUACAAACAUAUGUCUCCUUAACAAACCUUUCCUACUUAAACACCUACUUGAAAAAUUAAAAUGAAAUGCAUCACGCUUCUGACUUGUGUGAGCUAUAAUCCAGUGUCCAGUCACUUAGCUCUAGGACUUGGCCCUAGACCAGCGGUCGGCAAAGUUUUUGUGGCUUGGGCCGGUUCACGGUCCUGCAGACGCCGCGGUGGGCCAAAGUGUGUGUGUGUCUGUGUGUGUGCACGCGCACGCACGCAUGCACGCACACAAAUGCAAACACUAUUUCUGGUGCUACUUCUGGUGCAGAGGAGGCGUGCGCAGCUUCUCAUUGGCUGCAGGAGCUUCCUGCAACCAAUGGGAAGCCGGCCAGCAUCGCGGAAGGCGGUCCCCGCUCUUCUCCGCCUGGUUUAGCGUGGCACACAGGAGCCAACUGAGCAGGCGGCAGGGGUCCAUGGGCCAGUUAAACAACCCCUUCCCUAGACCAAUGGCAUAAGGGCACAGUGGAAGGUGCCAUUAAGCAUUUGCACCUUGUCUUGCCCGUGACAGUGAGUAACCAAAGCCAACCCUUCCAUACUUGGGAAGUGAACGCAUGGGAGGGUCUGAGGGGUCAAAGACAUGACUUGCAGCCACCAUCACAGAAAUGAAAUGCUACAGAAUGAUGUUGGAGUACCUAUGAGGAAACAGUUGAAGUGCUGUACUGAAAUCAGGAGCCAAAGAUCCGUUUAGUAUUUUGAGAUUAAAACAGUGAUGGUGAGGUUAAAAAGAAUUAUUAGGGCUAGGCAGAUCUGCCAAUUUUGGUUCUUUUAGUUUCUCAUGUUCCUGAUUCUGGAAUUCAGUCCCCCUACAUUCGUUUGCAAUAAUAAUAAUAAUAAUAAUAAUAAUAAUAAUAAUAAUAAUAAUAGAAUCCUUACAAAAACUCAUCAGCAUUUAGUACAAACUUCUCCUAAUAGACACAUUUUUGUAUGCCAUUUUGAUUAAUAUACACAAUUUUGCAAGCGGUUCCCCCUAAUACAGUGGUACCUGGGGUUAAGUAUUUAAUUCGUUCCAGAGGUCCAUUCUUAACCUGAAACUGUUCUUAACCUGAAGCACCACUUUAGCUAAUGGGGCCUCCUGCUCCUGCUGCGCUGCCGGACCAUGAUUUCUGUUCUCAUCCUGAAGCAAAGUUCUUAACCCAAGGUACUAUUUCUGGGUUAGCAGAAUCUGUAACCUGAAGCGUAUGUAACCCGAGGUACCACUGUAUCCCUUUUUGUAUGUUAUUGUGAGGAAUAUAUUCAUCUGACUGCAGAUGUCCCUCUAAUAAAUGCAUGUUGGGUUGUAGAACUGCUUUGCAAAAUUCGAAGAAGUGCAGAAAGGAAUGGAAGCAUGGGGGGAAACUGGUUGCUUUGUCAAAAGCAGGCAAAGGUACCCACCAGUCCAAAACACUACAUCUACAGAUUCUAGAUGCACAGCUGAAAAUUAGCACUGGCAGCCACCCGGUUAAAAGCAAUCACAAAUUGGCUUAACAUAUGUUUUUCAUCCAUUCAUCCAUCAGUUGCAUUUGCAUCUGAGUAAAACUAAAUGUUCUGAAGCAAUGAGUGUUGUUUUCUUUGUUUUUAGAUCUUGCAUCCAUGUGUUAACAGCAGGCAUCGACUUAGAAAAAGACACUCCCUCCUAUCACAGGUAUAUUUUUAGUCAGUUAAACAUUGGUUAAUGGAUUGACCUAACAAAUUAAGAGAAUAAUAUUGUGCUGUUGUUGUUUAGUCGUUUAGUCGUGUCCGACUCUUUGUGACCCCAUGGACCAGAGCACGCCAGGCACUCCUGUCUUCCACUGCCUCCCACAGUUUGGUGCUGGUAGCUUCGAGAACACUGUCCAACCAUCUCGUCCUCUGCUGUCCCCUUCUUGUGCCCUCCAUCUUUCCCAACAUCAGGGUCUUUUCCAAGGAGUCUUCUCUUCUCAUGAGGUGGCCAAAGUAUUGGAGCCUCAGCUUCAGGAUCUGUCCGUCCAGUGAGCACUCAGGGCUGAUUUCCUUAAGAAUGGAUAGGUUUGAUCUUCUUGCAGUCCAUGGGACUCUCAAGAGUCUCCUCCAGCACUAUAAUUCAGAAGCAUCAAUUCUUCGGCGAUCAGCCUUCUUUAUGGUCCAGCUCUCACUUCCAUAUUGGGAAAACCAUGGCUUUAACUAUACGGACCUUUGUUGGCAAGGUGAUACUACUGAAAAAUCUUUGUGUCUGGCCUUCCUGCUUGCACAGACGACCGUUGCAACCAUCAUCUCCCCCAAGCAGUAGGAGCCUACAGCUGUUGAAACAAGCCAGGCCCCUUUAAAAAUACGAGCUCAGUUGGUGCAGCAUGAGACUGUUAACCUCUGAAUUGCAGGUUUGAGCCCCAUGCUGGGGAGUCCUGCAUUGCAGGGGGUUGAACUAUAUGUCCCUUGUGGUCCCUUCCAACUCUACAAUUCUAUGAUUCUACUUGGAGGAUGGAGCUAACCACCCAGACUCAACCUGGAGUUAAUUGUUGCUUAAGCAACAUCCUAAACCUACGCCAAUCUGAGUCCCACGUAGAGUUUCCCAUUCCAAAUGCCUCACCUGCCUCCUAGCACCAUCAUCAGAAGCAGAACAACAGCUGAGGCACAGCUACAGUGGUACCUCGGGUUAAGUACUUAAUUCGUACCGGAGGUCCAUUCUUAAGCUGAAACUGUUCUUAACCUGAAGCACCACUUUAGCUAAUGGGGCCUCCUGCUCCUGUCACGCUGCUGGAGCACAAUUUCUGUUCUCAUCCUGAAGCAAAGUUCUUAAACCGAGGUACUAUUUCUGGGUUAGCAGAGGCUGUAACCUGAAGUGUAUGUAACCUGAAGCGUCUGUAACCCGAGGUACCACUGUACUAGCCAUUGAAGCACCUUUUUUGGUUUUAUCCAAUGGAUUGCAGUACAUUCCAAAAGGUUAGCUAAACUUGUAAAUAAGCCUCAUUUCACGAUGCAGGUUAGGCAAAUGAUCCAUGCAGUCAUUUCUGCAGAUGGUGGGUCAGUUCCCACCACUUGUAGCUACAGUUUGCACCAGCGUAACUUGGAAUCCUUGGCUUUAUUGAGAAGAUAUAAGUAGAGAAUGAGAUAUAAAACAUGGAUGAUUAUGAUUGAAGUACAUUCUCCCCCAGGGGAUCGUGUCACAACUGAUGGUUUCAUUUAUUUUUUGUGUCUCUUUAAUGAAAAUUCACUCUGCUGGAUAUUUAGCUAGCCCAAGGAAACUUUUCCAUUUGUUAUUUAUGAUGUGUAGAGUUUCUGUUCUGUAGGCUGAAGACGCUAUAUUUUAGAACGAACCACGAUGCAGAUUACUUCUCACUUGACUCUUCUUAUUCAAUUACUACCUUUUCUCUCCCCCUGUUCCACUUGGCUUGGCAAUUGUCCCAUUACUUUUAGCAACCAUAUGCAAGCUAUUAUUCAUGCUAAAUGACCAAUAGGGUUUUUUAAAAAAUGUUUGAAAAAGUAUGGCUUUUUUCAUUUAUUUUUAAUUUGCUAUCAACUCUGUUGCUGUAACUGAUCAUCUGACUGUCCAGUUACAAACUUGAAUAUUUCCGUCUUUACAGCACGAGGUGUAAAUUCCAGCUAAUAUCUAUUCCAGUAGGUGUUUCCUGUUUCCUCCUGUGCUUAAAGAGAUUUCCCAUCCUUUGCUUAUUUAUUCCGUGUCUCAGCCUUCCAGUAACAAGAGUUCUCUGGGCAGUGUGCAAAAUAAAAAUAAAUCGCAAAUACAGUACAGUUGCAAAUUAAAAAGCAUCAGAUAAGGCAGUUAGAACUUGAAAGCAGAUCACUUGAUCAAAUGAUCAAUAUAUAUUUUUAAAAAAUGAAGCUGUGAUGCAUUAGAGCAGAGCAGGGAUGGAGAACCUGUGACCAGGGAUAGUUCAGUUGGUUAGAGUGUAGUAGAAGAGAAGAAGAGGAGUUUGGAUUUGAUAUCCCGCUUUAUCACUAGCCGAAGGAGUCUCAAAGCGGCUAACAUUCUCCUUUCCCUUCCUCCCCCACAACAAACACUCUGUGAGGUGAGUGAGGCUGAGAGACUUCAGAGAAGUGUGACUGGCCCAAGGUCACCCAGCAGCUGCAUGUGGAGGAGCAGAGACGCGAACCCGGUUCACCAGAUUACGAGUCUACCACUCUUAACCACUACACCAUGCUGGCUCUCAUUGUCAGUAGUGCUGACAAUGUCAAGGUCAUAGAAUCGAUCCCCAUACAGGACAACAGCAUAUUCCUGCAUUGCAUGGGGUUGGACUAGAUGAUCCUUUGGGUCCCUUCCAGGUCUACAGUUCGAUGAUUCUAUUAUUCUCUUGGUCCUUGCAUGGCUCCAUCAGCAUAGCCAAAGACAAGGACGGAUGAGACUUGCCCAGCAACAUCCAGUGGGCUGAAGGUUCCCCAUCCUUGGAACAGGGCGUUGGAAAAACAAGCCCAGCGAUCAUGCUAUAAAUCACAGCACUGUGUGAAAUUGUAAAGGUCUGGCCAGACAAAAAGGUUUUUGCCUAGCCUCGGAAAGAUAUGAAAGCGGGUGCCAAAGUGUGCUUUUUUGAGGAAGGCUGAAAUUGGCACACCAACCUUAGCUGGUAAAAGGCAAUCUAAGCCACAGAGGCCGCUUAUGUCUCAGGUGACAAAGAUGGAUUGCCCCAAAACUUUGGAUCUGACUCCAGAGGAUCCUUUAAUGCAGUCCUCUCCAGAACAGGCUGAACACGUAUCGAACCUGUCUGUUGCUUCCCUAGAUCCUUCUGCUUUUGGACAGAUACCUCAGCAUUUUUGGACCCUCUUGCACUCAUGUCCUGGUUGUCUACUGUGAGAACAAGAUGCUGGACUAGGUGGGCCUCUUAUUAUGUUCUUAUAAUAACUCCAUUCUGGGUAGCCUCGGGGUUUGGAGAUGAAUUUCCCCUGUUUUGGGUCCACUGCCUGCCUGUGCCAGUUUUCAGUCACAUUGAAGAUUUCAUUUUUAAAGCAACAAUCUAAUAUUUUUUAUGAAACAAUUCCAUUGCCAUUAUUAUUAGGUGACAGGGGAAGUUUUAGAUAAGAACAGGUCUGUACUAGGCAGUGACUUGCUGGUUGGUAUUCUGUAACAUUUAGACUAGCCUUUUAAUAACUGGGAUCACCACACAUUGACCUGUGUUCUGCUGAGCUAGAAUAUGGUGGAAAUGGCCUUACCUUUACAAAGAAGCAAACACUCCUUAACAGAACCUUAUUGGAGGUUUCAUAGAAUCAAAGAAUCUUAUAGUUGGAUUCUCAAAGGUCAUCUUGUCCAACCCUCUACAAUGCAAGAAUCUCAGGGAAGCAUCCAUGACAGAACCUCUGCUUGAAAACCUUCAAGGAAGAAGAGUCCACAACGUCCUGAGGAAGAGCGUUCCACUGUCAAACAGCUCUUACUGUCAGAAAGUCCUUCCUGAUGUUCCGUCAGAAUCCCCUUACUUGUAACUUGAAGCCAUUGGUUUGGGUCCCACCCUUCAGAGCAGGAGAAAACAAGCUUGCUCCAUCUUCCAUGUGACAGCCCUUGAGAUAUUUGAAGAUGGCUGAUGUAUCUCCUCUCAGCUUCCUCUUUUCCAGGUUCCCUAUUGGAAUUCAGGUCUCAAACCAAUGGCUUCAAGUUACAAGCAAAGAGAUUCUGACUCAAUAUCAGGAGGAUCUUUCUGACAGUAAGAGUUAUUUGACAGUGGAACAGACUCCCUCAGGAGGUUGUGGACUCUCCUUCCUUGGAAGAAGAAGAAGAAGAAGAAGAAGAAGAAGAAGAAGAAGAAGAGUUUGGAUUUGAUAUCCCGCUUUAUCACUACCCUACGGAGUCUCAAAGCGGCUAACAUUCUCCUUUCCCUUCCUCCCCCACAACAAACACUCUGUGAAGUGAGUGGGGCUGAGAAACUUCAGAGAAGUGUGACUGGCCCAAGGUCACCCAGCAGCUACAUGUGGAGCAGCAGAGACGCAAACCCGGUUCACCAGAUUACGAGUCCACCGCUCUUAACCAUUACACCACAUUGGCUCUCUUGGAGGUUUUUAAGCAGAGGUUGGAUGGCUAUCUGUCAUGGAUGCUUUCGUUGUGAUUCCUGCGUUGCAGGGGGUUGGACUAGAUGAUCCUUGUGGAUAACUUUCAACCCUAAAAUUCUGUGUUUUUGUGAUUCCCAUAGUCAUGUCUUGUUCCAGUUAGUUCCCAUGGUCUGGCUUGUUGACAGCCAGCGCUGGAAGCCGAUCACUAACAGUGAAAUGACUCUUACUGCGUUGUACGGGCACGCUGCGCUUAGUGACGGCUGUGAGUGAGGUAUUGUGCUGGUACUCUGUACUUGUCUGUUUCUGCCUGCUUUCAUUAAUGUGCUUGGCCCAAGUACUCGCGCUUCCCUGGAAUGGAGUCUGACAGUGCCAUUUACUUUCCAAGUGCUGCUGAUGCAAUCUUACCCGCUAAGAUGCAGAGAAUCAUCAAUCACUGCAGGGGAGCAUUUGCCACAGCAGUUGCCACAGCAAACAAGAGAGGGGAGCAAGAGGGAGCUGGCAUGAACGAGAUCUGCCUGCUGGGCCUAAUGGUGUUGCCACAGAAGAACAAGGCAGACACGCCCUUGCCUGGCCUACUGCAGGCAUUGAUUGAUUGCCAUUAUUUGGAGGACUAAAUGCCCCCAGCUAUGCACAUGGGGGAAUGCUCCUGUUGUUAGGUGUAGGACACAUAUGCGGUAAGCACAUCACAACAAAGGUCUCUGUGGUUUGAAUAUAGUGGACUGCAGUUCCCAUCAUCUCUGACCAUUGGCCGUGCUUGGUUCAGGUUGAUGCAAGUCGGAGUCCUGCAAUACCUGGAGCACAGGGUCUCCAUCCCUGAUCUGACUACUCCAGUACCCUGCUUUCCCCUGUGGCUAGCAAGAUACUUCUGGGAAGACCACAAAGGUCUUGCUUUGUUACUGAUAUAUAGCAGCACUUCUUCCAGACCUGGAGAUAGGAACUGGGGUAUGGAACUGAGUGCCCUUCAGAUGUUGUUGGACUCCAACUCCCAUCAGCUUGACCCAGCACAGGCAAUAGACAGAGUGGAUGGGAACUGCAUUACAACAACAUUUGGCAGAGUGGGGUGGGUGGGUCUAGGUUGGAUACCUGUGCAUUUACAGAAGGUAAAGGGACCCCUGAUCAUUAGGUCCAGUUGUGGCCGACUCUGGGGUUGCGGAGCUCAUCUCGCUUUAUUGGCCGAGGGAGCCGGCGUACAGCUUCUGGGUCAUGUGGCCAGCAUGACUAAGCCGCUUCUGGCGAACCAGAGCAGCGCACAGAAACGCCGUUUACCUUCCCACCGGAGCGGUACCUAUUGAUCUACUUGCACUUUAACGUGCUUUCGAACUGCUAGGUUGGCAGGAGCAGGGACCGAGCAACGGGAGCUCACCCCGUCAUGGGGAUUCAAACCGCCGACCUUCUGAUCGGCAAGUCCUAGGCUCUGUGGUUUAACCCACAGCACCACCCGCGUCCUGUGCAUUUACAUAGUAACUGCCUAAUAGACCUCUAUGAAUUUGUCUCAUCCCCAUCUAAUCUAAGUGAGCAGCCAUCACCACAUCUUCAGGCAAUGGAGACCUUAAAUUAAUUCUGUGCUAUGUACCUUAUUUUCACUGCCCUGAAUCUGUUGUUGGGUGACCCCGAGUUCUAACAAAAAAAGCAAAGGGUCUCCAUCUGCUUUGCUCACAUUGUGCAUCAUUUUAUAAGCCGGUUCCGUAAUAGGCCGAUUCCUUCACAAGUUUACUUCAGUUCAGUAUGGUUUGCACCCGUGUAAUUGGGCGUAGUGCUGCAACCUCCACCAUCUUUCCCCCUAAACUUAAGAUGCCUCAAAUACUUUAGCCCAGAUAUGGGGAAACUAUACCCCCCCAAAAAAAUGUUUGUUGGACUCCAACUCAUAUGAUCCGUAACCAUUGGCCAUGCUGGCUGGGUCUGUUGGGAGAUGGAGUCCAAUAACAUCAGGCUCCCCAUCCCUGCUUUAGGGAUUUUUAAGAUGUGGUGGAAAGUAGCAUAAAUAAAAUUAACCAAAGCAUGGACAAUUCCAUAUAUCUAGGGCCUUGCAUAUUUGCCGUAGUUGAUUUAAAAAAUAUAUAUCUAGAAAGCCUGGAUUCAGUGACCUGUACAUGUUAUGCCAGUAGAGAACAUUUGCAUAAUUCAUGCUGCAGGGUUUUAAAGAUCAGUUCACACAAUUUUAUUCUAGUUGUUGGAAUGCCACUAAAUCCCAACUGCUGUCAUUGAAAAUUCUCUUGAGCCACUUCUGCUGCUUCCGGAAUUUUAGCAGAUGUGGCCCACAAACAUUCAAGUGUGUCUUGUGGGUGGGUGGGGAAUGCUUUCUAAAAAUUCUGAAAUGAAAGCUUAGAUUUUCAGGCAGCUGAAUCCUAAACCCAAAACAGUUGUACCUUGGUUUUCAAAAAGCUUAGUUCUUGAAUGUUUUGGCUCCUGAGCACUGCAAACCUGGAAGUGAGUCUUCCAGUUUGCGAACUAUUUUUGGAUGCCAAAUGUCCAGCGGGGCUUCCACGGCUUUCAAUUGGCUGCAGGAACUUCCCGCAGCCAAUCAGAAGCUGCGCUUCGGUUUCUGAAUGUUUUGGAAGUCGAACGGACUUCCGGAACAGAUUCCGUUCGACUUAUGAGGUAUGACUGUAUGAUGAUUUGUGUUUUCCUGUGCUGCUGUGGAAUUGCAAGAUAAACACAGCCUUUCAUAAGCAUGCCCAUAGAAUUUGUGAUCACUUAUCAGAAGGGUUUGAAAGCGCUCAGAGCUCUUCAGUAUAUAUGUGUAACGAUUCAGCGGCUGAAAUCUCUUUUAAGAACAAUAUUAAAUAACUAUUAGGCCUCAACUGAGUGCUAAAUUGGAUACCGGUUCACUGUGGACUUGUGACACCGAGAGACAGAAUACAGGAGCCAGGAGGAAACGUGUCAACCGUGGACGUACAAUGUGACACUUUAAAGAGUUGAAUUAUACAGUGUUAAGUAUGUUUCUAGUUUAGCGAUAAAGGAUUACAUUGGAAAAAAUGUAGAGGCCGUUGAGAAUAAGUGUAAGAGAAGGGACCUCAAAUUAAUUGGUGUUGCAGAAAAGAACAGUUGACAUUGAAACAGCUAAUAACUAAUAAUGGUAAGGACUUGUUGGGAAAGUUUCUUCCACCCUUGAAAAGUGGAGAGAAGCUGUACAGAAUACUAAGAUGUGUUUUCUGUACAGUGGCCUCUUUUCCAUUGCGAGGUGGAAUCUUUGAAGUCUGAAAUUAAAGCCCGAUCCUCAGGAAGAGCUGAGCAGCAAGUUCCUCAUGUACAUGCGUACCCAAUAGGCUCUUGCAUCCAUAAUGUGCCACUUUGAGAGUUGGCAUGGUGAUGGUCAAUUGGGCCCACAUUCCCUCCGUUCAUUUAAACCCUGUGAUAUGCUACGAUAUGAAAACAAAUAAUUCUGAAAACUGAAUUCUGUUAAAGGUGCUGAGGGUUAUUCACCUUACAGAGCUACAGUUUCUGAAGUCCACGUGAAAAGGGAUUGUGUGCCCUCCGACAUGUCACAGAGGAAAACUGGGGUGCACGUUUUUGGGGACCUUGCUCCUGCAUGAGUCACAUGACCCAUGUGAGAGCAUGAACCCUCCCCCCCAAAAAAUGUGUGUCUUUCAGAGUUGCAAUCUCUCAGGAGCCAGGUGACUCAUGCAAGAACACGGGCCUCCAAAACAGGGUGUCCCGAUUAAAUCAGGGCAGUUGAGAAGUAUGGGGUUCAUAGUUAAGCAGCCCUAUCAGGGCAGUAGGGGGUCUCCUCUCAGAAUCUGUAACAGAAUUCCCAUAAUUCCUUGGGGGAAUGUAGCCUAGGAGUUUGUGGGCCCAAGCUGGAUCCUACUGUUAAUAAUAAUAAUAAUAAUAAUAAUAAUAAUAAUAAUAAUGGACUUCCGGGUUAGCGCCAUCGGCGAAUGGCGGAGUUCCUCCGACCGGAGGAACUGGCUCCGUGGAAACUGAGUCUUCCCACCGCGGCGAAGGUGGGGACCCGCUAGAAAUCCCAGGCGGAGGAAUCCUGGGAAUGUGGGGUUCGGCAGGGCACCAGGAGCUGCGAACUGACUGCUACUUUCACGGAGUGAAGCCGCACAGCCAUCGCCGGAGAGCGCUGACUUUUUCCUGUGGACAAUUGGAUUUAAAACAAGUACCCGUGAGUAGAAACGGAAAAUUGGAUCAAGAAACAUCUUAAUUUGACAUCGAAGCGGGAAGGUUCAAAACAGGAAGUCCGCCUUCCGCUUUUUGUAUAUAGACUGAAGCAAAAACCUUGUAAGCUAAAGUCUGGAAAGUCGUUUAAAAAGCCUAAUUUUCCUUCAUUUAUAACUACUGAAACCCCCUUGGAAGCAGGAGAAAAGGGGGGGAGACUUUGUGUAACGCCUGCAGGAGAAGGAGUGAAGAAAGAUAAGUUUCCACCGUCUCUAACCUGGGAACAGGGUGUCAGAGACAGAAAUUGUUGGAGAGGUUCAUUGACUGUGAAUGGAAUACUUUGACAGAUAGCUAAAGAAGAGAAAUAAACUGAUUCCAAUGUUGCCUUUUGCAUUCUAAAGAAACAAAAUAUCUGAAAAAUGAAAGUAAUUUUCCUUUGUUGGACUUGCCUUAAAAAGAUGGAUACAAAUAGAAAUUGUCUCCUCUAGAGGGAGCUUGCUAAAUUGUUGCUGCAGUCUACUUGAGGAAUCCACAGCUGUGAGAUUAAGAUCGUGGGAUUAGUCCUUUUGACCUUGACUAAAUAUGAGCUGGAAGGAAGUUUUGGUGCUUGCUUUAUGCAAGACAAAUGCUUUGUUGGAACAGAUGCAUGAGAAGAUGGAUUUGAUGAAUGAGAAAAUGGAUUUGAUGACUGUUGUGGCCAAUAACUGUGGACAAAUAGUGAAUAGUGAUACAGAAACCAUCCAGGGUCCAACUCAGGAACCUGUAUUGAUUGGGCAAGUGCAGAAGAUAAUGGAGGAGGCUGCGGUUGCACCUCAAAUAAUACAAAUGGAGAGGCCCAAGGCCCUACAGGAGCAUAAGCCGCUGUUUUUGAAGAUUGAAGUUGGAGUGGGCCAGGGGGAGUCUGGAGCUGAGGAGGCUCUUAACUUUGGAGAGACUUCGAAAUAUGCUCGUAAACAUUUUUUGGAUUAUAUUGAUGAUUGUGGGGAGUGGGACUGUGGGGAAUGGGCUGGUUUGAUGAAGGGAGACGGAGAUAAUUUUGGGUUGGAACCCCCCAGAGACCUACUCCUCAAUGAGAAAGGAAAGAAAUUAAGAAAGAGACCAACAAAAGACAAGGAAAAGUGCAAGUAUAAACAAGAAGAAGAAGAUCUGUGGAAGGGACAUGGAAGAGACUUAAGGGCCUCGGACAUAAGACUUCCAGGUUGAUGGACUAGAUGGAAUGGACAGUAAGGACUGACACGACCCGAGACCAGGAAGAAGAGACGUUGGAUGAAGAUUGGAAGAAAAUUUAUAAAGAAAAUUUAUAUUUAGGGAAUUAGUCUAAAACUAAUGAAUAUUAGGGAAAAUGUUGGAAUGAAACUAUAUGACUCUAGUAGAAAUGAUAUCAGGAGUUAUGUAUAACUGAGUAUUAAGCUUCAGGUUUUAAGGUAUUUUAUGGUAAGAUAAGGUUAAAUAAAUUAAGGUAAUUUGAAUAACAGAAUAUGGGGAAAGAUGGAAAGGAUCUGUCGAGUUAAUUAAUAGGUUAAAUUGUUAAGAUAAAUUAUUUAAUAAAAAUUGAGAAAGAUGGAAAGAAUUUGCUGAAAUAACUAACUAAACUAGAAUACAAAAAGGGAGGUGUGAGGAGGUCAACGAAACAAGCAAAUGGAAGUUAAAGAUAUGUAAUAUGGGAUUUGUGUCUUUUUUUCCCUUUUUUGUUGUAUUGGUUUUUAUGUUUUGCUUUUUUUCUUCUUUUUAUGCAUUGUAGUGUUGAUUUUUUGUUUUUUCUUUUUUUUCUGUAAUUCUGAAAUUAUUAAUAAAUAUUAUUUUAAUAAUAAUAAUAAUAAUAAUAAUAAUAAUAAUUUAUUUAUACCCUGCCCAUUUGGCUGGGUUUCCCCAGCCACUCUGGGUGGCUUCUAACAAAAUAUUAAAAUACAGUGGUCUGUUAAACAUUAAAAGAUUCCCUACCCAGGGCUGCCUUCAGAUGUCUUCUGAAAGUCUGGUAGUUGUUCUUCUCUUUGACAUCUGGUGGAAGGGCGUUCCACAGGGCGGGUGCCACUGCCGAGAAGGCCCUCUGCCUGGUUCCCUGUAACUUGGCUUCUUGCAGUGAGGGAACCGCCAGAAGACACUCGGCACUGAACCUCAGUGUCCGGGCUGAACGAUGGGGGUGGAGACGCUCCUUCAGGUAUACUGGGGUGAGGCUGUUUAGGGCUUUAAAGGUCAACACCAACACUUUGAAUUGUGCUCAGAAACGUACUGGGAGCCAAUGUAGGUCUUUCAAAACAGGUGUUAUGUGGUCUCGGCGGCCACUCGCAGUCACCAGUCUAGCUGCUGCAUUCUGGAUUAGUUGCAGUUUCCGGGUCACCUUCAAAGGUAGCCCCACACAGAGUGCAUUGCAGUAUAAAGUGAGAUCUCACCCUAGAGCAGGAGGGAGGGGGGACCUUUUGGAGCCUGAGGACUACCUUCCCUCACAACCAACCUGCUGGGUUCCAGUAAUGGCGGUUGUGGCCAGGCUCACACCUCUCCCCCUCCAGGUAAACAAGAGCUGUUGUUAUAACAGUUCAAGGGCACAUAUAAUCCAGUGAAAGCCCACCUCAGAAGGCCUGCUCCCAAGGGCCCCUCACUCCAAACUACAGCAGGGGGCACCAGGAGAGAGAGAGCCUGUUCUGUGUUGGGUGUCCUGUUUGCUGAAUGCUUUCCUUAAUGCAGGGCUUUAAAUUCUGGGCUAUAGCUGCCAUUGUCCCUUACCAUUGAUCCUGUGGACUAGGACGGACAAGGCCAUAUCCUUGCUUUAAACCAAUAGUAUUUAACAGUUUCAAAGGUGGGACUGACCCACCUUUAGUCCAGCUAGGGUUUCACUUCUCAGUUUUCCAGCCUAUAUUUAUAUGGCAGCUUCAUUGCAGUCUCUGGUCAGCUGCAUCUCCCAUCAGUUGAAAACCAGUCCUGUAAAUCGGUCUUCCUCAACCUGAUGCCUUCUGAAUUCUUUGGACCAUAACUCCCAUUGUCUUUCGCCAUUCACCACACUGGCUGGAGCUGAUAGGAGAUACCCCUCCUCUUAAAAAAAAACCACACACCCACACACCCAAAACUCUCACCUUUCACCUACUCUGAAGUCUUUUAAGCCCCAGGCAAAGACUUUAUUCUCUCUGUCUUCUUACCAUUUUUCUAAUAUUUUAGACAUGUUAUUUUAGUCCCUGUGGAAUUCUGACGGUGAUUAGUAUUACUUGCACGGUGGUCCCUGUUCUUAGAGGUUUGCAAAGAUGCUGAAAUCGUUUUCGUUAAGGGUUUCUGUUUUGUUUCUAAGGCCCUAUUAUGUACUGCAUUUUGAACGUAAUUGGGUAUUUUAAUUGUUUUAUGGUUUAUUGUACAUCGUCACCUAGAGGCUUUCACACGAGGUGACAAAUGAAACGAAAUAAGUGCAGGGAUGCCGUUCGCAGCCCCUGCACAGUUUGUGCCCUCGCAUGUUCAGCUGAAAGCCUGAGCAGAAACAUCCCCCUUGACCACUUGAGGUCUUAACUCAUCUGGACGCCCAAGUCUCAGAGACCGGCUACCCCUGGGUUAGCAGAUAAACCUUAGUCUGUGGGAAAGCAGGCUUUGUGGAGGAGACGAACAUCUUGAGGGGAGAUUGAGAGCAAGCAGGAAUUGAGCUUACAGUUAAAGUGUAAGAAAUGAAGAGGGAGUGUGGGGCAUCAGUUGGUAAGGAGUAUGCAACGGAAUAGAACAAGUAUUGGAAGAAAAAUGUAGCACAGUGGUACCUCUUCCAUAGCUGUCAACCUUCAGAUUUGAAAAUAAGGGAUCAGCAGCCUCACCUGUCCCGGGGACAGUCUACGGGAUAUCUAACAAUCCGAGAUAGCAGCGGGAAAUGAUGCUGGAAUAAGGGAAUUUCCUGCAAAAAAAGGGGAGGUUGACAGCUAUGACCUCUUCUUGUGUUCACCUCCGGUUACGUAUCCUUCGAGAUACGCACGCGGCAAACCCGGAAGUAUUUUUCUGGGUUUCACCCCGCAUGCGCCGAAGUGCUUUAUUGUGCCGUGCGCAUGUGCAGAAAAGCGACCUCCGGUUACCGAAACCUCGGGAUCCAACCGGAGCUCCGGAACAGACUCCAUCCGCAACCGGAGGUACCACUGUGCAGGGUCAGCCCAAAGCAUUUUGGCACCUGAGGUGGGCCCCAAAAUGUUGUUCCCUUCACUGCCUUCUUAUUGCUUACCAGGGCCAUCACUCUCUUAGGAGAGUUGUAGGGUCUCCUUAAAGGGCCCACAACUGAUUCUGCAGUCCCAUGGGGGAGGAGUUCAAUUAAUUUUGCAUUUGAAGGCAAUCCGAAGCACAGCCAUCCUUCAAAAUUCACACUUCUCCAGAUUUUGCAAUGCAGGCACCCUAUACAACAAUGCAUAUAUGGGAGUGCAUCAACAUGCAUAUAUUGCCAAAAAUAACACAAACAAAUCCAUUAUAUCAGGGUGAAUUGGGUAUAUUAGUUAAAACUGCAUACAAAUACAUGUUUAUUAGGAGAAAUUCGCACUAAAAUGCUAAUGAAUUUUCAUGAGGAUUUUUAUUUUAUCUUAAUGUGAAUUGUUGGGGGAAUGUGGGGAACUGAAUUUAAGACAGAUUUUCCCAUCCCUAGUCACAUUUUCCUGCGUGGCUGCGGAGAGGAGAAGCUGUAAGGGAGUCAUCCUUAGAGUCUGGGAGCAUUGGGAGAGCCACAUCCUCAGACCAGGAAGGGUGACUGGUGAGUCACCAGGCAGACACUGGGACCCUGAGGCAAGGAAGUUGACACUUGGUGGCCGUGACUCACUGCACGAGUUCCUGGGAACUCUCAGCUUCCAUGCAGUGAAUCAUUCAUGUGCAGCCGUUCGCCAUUUGGAACAGCAUUUCCACUUAGUGCGCUUGUAUGGGUUACAGAGUUCAAGAACGCAUGCUAAGAAGCCAAGGUACCCGGUCUCAGUUCCAACUCAAAGCCAAGGGAGACAGAGGCGUCUGAGCAAGGCAGCAGUCCCUGCCCACAACAUCUGCAUAUAGGAAUUGCUCUCAAACUGUCUUCUCUCUACAACAUCAUGCACUAGGAUACAAACGUAGGCUGUUGUUGUUGUUUAGUCAUUUAGUCGUGUCCUACUCUUUGUGACCCCAUGGACCAGAGCACGCCAGGCACUCCUGUCUUCCACUGCCUCCUGCAGUUUGGUGCUGGUAGCUUCAAGAACACUGUCCAACCAUCUCGUUCCUCUGUUGUCCCCUUCUCCUUGUGCCCUCCAUCUUUCCCAACACCAGGGCCUUUUCCAAGGAGUCUUCUCUUCUCAUGAGGUGGCCAAAGUCUUGGAGCCUCAGCUUCACGAUCUGUCCUUCCAGUGAGCAUUCAGGGCUGAUUUCCUUCAGAAUGGAUAGAGUCCAUGGGACUCUCAAGAGUCUCCUCCAGCACCAUAAUUCAAAAGCAUCAAUUCUUCGGCGAUCAGCCUUCUUUAUGGUCCAACUCUCACUUCCAUACAUCACUAUUAAGAAAACCAUAGCUUCAACUAUACAGACCUUUGUUGGCAAGGUGAUGUCUCUGCUGGCAAUAACGCUGAGCCUGUAGGUUUUCUCCUGUUAAGAGUCUGCCAGGUUCUUUCUGCCCACCAAAAGACCAGCCUUUUUGAAAUCAAAAGUUGGCCGUCCUAAUGGAGAUGCUAUCAAGUGGUCUCUGUGCAUCCCACUGGCUCAUGUGAAGACACAUCUACAAAACGACAUUGGGUGGGGUGUGUUUUGUAACAGGCUCUCCAGGAUGUGGGAAGAUGAGGAAGAAAUACAAGUGAAAAAGGCCUCCACACCCCUUAGUCCUGAAGGUAGUCUUGGGCAGAGAGGACCUUCCACCCUGAUUUCCCUACUACCCACCAAGACAUGCCCACUGUGUCAUCACUCAUUAUCCACAAGUUCCAGACUAGGACUCUGGUCAUUCAGUUAAAGAAAUCUUAGUGAUAGAUCAAAUGAGUUUUGCAAUGCAAUCCUAUGCCUUUUUAGGAAUAAGUCACUUAAGAAUAAGUUACUCAGAGCUCAGUAGGGCUGACGCCCAGGAAAGAGCCGUCUCAGUCCUAUACAUGUCUGCUAAGAUGUAAACACAGAAGUAGGUCUCAUUGAGUCUAAUGAGGCUUACUUACAGGUAAGUGGGUCUAGAACUGCAGCCUUAAUUACUUAAAGCAGCAUAAACUUGCAUAUGACUAAAAUAAGCGUGCAAACUUUGAUUUUAGAUGGUGUGUUAUCGUUGGCACGUCUUUCAAUUUACUGGGCAAAUAUUUGUCAACUGACCAAUCAAUUGGCCAUGUAUUUGAUGGCUGUCAAAUCUUAUCAAGCGUUCCAUAAAGUCAUGGUGCUGAUUAGCCUGCUGUUCCUUAGCAGAAGUGCCUUUUAAAACUACUACUUUUUUUAAAAUUAGUUGCUGUUCCUUUGCUUUAUUUCUGUUUUAAUUUCCUUUUUUUAAAUAACAUGUAGGCUGGCCCUGGUGUUCUAGGAUAAAAGCCAAGGAGAAGAAUUGCUCAGUGAAUCAUUCAUAUUUAUAGAAACCUUACCUAACAUUCUUAAAAGUUAUAAUAAUUUAUGGGAGGGGAUUAAAAAGUUUAUGUUGUCUCCGAAAGCUACCUUAUCUGUGUGUUGUUAUUUUUUCAAUUACCGAAAAUUAAUAUAAUAAUUCAUACUUUGAUUUGUAUGUUGCUUUAGCACAAAAAUAAUCACGCUCAAAGCAGCUUACAAGAAAGAAAACUGAAAUACAUCUCAAAAUCAUCCACCACAAGAACAAUUUCAAGAUAAGAUUUUUAAAAAAACACCACCCCAAUAACAUAAUAGCAAAUGUAACGACAUGCAAAGAACAUUUCAGUGCUAUAAAUACAGUGGUGCCCCGCAAGACGAAUGCCUCGCAAGACGGAAAAACCGCUAGACGAAAGGGUUUUCCGUUUUGAAGUUGCUUCGCAGGACGAAUUCCCCUAUGGGCUUGCUUCAAGACGAAAAUACCUUGCGAGUCUUGAGAUUUUUUUCGCUUUCCCCUUUAUCUAAUCUGCUAAGCCUUUAAUAGCCUUUAAUAGCCUUUUAGCAGCUAAUCCCUAAGCCUUUAAGCCUUUAAUAGCCGCUAAACCGCUAAUAGCGCUAUUAGCGCUAAUCCGUCAAUGGGCUUGCUUUGCAAGACGAAAAAACCGCUAGACGAAGACUCUCGCGGAACGGAUUAAUUUCGUCUUGCGAGGCACCACUGUACAACAUUCACAUUAACAGCAUCACAUCUCCUGGCAAUAGCAAAAAUAGCAAGGGGUUCUGACAGUUUCACCUUGGUCCUGGAAACACCCCUCCCAUGCUAUUGCUCAUAGAAUCUCUCCUGCAGCAACUUGCAAACCUUGCGAAGAAAGUGUUGGGUAGCUGGAAACAUCUUUCCCUGACGCUGCAGGCUGUUGAUUGUUGAAGUAUUUUUAAUUGCAAGUUAAUGCUUUAAAAAUUACUGAUUUUGCAACAUUUGAACUUUCCCCCCUCCCCCAUGACUCAAAUGCCUUGCCCUCUGGUGCGUUGCGUGUCAUAGCUGGCGAUGAAAUAGAACAGCCAUUCUCUCCACUGUGAGAAUAGGGAAGAGGAGGAAAUGCCCCUUCUAAGAUUCCUCCUGCGGUUGUUGCUAAGUACUUAUAUUUAUUUAAAAAAAAUUAACCUAUUAAAAAAAAUAAUUGCCCAGUAAAUGAAAAAAUGCUUUCUGUCAAUUAAUAAAGCUUGCAAAAAGAUGGUUAAGUCCUAAGCUUCCAGGAAGGGCAGGCAGGCAGUCUGUGGGACGCUGCUGGUUUUCCUCUCCUCUUUCAAAGAAAGGGACAAUCAUAGAAUUGUAGGGUUGGAAAAGACCCUGUGGAUUGUCUAGUAGCCCAAACCCACCCCCCCCCAUGGAAAAAUAUGCAGCUAUCCCAUACAGGGAUUGAACCUGCAAUCUUGGCAUCAUCAGCACCAUACUCUAACCAACUGAGCUAUCUAGGCUGAGAAGUCAGAGAGCUUUUCCAGUGCAGCAACUGUUCUGGGGGGGCAUGUCUGGGGCAGAUAGGGUUUGCUGGUUCCAAACCCUCUUGUCCCCCAGGCAUUUCUCUGGAAUAGGAGGGGGGAGAGAUUAUGCCAGCCCUGGGAUUGGCAUGGUUAUUUCCCCUUCCAUUGAGUGAAGGUAACAAGCCCAAGUAAAAUGGUUGAUUUCAAUGGGGAUGACUCCAAAAUAAGUACGUAUAGACUGGAAACAUACAUAGGAAGGCUGCCUUAUACCCAAUUAGACCAUCUGUCAGUCUUGCUUGCACAAUUCAAAGUGUUGGUGCUGACCUUUAAAGCCCUAAACGGCCUCGGUCCAGUAUAUCUGAAGGAGCGUCUCCACCCCCAUCAUUCAGCCUGGACACGUGAGCUCCAGCACCGAGGGCCUUCUGACGGUUCCCUCGCUGCGAGAAGCCAAGUUACAGGGAACCAGGCAGAGGGCCUUCUCGGUAGUGGCACCCGCCCUGUGGAACGCCCUCCCACCAGAUGUCAAAGAGAACAACAACUACCAGACUUUUAGAAGACAUCUGAAGGCAGCCCUGUUUAGGGAAGCUUUUAAUGUUUGAUGCAUUACUGUAUUUUAAUGUUUUGUUGGAAGCCGCCCAGAGUGGCUGGGGAAGCCCAGCCAGAUGGGCUGGGUAUAAAUAAUAAAUUAUUAUUAUCGUCAACACUGACUGGCAGCAGCUGCCCUGGAUUUCUGGCCAAAGUCUUCCCAAACCCUAAAUGGAGACAUCAGUAAUUGAGGGGGAGGGGGGCUUUUGCAUGCAAAGAAUGUGCAGGUACUUGCAGGAAGCAAAUUGCUUUAAAAGGGCAAAGCAGAGUCAGGAAUAGAAGGAGAGAGUCAAGAAGAGGGAAGAGUUGUGUGGCUUUCGGAUUCUGCUGCUUAGUGCAGGUUUUAUGAUGCAAUAGCCCUUUGAUAGUAGUCUAUGCCAACCAGGAUGCAUUUAGGCUAUUACCGUAGAACUAGGAAGGAAAAGUACUGGGCAGGGAUUUUAUAUAUAAUUAUAUGUGUAAUAAACCCCUUUUAUAUUUCAUCAGCGGCAGCUAACUGAGAACACCCAUAAGCUCAGAACUAGCAAUCUACUAUUUUAAGAUAUCCCAGAGCAAGUUAAUUUUAGAGUUAGUGCUUUGUAAUUUUAACUAGAGCAUUGCAUCAUUGGAGGAUUUCACCUUUUUUUUUUACAGUGUUUUAAGAAGGGAAACUCGUGAUUAUCUAGGGAUGAGAAAAAUCUCCAAUUUUUAUGCACGUGCAACGCCUGGAGGAGGAUGGGAGUUCCAGCAGACAGCCAUCACCUGGGGGGCAAAUGAGCCCUAUGUCUGACCCAGGUGAAGACUGAACCAUCCAAAAUGCAUACUAUAUAGCAGCAGUUCUCAUCCAGUGUGCUGUGACACCCCGGGUUGCCUUGAAUGAUGGUCAGGGAUGCCAUGGGCAACACUGGUCUCUUUCUUUCUUUCUUUCUUUCUUUCUUUCUUUCUUUCUUUCUUUCUUUCCUUCCUUCCUUCCUUCCUUCCUUCCCUCCCUCCUCUAAUGCCCUCUUGCAUCUCUGCCUCCCAAAGGCUUGCACAGCUGUUAGUUGCAGCAGCCCUAGAUAUAAGCUCCCUAGGCCAAUGGUGCCUCUGGGGCUGGCUGGGGAGGGUGUGCUUCCCAGGCCCCUGUGGGGCAUUGUAAGGAAGAACCUCACUUUUGGGCAGGGGGGCAGCUCAGAGAAACCUCUGAUAUAUAGUAGGGAUGGAGAACCAGAUGUUGCUGGGCUGCAGUUCCCAUCAUCCCCCACCGCUGCCUAUGCCAACGAAGGUUUGUGGGAAUGUUCAGGGAGGCAGGAGAGGAUACAUUGCUUAAUGAUAUUCUUCCUAACUUGCAUUAUGUCUUAGCAGAGUUUAAACAUUCCCCCUUAAACACACAGUGGUUUGCUUGUUGCAGGCUCGUCUGAACCUCUCUAUAAAGUGGUACCUCAGGUUACAUACGCUUCAGGUUACAUGCUCCGCUAACCCAGAAAUAGUGCUUCAGGUUAAGAACUUUGCUUCAGGUUGAGAACAGAAAUCGUGCUUCGGCAGCGCGGCGGCAGCAGGAGGCCCCAUUAGCUAAAGUGGUCCUUCAGGUUAAGAACAGUUUCAGAUUAAGUACAGACCUCCGGAAGGAAUUAAGUACUUAACCCGAGGUACCACUGUAUAAGAUUCCUGGUAAGAUCCCUUCUUGUCCCUCUUAAAAAGAAUAGACACGACAAUCUUAUUAAAGUCAAUAUAAAAGUAGUUUACUCACAUUCAUUCAGUUCACAGUUAGAUCCCUGAAGGCAGACUUAGGUUACAAAAGUAUAUAUACAUGUGGAACUAUCCCAUAAGGGAGUUAGUCCCAAGUGACUGCAGACAGGCAGUCACUUCUGCUCACACGUAGAAAAACAAAAUGGAGAAGAGGAGCAAAAGAAGGAGGUGUGCUCCCCUGUCCAGGUUAGGCCAUGCUCACCUCUAGUCACAUGCAGAGGAAGUUUGUCCCAACUCAGGAAGAAACAGGAAGUUUUCUCCUGGCUGGUACAAAGCAUUCCCUGGCAUGUCCAUUCUAAGAAUGUUGUACUUGACUGCUAUGUGUUUCACAUCCCAGAGGGUUGAUGGGUGUUGUAGUCCAACAACAUAUAGAGGGGCCACCACUGCUUACCUGUGCUGGGAAGUUGAUCACAACUUCAGGGUGAUAGCAAAUCUCUUUAGAAACACUUCUAACAUUUUAGAAUUAGGAUAGCUUUUCCGGAGAAUGCCCCAUCUGUCACAGCCACCCACCCUCUGCAAGAAUUCACCAUGAUCUGAGUUGAAAGCAUAUAAGGAACGAAAGGGAAGAGUCACAUCAACAUUUAGGCUAACUAGACAUUAGGCUUAAAUCAUAGCCGUACUGGGGAUUUAUAGCCACUUUCAAAUCUGGCUGGUUAAAGGAGUGUGCCAGGUGUGAGGCUAUACUUCUAAAUGCAGCCAAAUUCAACUUGACAUCAUGUCUAUAAAGCUGACUUAAUCGCCUAGCCUGCUAACAUAUUUGGGUCUGCAUGCCAAGUCUGAUGACACAAAGUGCUGGAGUACAGUGCAUCUUACACUUUUAUUUCACUGCCUAAAAUCCUGUUGCUCUGGAGAUUUUCUUUUCUUUUCUUGUUAGCCUGGCUGGGCUGUGCAGUCAGCAGUCUUUCAGAACAUUUUAAUUGCAAGGAGCUUGUGGAGGCAUAAAUAAUCCCUCUCGUUUUAUUCUCACAAGCUGGUGAACCAGGUUAGAAAAAGAUAAAGAGCAAUUGGCCCAGGAUUGCUCAGUGAACUUCGCAGCUGAAUAGCAGGGCUGGUGGGAAACUUGGGACAGUACAGGUGUUGUUGGACUCCAACUCCCAGAAUUCCUGACCACUGGCUAUGCUGACUGGCGCUGAUGGGAGUUGUAGGCCAACAACAGCUGGAGUGCCACAUGUUCCCUGUCCUCGCUGUAGGAGAGCUUCUUUUGGGAUGCUGCUGGUAGCAGGUGGCAAGACCACGGUGCAAACAGCGUGGUGUAGUGGUUAGAGUGCUGGGAGACCAGGGCCACGAAGCUCAGUGGGUGAUCUUGAGACAAUCACUUAUUCUCAGCCUAAUCUACCUCGUGCAGUUGGUGUGAGGAUAAAAUGGGGAGGAGGCGUCAGGAACUGGUCAAGCAUAGGUCUGCAAUAAAACAAUGAAGCACCCAGUGUAAGUGAAGUCAACUCUUUAUUCAAGAAACAAAAAACAGCUCAGUCCUAGGGGGCACAGCAAGCCUUCCCAGUAGGUCUUUCUUCAAUGAAGCAGUUGUGAGGAUUGAAGCGCUCCGCCUUCCUACCGUUCUCUAAGGCUCCUCCCUGGUUCCUUUCCCAGCAGCCUAAGGCUCUGUUGUCUUGUUUCUCAUUGAUCCUGCUUUAUCUUUGUAUUCUGGCCCCCUUCCUCUCCUGCCUCUUGAGUGUGGACUGCUCUCUGCCACAGCCUCUCCCUGCUCACUAAACCUUGUCGCCUCUUCAGCUCCCAACACCUCCUCCUCCUUCCAGUCUUCUCCCUCUUCUCCCUCUAACCACUUAGUGUUGUUCCACCACCAGUCCUCAGGCUCUAAGCCUUCUUCCUGUGGGGGUUCCCCAGCAAGUGCCUCGCACCAGUCCUCUGCUUCAUCCAGCCCAUGACAGGAGGAGAUAUAUGCCUUGGAGGAGAAGGUGGGAUAUUAAUGCAAUCAAUAAAUAAGCAGAGCCAGCCCUUUGUAGCCAAAGAGAUUCAACAGGCAGCCUCCUUUGUGGAUGGGUGGCUUGAGAAUCCAAGAGUCUUUAAAUUGAUUUCCUUCAUUUUCCACACCACAUCAGCAGUUUUUUCACGGCACACCAGCACCCCAUGGUAGACAGCAUGGAAAUGACUAGCAGGAUGUUCCCAUUGCUCUUGUCCAGACAGAGGGUUGCUGAGCACAUAAGGUUCAAUUAGGCUUUCUGUUUUCAGUGGUUCUCAACCUGUGGGUCCCCAGAUGUUGUUGGACUACAGCUCCCAUCAUCCCUGAGCUCUGGCCUUGCUAACUAGGGGUGAAGGGAGUUGUAGUUCAACAACAUCUGGGGACCCACAGGUUGAGAAAGGCUGGUUUAAAAACUUCUGACUCCACUAGUGGGAUGAAGUUGGGGAAAGAGGGUGGAAUGGCAGUAUGGGAGUUCUUGGGGUUUACGUAUCCCAGUUCACGUAUCUACAUAUUCCAACUUUUUGGAGCAUGCAGUCAGGAACAAAGUUGGGCGAAGUUUAUGCCAGUUAUAAAUCUACACAGAAAAGCAACCACGGGAAGCUAAUUCUCAGGAACAGUGCAAACGUUUUCUCUCCCCCUGGAACAAAUCACACAUUUUAGAUGACCCACAGUUUGAAAACCAUGUUUCGAACGGGGAACUCCCCCCCCCCCCCAAGCUUAGCAGUUUACCAUUUAUGCUGCCCUGCAGGUGGGAGAUUGAAUUCACUCUUGACUGAAGGAAUGUGAGAUUGGGACUGGGGCUGAGAACAUCCUUGUUCCCAAAUUCAGCCAGUCACUUGUUUCCCUGCUCCUUGUCGCUGUAAUAGCCAUCUUGCCUGAGCACCUCACAAUUCCAGGUUCUCCUACAGGGAUAUGAAGAAAGAGUGGGCUGAGAACUAAGAAUACUCUGUGUGCUGCUUGUGAGCAUCCCAUAGGCUGCAAUCCAUACUCUAACCAGGAUGGACUUGCAGGAUUCAUAGCAUAAUAAAAUUGGAGGUGGGGGCAGAAGUUCAUCCAUUACUGAAAUUGCAUUGGAUUAUUAUUAUUUUUAAAGGAGAUAAAGCAUUUGAUAAACCAAUAGGUGUCUGGUUAGUCACUGUGUGAAUGAGGAUACUGGACUGUGUGUACCCUUUUCCUGGGCAGCACGACCUUCGUAUGUUCUUGUUUUCUGAAAUUGCAUAAACACAGACAAACUGCACUUUGGGACUGCACAUACUUCCACUGUCAGAGGAAGUUUCCUGGGAGCCACAAGUGGGGAGAACGCUGCUUUGGGCUUCACAUGGGUAUCUGGUUGGCCACUGUGAGAACAAGAUGCUGAACAAGAUAGGCCUUUUGGACUCACAGCUGUCCAUGGAGGCACAGGGCAGCUGUCUACCAGCUCCAUCUGAUACACAGGCUGAGACCCUACCUGCCCACAGACUAUCUCACGAGAGUGGUGCAUGCUCUAGUUAUCUCCCUCUUGGACUACUGCAAUGCGCUCUACAUGGGGCUACCUUUGAAGGUGACCCAGAAACUACAACUAGUCCAGAAUGUACUUUGGAAUUCCCUGAAGUGUUGGGUGCAAAAGGUGAUCUGGCAUUUCCCGGCCGUUAAUUUACUGGCUCAUCUGUCUGCCCUUCCCUUCCCUAGCUGAGUUCCACAAUAAACAGAGAUAGGUAUAGGUGACAGGACCAGAAGAAGAACAGAAGGUUCUCUUGUUAAUAAUAAUAAUAAUAAUAAUAAUAAUUUCUUUAUACCCUGCCCAUCUGGCUGGGUUUCCCCAGCCACUCUGGGCAGCUCCCAAUCAAAUAUUAAAAACACAAUACAGCAUUAAACAUUAAAAACUUCCCUAAACAGGGCUGCCUUCAGAUGUUUUUUAAAAGUAGGAUAGUUGCUUAUAUCCUUGACAUCUGAUGGGAGGGCGUUCCACAGGGCGGGCGCCACUACCGAGAAGGCCCUCUGCCUGGUUCCCUGUAACCUCACUUCUUGCAGUGAGGGAACCGCCAGAAGGCCCUCAGAGCUGGACCUCAGUGUCCGGGCUGAACGAUGGGGGUGGAGACGCUCCUUCAGGUGUACAGGACCGAGGCCAUUUAGGGCUUUCAAGGUCAGUACCAACACUUUGAAUUGUGCUCGGAAACAUGCUGAGAGCCAGUGCAGAUCUCUCAGGACCGGUGUUAUAUGGUCCCGGCGGCCACUCCCAGUCACCAGUCUAGCUGCCGCAUUCUGAAUUAAUUGCAGUUUCCACCAGGGAAUAGUAUGCCAGAGAUCUCUGGGUUGUGAUUAAAAACCCCUUUUUGCAUUUGCCAGCACCAUUAGAGAGACUGAGACAAGUGAGCUGAUGUCGGGUGUCUUAAAAGGGCAGCAAAUUUCUGGUUAUUUCAUUUCUUUCUUGUCUCAUUUUUACUGCUGAGGAGGGCAAGAGGGAGGCACUCGGGGGAUUUUUCUGCCUCACACGCCAAAAUAAUUUCACCCUAUUUUGGAACUAUGAACUUGAUUUGGUAAGAGGGCAUCAUUUGCGGCUCCCAUUUCGGCAAACAAGCCAGACCUGUGAGCAAUUGUAUUUUCAAAACUUCUGGGAAGGCAUUCUGGGUGCCACCAGGGCUGGCUGUGAUCUCACCAUCUUCUCCUGAGCUGCAGAGAAAUCGAAAUUCACAUGCAUCUCACAAAUCACACCCUUUCGCUGUGCACAAACACUGCUGGCAUCCGAUAACCCUUUGGAAGAAUGCUAGUGUUUCUAAGGAGUAAGGGGAGAGUAUUAGUCGAUGGGAGACGGCCGUAGUUCAGUGGCAGGGGCUUGCAGGAGCUCCCAGGUGCAGUAUCUGGCAGGGAAUGGCCCUUCUCCGAAAUCCUGGACAGUUGCUGAUGGUCAGUGUAGACAACAUUGAUCUAGAUGGACCAAUGCUCUGAUUGACCUAUAACACAGCUUCCUAUGUUCCUAUUUCCCAAAACGUUCCUUCCUUUUCCAGGUUGUAGUUUCACAAAACAGUGUAAUAGGUCGCAACCGCAUGCGCUGGCAAGUCUGCAGUGCUUAACAUCAUGAGAGGGCCAACUAUUUAAGAUUUCGGGUACAUAAUGUUCAAUCCAGUGUCGGUCGUAUGUGCUGUAAAAUGAGCCAACACCCUAUGUGUAUAUAUAUUUGUGUGUGUGUGUUUAAUAUUCUAGAAGUGGUUCUGUUCCAGGAAUUACUUAAUCCAAAUUUUGCUUUGUUUUCCCACCCCCUUUCCUUUUUCUCCCCCCUCAUGGCACUUUGAGCUUUGUUCGUUUUGGCUUUUCGGAGACGGAUUCUGGGAUGGGAAGGAAGGGUUAGGUUCCACAUGGCUUGGAGGCAAGGCGUGCCUUUCUUCUUAGUUUUGGCAGAGGCACCAAGGAAAAGAGAGAAGCUUCUCAGAAAAGGGAAAGGCUUCUGUGUCUCUGAGGUUUACCCAGGCAAAGCAAUUAGAGGAUUAGAGCUAUGAACUGGCCUAACUUCUGUUAGUACUUGUGCCCGGAGUUGGGAGUGGAGGGGUUAAAUAAAGAACGCAUGGUCCAAACCAGUUUCUAAAAGAGGAUAACUGGUCACCUAUGUUAAAUCUCACUUCCCUCCUUCAGAGAGAAGUCUUUUUACUGCUUUUGAGUCUCCAUCUUUUUGGGAAAUGAAAAAAAAUAAAAUCUUAAAGGUUUCAUAUUUAGAAAUCCCAAAAACAUCCCAAACAGUUUGAGGAAGUUUUUUUCGCAUUUGUAAAUAUGGGAAUUUAACAUUAGGUGAAAAGAUUACCUGAUGCAGAUACUAUAGAUAUAGAAAGAAUGACAAAUAAUAUUGCUUUCCAGAUAAAUGAGGAACAUUUUUUUCAAACAGACAGAGUAUGCGGGAAAAUGUUUUCAUAUACUCAUUUGGCCUUUAUUGGCAUAAUUUAGACAAUAAAAAUCAUAAAAGGAGGAGAAAAAUCCAUAAAACAUCAGUAAUCCAGACAUAUUAAACACAUAAAACAUAUAAAAGACUCAGUAGCCACCAUUAAGCAAAAUCAAGUAGUUUCAGAUUUGACUUUAAUACACACUGAGUCUGCAACAAAAUGUUGCAGAGUGGAGUGCUCCUUCUUUCAGGAAAACAUUCCUCCCCAAUGAUUGUCUCCCUACCUACCCAUCAGCCAGCUAGCAUUCUGUGAACACUGAGCAUGUUUUGUCUUCAAUGGACUGGGGGAUUUUUUGCAGCAGAGGAGGCAGGCGUCCCAUGAGUGUUCUUUGUUGUUGUUUUUUUAAAAAGCGUGUCUGCAAACUUUGGGGUGGCGCUGUGGGUUAAACCACAGAGCCUAGGGCUUGCUGAUCAGAAGGUCAGCGGUUCGAAUCCCCGCAACGGGGUGAGCUCCCAUUGCUUGGUGCCAGCUCCUGCCAACCUAGCAGUUCGGAAGUCCAAGUAGAUAAAUAGGUACCACUUCAGCGGGAAGGUAAACAGCAUUUCUGUGCGCUGCUCUGGUUCGCCAGAAGCGGCUUAUCAUGCUGGCCAGGCCACGUGACCCGGAAGCUGUACGCCGGCUCCCUUGGCCAAUAAAGCGACACGAGCGCUGCAACCCCAGAGUCAGCCACGACUGGUCCUAAUGGUAAGGGGUCUCUUUACCCUUUACCUUUAAAGCCUGCUAAAUCAUCUCUCUGGUGCAUGCAUGAUGCUGUGGGGAAGGCAGUUUCUUUCAUGAAAAGAGAAAGGGGCCACUGAUUUAGGGAAGGUCCAAUCCAGCAAGAACUUCACCACACGAUUCUGCUGAUCACGCAGCUCAGCUGUCCUGCGUUGAUUGCAGAGCUCCAGGCACCCUUCAGGCCGACUGGCAUGGCACCAGCUUCGCAUUAGGAUUUUUAUAAAGCACCUCGGAUGCCUAGGCACUCUGCGAACACGAAAUUAACAAGGCUGCGCCUGCAGGGCUCACCAUCAGAAAGAAUAUGGAGGAGGGGGAGGAGAGAGAAUAAUUGAAAGAGAAGAUCACAAGCUUAGUAACAAAAUUAUCAUAAGGCACAAGCAAACUGAAAUAAACAUGCCACCAAAAUACUCCAGCUGCUGUUGACUAUAAAAUGAGAACAAGGCAGGGAGGUGGGGAAAUGAUGCGGCCAGAAUUAAUGGCAAGUCACUGGGUCUGGAUAUGUUCCUCUGCUCUCUGUACCAGGGGUCAGCAAACUUUUCCAGCAGGGGGCUAGUCCACUGUCCCUCAGACCUUGUAGGGGCCAGAAUAUAUUUUUGGGAGGGAAAUGAACGAAUUCCUAUGCCCCACAAAUAACCCAGAGAUGCAUUUUAAAUAAAAGCACACAUUCUACUCAUGUAAAAACACGCUGAUUCCCGGACCAUCUGCGGGCUGGAUUUAGAAGGUGAUUGGGCAGGAUCUGGCCCCCUGGCCUUAGUUUGCCUACCCAUGCUCUAUACCAGACAUGUCCAACAGGUAGAUCGCGAGCCAGAUCACGGGGGUGUCCCAGGUAGAUCUUGGUAUGAAGUUUAGUGAUCACCUUUGGCCAACCCUCCCCUAAAAAAAGCUCAACAACAAAAGCUCAACAAUUCCUGGCAGUGACAAUGGGUAGAUCUUUUUAUACUCUGAGUUGAUCGCAGUCUCUUGGGAGUUGGGCAUGCCUGCUCUAUAGCAACACGAGUUACAGUCUUCUUGCAUCAGUAUCAUAUCUUGCAGAGGACAAGGACAUGGAUCAGUUUGUCAGUCCUCCACUGUCAAGCUGGUUGCAUGACUACCAUAAUCUAGUCCUCAAGGAUGGGGAGCCUGUGGCUCUCUAGAUCAGAGCUUUCCAAGCUGUGUGUCAUAACACAAUAGCGUGUCGGUUGCAGUGUUGCAGGUGUGUCGCACAAACUCUCCCUGCGCUCCUCCUAGGGCUGGACUUGGGUUAGCUGAACCUUUGGUUUGUUAGUAAAACUGAAUUACUGUAUCAUGAAACGAUGCUUCUCUAAAAAGCAUGUCAUGGAAGGUUUGGAAAGCUCUGCUCUAGGUGUUGUUAGACUACAGCUUCCAUUAUCUCUGUCCAUUGGCCGUCGGUUGGGGAUUCACAUAAUGAAGGACAACAGGCUCGCCACUCUUCCCAUAACCCCUCGUUUGGCCCAUCGCUGGAAGAUAAUGUUACAGGCUGCUCUGACCCCUGGAUUCCAGGGGUCUUGGGCCUCAACCAAGGUCUGUGCUCCUUUGGAGAAUUGAAGACAAAGCGGUGGCUGUUGUGGCUUUAAGAAAUAUGGUUUAUUCGCUUAAAGGUAAAGGGACCCCUGACCAUUAGGUCCAGUCGUGACAGACUCUCGGGUUGCAGCGCUCAUCUCGUUUUAUUGGCCGAGGGAGCUGGCAUACAGCUUCAGGGUCAUGUGGCCAGCAUGACUAAGCCGCUUCUGGCGAACCAGAGCAGCGCACGGAAACACCGUUCACCUUCCCGCCGGAGUGGCACCUAUUGAUCUACUUGCACUUGGACGUGCUUUCGAACUGCUAGGUUGGCAGGAGCUGGGACCAAGCAAUGGGAGCUCACCCCGUUGCGGGGAUUCGAACCGCUGACCUUCUGAUCGGCAAGCCCUAGGCUCUGUGGUUUAACCCACAGCGCCACCCCAAAUUUUGCAGACACGCUUUUUUAAAAAACAACAACAAAGUCCUAGGCUCUGUGGUUUAAGCCACAGUGCCACCCGCGUCCCAUAUUCGCAUAUUUACGCCUGAAUUUAGAUGGAGGGAGUCCAGACCUUACAGCAUGCUUGUCUCAAGAGGGGCUUGUUGCCACCAUCAGCAGUGCAGCUCUGGAGUCCAAGGCACCUCUCUCAGCUUGCCUUCAGCCAGCCAGCCUUCAUUCUGCCCUUUAUUCAGUUAUUCCAAGCCUCUUGUCACAUGCCCCAUACUCUUCCUGUGACAUCAUAGUCCAGUUACCCUGGCAACCUUCCAAAUCGCCUGUCUCUCUGCACAGCUCAGUCAGGGUAAGGUACGAGGACAGUUCUCUUGCCUUACCAACGGCCCUCAAUGGCCCUAUAUUGUUUCUUAAUGGCCCUAGCUUGGCAAGGUCCUAUUGCAUAGGCUAGCCCAGGAAUUCCUCUGCAGCUUAUAUUUCCCCUUCCUAACCCAAAUAACCCAAAUCCUACUGUCUAGUAAUUUCUAAUUUCCUAUAGCAAUAAUGACUGCACCCCUCUUUUAAAUAUGCUGACUUCUUUCACAGAGGGAAAUGGAUUAAAUAUAAGAAAGAUACCUAACCCCAUAGAUCUGGUGUGAGUUCCUAGCCUAUUUGAAGGCCUACUGAGGCAUCAUAUUUCAAGGCUCAAAGGAUGUGGUACCAGUGGAACUCUUUAGCAGUGGAUCAAGGAUCCAAAUUGGAUAAGACCAUCUUGUUCCCACAGUAGUGAUUCUCGCCUACCUGCCUUUGAGCAAAGAGCGAAUAUCAAUUGUAGCGUGGCUUUGAUCUCGCUCAAUUGCCGCUGCUGCAAAGGAGACUACAGGACACUUAUUAGUGGAUCCUGCAUUGUAAUUCAGACUGCAGCUGUCAAAAUACAUGAACAAAGUGUCUUUUGUGAUACAUUUCCCUUGCUUUGUUUGCUGUUGCUCAUUCAGAGUUCAAUAAUUAAUAACGAGCAUUCCAGUCAUUAGUAUAAAUUAGCCAGGUUCUACUGUGUGAGCCACCCACAACUGUAUUUUUUCUGUCUUUCUUUCCUGGAAAAGAAUUAUUUAGUAGUGUUUCGGAAAUGCUUCCUCACUCAUCAUCGCCCAUUAAUGUCGCUUCCAAACGAUAUGUCUAAAUUCUUGGUUUAAAGGGGGGGAGGCGGGUGGCCUUCAAGCUGAAGGAAUAAAUAAAUAAGAAUGAUUGUUUAUUUAUUUAUUUAUUUAUUUUGCACAGGAAGUUGAUUAGCCAAAAAAUAGGAACUCCAAGUUGAAGUUAAAAUGUAAAUUUAAAUCCCCCCAUGUUUAGGAUUAAAAAUAGGGUAUUUUCAAACACCUUACACAUCACAAGAACAGAUAUAAAUGGGCCUGGUAUUGGUGGUACAUGAAAUCCAUAAAUGGGGUAUUAUGUGGGUCAGAUGGUAGGAAUUUCUCUGUCUGUCUGUCUGUCUCUCUCUCUCUCUCUCUCUCUCUCUCUCUCACACACACACACACACACCCCCCAACUGGGGAGGAGCAAUCAGAAUUAAAAGUAGUGCCCCAUUUCCAUGGACCCCAGCAAGAUUAACACACACCCCAAUUUACCAGCUCCUCAUUCCUGCGAGAAGGAACCCCCUCCCAAUUGGAAGCUAUGUAAACUCACCUUCUGAGCCAAAUGAGCGGGAGACAUUUUCAGCACAGGACAGAGGUUUUCAACCUUUUCUGAGUCCACGGCUCCCUUGACCCGACUACAUUCUUUCUGCGGCACCCCUGUGGGGCUCAGGAGCCCAGUUAUGUCGCCCCUCGCCUGCAGAGGGGCUGCCAUAACAUAGGAACAUACUGAAUUAUACUGGAUUGCUGUAUCUUGCUCGGUUUCAGAGGGGUCUCGCCCAGAGCUAUUGCUGGGUAUUGAAUCUGGAAACUUCUGUAUUCAAGGCAGAUGUUCUGCUACUGAGCUCCCAUAAGAUGGAGAGGGGCAUGAUAUUGCAAGGCUGUGCAAUUGAAGAUGUGAUGUUUUGCCUCUCAUUUGCAGGUAUUGAACCUGAAAGGCCUGGGGGUCCUUCAGAUGUUCAGAUCAUCUGAAAAUUAAGCUGCUGUUCUGCUCAUUUGCAGCAUUUGCAUGUUCCAAAAGACACAUGUUGUUAAACAUAUGCGUGUUUUAAGGCUGAGAAACCGAGAACUAAUAAUCCCACAAAUCUACAAGAGUACAAGCGACUAGAUCUAACACCUAAAUCUACUUUCCUCUCUUUAUUGAUUGAAUUUCUGGUGUUAGCUUUAAAUAUAUAUAGACCUGUCAGGAUUUGAGUUCCUUGGGUAAGCAUCAGUAUUUGUCAACUUCACUCUCACCCAGAAAACUAGCAAAGAAUCCCCAUUGACAUUAAUCAAAAUGUGAAAAGAUGAAAUAGCUUAUGAUUCUGGCACGCUGCAUAAAAGAGCCUUGAGGCAUGAGCUUUCUGUACAGGAUCACACAUCAACAAUGGAGUGAAGGCACAAGAGGUGUGGUAGUCUAGCCUAUCCUGUGUUGCUGCAGAAUAGCAUUCACCAACAUGGUGCCCUCGAGAUGCUUUGGACUACAACUACAACGUUGGCUGGGCCUCCUUGUUCACGGACUCUCUGAUGUGCAUAGGCUUGACCUAAGGUCCUGAUUCUGCUGCUGUUCCAUUAAAAAUUACAAGGCCAUGCUGGGUAUGUAGAGAAUCGCACUGGGUGGGAUUGCAGAACAUGGGGGGAGGGAGUGUCCUGUGGCAGCCAAAGCACAUACAAGAGCUAAGAUGAUGGGAAGCUACUCAGCUGCCUUCUGCUGACUCCAGAUGCAUUGCAAAUAUAGAUGCUCAUUGUAGCCUUGGACUGGAAAGGGUUUAAAACUUUAAGGAAAUGGAUUAAUUUAAGAGACCCCCUGUUGACUGGUGGGCCCAUGGCUCUACCCCUGCAAGUGUGUGUAUAUUGGCUUCUCCAUCUUCUCGACCUAUCGUGAUCUUAUACCAAAUGGAGGCAAGAGCAAAGCCCCCCACCCUCCAAAAAACUAUACACACACACCCUCGGGCUGCAAUGUACAAGAACUUAACACAGUUGCCUGUAUUUUUAUUUUGUAAAUUCAUUAUAGUAAUAAUUAUAAAUUAACAGCCAGUGGCUUUGGGGGAAAAAACCUAUAGUGGGGGCUGAUGGGAGUUGUGGUCCAAAACAUAUUGAGGGCAGCGCUUGGCAAAAAGCUGUUGCAGGAUUAUAAGCAACACAGAGAGCCAGCUAGAGCCAUCAUUUAAAGCUCAUAUACCAAGCCCUAAACAACUAGGGACCUUUGUAUAUAAGUUUAUUAUUAAGUUUUCUGUCUGACAAUUUAAAAUACUCAGUUUACAUCCUUAAGAUAUCAAUGACAUCUCUUCUUCUCUUUCCAUGGUUCAUUUUACAUAUCAUAAAUCCCUGCAUAUUUUACAAAAACUAUACCAUUCAUUCUUCCAUUAUUGCAUCCAUCAAAACUGGUUUAUGCUGUUGAAUUUAUCUUAAUGCUGCCAUCGUUUUCAGCUGUACACAAUUUCCCCCCAUAUAUUCAAUGAACAUUUUCCAGUCUUCUUUAAACGUAUGUUCUUCUUGUUCUCUUAUUCUGUGUGUUAAGUCUGCGAGUUGUGCAUAUUCCAUCAGCUUAAGUUGCCAUUCUUCUUUGGUUGGAACCUCACUUGUUUUCCAAUUUGGAGCUAACAAAACACAGGCUGCAGUUGUAACAUACAUAAAUAACCUUUUUACAUAUAGUAAGUGAAAUAGAAACAUCGCCACCCGACCCCACCCUCACCCAUCUCUUCCCCCCCCCACCUCUUUCCUCCUUUUCUUCCUAAUGUCUCAACAAAUGAAAAUGAUUUGUAAAAAUGUUACAUGGGGGGGGGGACACGAGAGAGAGACAUUGCGCAUUUUUGUAAAUCAACAAAAUCUUUAAUAAAAUAAAAAUAAAUAAAUAAAUAAAUAAAUAACCUUUUUAGACACCAGGGAAUUUCAGUCUGAAUUAUUCCCAACAGAAAGGACUCUGGGUUUGGGGGGUGGGGGUGGGAAGUACUUUUAAACAUUUUUUUCAAUUCGUUAUUGAUCAUUUCCCAAUACUCUUUAACCCUUUUAAAAGUCCACCACAUAUGAAAGAACGUUCCCUGCACCUCUUUGCAUCUCCCAACACUUGCCUGAUUCAGUCUUACACAUCUUAGCAAGCCUAAAAGGUAAAGGGACCCCUGACCAUUAGGUCCAGUCGUGGCCGUCUCUGGGGUUGCGGCGCUCAUCUCGCUUUAUUGGCCAAGGGAGCCGGCGUACAGCUUCCGGGUCAUGUGACCAGCAUGACUAAGCCGCUUCCGGCAAACCAGAGCAGCGCACUGAAAUGCUGUUUACCUUCCUGCCUGAGUGGUACCUAUUUAUCUACUUGCACUUUGACGUGCUUUCGAACUGCUAGGUUGGCAGGAGCAGGGACCGAGCAACGGGAGCUCACCCUGUCACAGGGAUUCGAACCGCCGACCUUCUGAUCGGCAAGUCCUAGGCUCUGUGGUUUAACCCACAGCGCCACCCAUGCCCCUUUUUAGCAAGCCUACUUGGAGUUAAAUACCACCUGUGAGUCAUUUUCAGGUAGUUCUCCCAACUUGGAUCUUUGAUGGAGCUUCUGCUCCCAUACCAGCCUGUGAACCUGCUGAGCUCUGCAGCUGAUGCCCUCUGGGUUGUUCUGCAUCCAACCUCCAGGGAAAGGCCUUAUCCUGCAGCGAUGCCCAAAUGCCCUCCACCUUGAAAUAUGAUUGGCAUUGAUGCUGAUUAGUUUUCGGCACCCGUGGAAAAUCCAUCUCUCCCAUCAGAUCUUUACGGCAGGUUGAUUGCCUGGCCAGGUUUUGAUUAUGCCUGUUACUGCUGCUCUCUUCUUGUGGUUUUAAUGUUUAUGCUUGUGUUGGGUAGCUUUUCAUUCAUAUUAUUGUAUGCUGCCCCCGGAGUGCAUUGUGAUGAAAAAUAGGUUACAAAUAUUUUAAAUAAAUAAGAUGAGAUAAAAUCACGAGAGAUGAAUGUUGAGGUAGUCUGGCUGCAAAAAUAUCCACCCCUGCAUUUCCUACUUUUAGUUUGCCUUUGGGUGACUCAUUUUUUGUACAAUUGUACACCUCAGAGGCAGAUGCUUUAUGUAUGAGUACUACAUGUAUUUUUAGUGUACCUCAUUGGGUCAGCUACAAGGCUAGGGUCUUUGGGUUUAUGAAUGAGGAAAAUUGAUAAUUGAUGGGGGCUAUUUGGUUGUGGGGUUUUUUUGCAGAAGCAAAGAAAGUGAAACAGCUAAAUAACAGAAAUCUGCAUUUAUUGGAGGAGCAUGUUUUGUAUACCGUAUUAUUCGCUCGAUAGGAUGCACUUUUCCCCCUCCAAAAAUUGAGGGGAAAUGUGUGUGUGUCCUAUGGAGCAAAUGCAGGCUCCCUCCGCGCUCCAAAGGCUUCGCGUUGCUUUCCCUGCAGCCUGGUUUCCUUCGCGUUGCUUUCCCUGCAGCCGACCCCUCUCGCUCUCCAGGCUACAGGGAUAGUCGUGCGCAGCCCCUUCCCUCCCCCCUGGCAGGGAGAGGCUGCACAUGGCUAUGGCUUCUUUAGCCUCGCGCAGUCUCUUCCGGCAGGGAGAGGUUGCGCGGGGCUAAAGAGGAAGCCAAAACAGCGAGCGGGAUGGAUCCCGCUGGCUGCCUUGGCUUGUGCCAUAGCCGCGUGCAACCCCUCCGGGAGGGAGAGGUUGCUCGCAGCCUGUACGCUGCUCUUUGGGGCUGGGGGGGAAAUAAGAUGUUUUUUUCUUGACCCCCCCCCUAAAAACUAGGUGCGCCCUAUGGUCCGGUGCGCCCUAUGGAGCAAAAAACACGGUAAUAGUAAGUUCCUGUGAAAAGUUCUGUUAACAGUGAAGCAAGUUUUGCAAGAUAAAAAGCACCUCAGAAAAUAGAAAGAUAACAUUUCGUCGGAACAAAUCUCAUUGCAGCAGUUUGUAUGCCAAUGCCUGCGCAGGCUGUUGUUGGUUUUUUGCACCUCAGAAACACAGCACAAAAUGUGACAGACAGACAGAUGUCCCAGAAUACAGUGCAAAAUGAUUGGGAAGAAGCCUGCCGUAGUUGGGCAGCAACCAACAAGAGGCCAUUGCUGGCUGGGCCACAGACACCUCUGGGCCACUCCUCUCUGUGGUAUGGCAAAUUGAUAGUUCAGAGUAUCAUCCGCCUAUUAUGGUACGCAUGUAGUUCAGGAAGCACAUCUGCUUAUAUAGAUGCUUUGCUUGAAAGGAAAUCCACGUAGCCUGUGAUUAAGAAAGCAGAGCAUGUGGGUAUCAUGUGCAUAUAAGCAACCGCUUAAGGCCAGGUCAACAAAUUGUCCCAGGAGCCUACUGGUCUGAUAAGAAGGGCCGUAAAAACUGAGUUUACACAGUUGCAUGGACCAGCCAAGAGUUUUCCUUAAUUCACCUGGGAAGCUCUUAGUUCCUACCCAAAGUCUUACAGUCGCAACCGAUGCAAAGGCGAGAGUCUGAGGGGAUUUCUGUAGUUCGCACUGAUUUAACAAUCUCUCUGUUUCCACUUCCCAGGGAAUGACCGGGGGACGGGACGGGACGACAGCAGGGUUAUAGCCUAGUUGGCCCAGCAGUGGGGCAACAGACUGCAACAAUUAGCAGCAGGUUUCUGCUAGCCACCCAAUUUCCCCUAAUGUCCAAUUUCCCCAUAUGCCUCAAUUCAGCAUCACUUGGGGGUAGUUCUGUUUUUCUAGAAGAAGUGAUGCUGGAACUCAUCAUGGACCUUGUUCUCUUAGAAUGGCAAUGGCGCCCACCUGAGAGGUGCCAGAACUGAGUUCCUGUGAGUUCCUCCUUUUAAAAAGCCCUGCUUGUGGGGAGUGUGGAAAAUUUAACACGGUGGGCGGCUUCUCAGACUUGCCCCACUCCCAGCAGCUACCUAAUGCCUUACACUUCUGAAAGUGAGGCUAGGGAUCCCCAACGGAGGAAUCUCAGUUUUACUUCUGUUGUGCCAUAUGGGUCACUUUAAGAAAGGAAUUUUGUAUCUGUUGAUUGUCAACACCUGUCACUCGAAUCAAUAUUGUGCUUGUCCAAUAUAACCCUACUCUGUAAAAGUUGUUGCUUACAGCAGCUACUACUACGCUAUAAGAUCCACUGUCCUGUGAUAUCAUAUAUGGUAUGUAAGGUUGUUGAAGGUUCUUAUAUUAUUUUUGCUGUAAAAAUGCGUGAGAUUACGAUAUUGUAUUUAUUUGUAUUACCUAGAGACAUAGCUGUCAACUUUUUCCUUUUUUUAAGGGAAAUUCCCUUAUUCCGAAUAGGGUUCCUCGCAAGAAAAGGGAAAGGUUGACAGCUAUGCCUAGAGUUUGUACUACUGAUGAAGCCCAGGAUGGCGAAACAAGGCUAAUAUUCAGGAAAUCCUUGUCUUAGAGUCUGUGAAAGGAUUCUGUGGAACUGUAACAACCUUUCAUGUGGAUUGUUGGACUCUAUGAACACACAGAUGGAAUAGACACUUAUACAUAUAUGGACCUUAUGCAUAAACUGAUUAGAGAAUGAACUGAUCCACUGGGUCUUCUACUUUUUUUGUUGAACUUUAUGAGCUACUUCUGUUGAAUUCUACAAUUCAAUACAAUGAAUAGUAUAUAUUAUUUUUUCAAACGUACAGCCAGUUACGUCUUGUGUGUUUAUUGAAAUUAUUUAAUCGUAGCCGAGCUCUGAUACUGGAAACGAGCCCAGCAAGAUGGAAAUCACCUAGGGGGUGAUGGCUGUGGGGCUGGAGCAACGGGUGUGGGCUGUUCUAACAUUGGGCAAAUGAGGAUUUGACUCUCCUUGCCUUCUGGGGGUAUCCCAAACCACACUGACUUUUUAAAAAAACAAACAAACCUCAAAGCUGUUUACAAAAGGAUAAAGCCAUAAAAUCAAGGAAAAAUGUACAACCCUACUUUAAAACUUACAAAAGUUAAAUCAAAGAAAACAGAUUUAAAAACAACCCAAUGUUUUAAGCAUCUUGGUAGGCUUGCCUAUACAAGAACGUUUUUAGCAGGUGCCAAAAAGAGUGCAGGGAAGGCAUUUGCUGAAUCUCAAUAGGCAGGGAGUUCCCAAAGUGCUACCACACUAAAUGAUCAAAUUCUUACAAAGGUGGAAUGAGUAAUAUCAUACCCUCCCAACAUUUCUCUGAUGAAAAAUAGGGACGUCCCAUUCCACAAUGAUAAUUUUACUAUUUAUACCCCCCACAUCUUACUGGGUUGCCCCAGCCACUCUGGACAGCUUCUAACAUAUAUAAAAACAUAAUUAAACUGUUUUUUUUAAAAACAAACAAACCACAAUUCCCUAUACAGGGCUAGGGACGCGGGUUGCGCUGUGGGUUAAACCAUGGAGCCUAGGACUUGCCGAUCAGGAGGUCGGCGGUUCGAAUCCCCGCGACGGGCUUCCAAUAUAUGUAAAAACAUAGUAAAAUGUGAAACAUUUUUUUAAAAUUCCCUAUCCUUCAGAUGUCUUCUACAAGUUGUAUAGUUACUUAUCUCCCUGGCUCAGGGGUGUGUCUCAAAACGUCAUACCCUCCAACAUUUCUCCGAUGAAAAUAGGGACGUCUUAAAGAAAACCUAAGGGACGUGGGUGGCGCUGUGGGUUAAACCACAGAGCCUAGGGCUUGCCGAUCAGAAGGUUGGUGGUUCAAAUCCGCGCAACGGGGUGAGCUCCUGUUGCUCGGUCCCUGCUCCCGCCCACCUAGCAGUUCAAAAGCACGUCAAAGUGCAAGUAGAUAAAUAGGUACCGCUCUGGCGGGAAGGUAAACGGCGUUUCCGUGCGCUGCUCUGGUUCGCCAGAAGUGGCUUAGUCAUGCUGGCCACAUGACCUGGAAGCUGUACGCCGGCUCUCUCGGCCAAUAAAGUGAGAUGAGCGCCGCAACCCCAGAGUCGGCCACGACUGGACCUAAUGGUCAGGGGUCCCUUUACCUUUAUACAGGGCUGCCUUCAGAUGUCUUCUGAAGGUUGUAUUGUUACUUUUCUCCUUUACUCGCAAGUCGCACAACUCCAUACACUCCAGCAUUUCUCCAGUGAAAACAGGGACAUCCUAAGGAAAAGCGGGACAUUCCAGGAUCAAAUCAGAAACUGAGACGGCUUCUCUAAAUCAAGGACUGUCCCUGGGAAAUAGGGGCACUCGGAGGGUCUGUAAUAUGUGGCACAUGUAGUAAUGCCAAAUCCACCAACUGAAGCGGUCAAGUGAGCACAUGCGGGGUAUGGCAAUCUCAUAGGUAAACUGGUCCCACGUUGUUCAGGGUUUUAUAUACUGUUGCACGCCACCCCAAUCUCUGAGCCGUGCCAGCUUAUGCAGGGUUCAUGCUUCCUUUGGAAUGAAGGACAGUGGAGGCUAUGGUGUCUUUUUGCUGUCUGUAUUUUUCAUCUGGCACAGAGCCACUUCCUUUGUUACUUUAAUGGACCAUACUUAGAGGGCCAUUAGCUCACCAGGAAGCUAGCCUGGCUAUUCCAACAAUUAGAAUGUGGCUCGAGCAUGCAGCCUGGCCUGCCCCAAACUCAUAACAAUACAGUGGUACCUCAGGUUACAGACGCUUCAGGUUACAGACUCCACUAACCCAGAAAUAGUACCUCAGGUUAAGAACUUUGCUUCAGGGUGAGAACAGAAAUCGCCCGGCGGUGGUGCGGUGGCAGCGGGAAGCCCCAUUAGCUAAAGUGGUACCUCAGGUUAAGAACAGUUUCAGGUUAAGAACGGACCUCCAGAAUGAAUUAAGUUCUUAACCUGAAGUACCACUGUACAGUUGUACCUUGGAUCUUGAACACCAAUCAGAAGCCGCGCUUUGGUUUCCGAACAUUUUGGAAGUCAAACAGACUUCCGGAACGGGUUCUGUUCGACUUCCAAGGUACCACUGUACAGUCUUCUUACAAACCUCUUCUUACAUCCGCAUCCGCUCAUGUCCUUUUUGCCCAACACCCAUGGCAAACCCGGAAGUAACUGGCAGGUUUGCCGCCGUUCACACAUGCGCAGAAGUGGGCAAUCACCGUUCGCACAUGCGCAGAAGCGGGCGAUCGCCGCCUGCGCACAACGGUGCCUCUCCCAGCAACCCAUUUCAACUUUUGGACGGGCCUCCGGAACAGAUUGUGGCCGUGAGUAGAGGUUCCACUGUACUAAUAGCAACACCUCGAAGCCAGCCCAGUAGCAAAUCAGCAGCCCGUUCAGAUCUCUGCACGCAGGUGUUACAUGGUGACAAGGCCUCACACCUGUCAGCAAUCGUGCUUCAGCUUCCAGGUUGACUGCAAGAGAAGGGCCACAUACAGACACUGGCAGAAAGAUUCCUGCAUUGCAGGGGGUUGGACUCGAUGACCUCUGUGGUCCCUUCCAACUCUACAAUUCUAAGAUUUGUGUGAAUGGGUAAACCCAGCCUUAAAUAAAAGGGGCUUCUUCCAUCAUGUCUCAUUUGGCUUCAGAAAGCUCUCAUGUCCCAAGCAAGCCACUAAUAUGUUAAGAAAUGUUAGUAGUAUUGGGAUACCACAGGGGUCCUCCCUCCACAAUUCCCGCCCCCCCAAAUGUAAUAGUCCCAGAACAGCUUAAAGGGAUUGGGCACAUUGGAAGUAAAUAUCUCAGUGACAUUUUGCGAAUUGUGUGAAGUUGACUGGGGAUAAAAGGAGCCUUCAUUUAAACGCCGGUUCUCCGUUCUUUGUCAUGCUCAUAAAAGUUAAAACGGAGUAAAAGCCUUAACAUGUGUAAUAAAGUAAUGUUCUGCCUUAAAGAUUGCACGACCCGUUCUCCGUGCCAGAAAAUGCUAUUUGCUGCAAUGCAUUUGCUGAGCAGAAAAGGACUUUUAACGCACGUGGAGGCAAAAGUCAGCAAUUUUUCCAAAGGCUGCAGAGGAAUUAAAACACCUCACCCAGAAGACCCAGCCUUCUCCAUCAAUAUAAUAAACCACCAAGGCAAGGCUGUCUCCCGCUUUACUGGUGGUUCAUAAGCACCAAAAGGCAAAUGAACUGAGAGAGCUGGAUUUAAUGUUCAGCCUCUCCAAGAGACACUGUCACUCAGUGUCACCUUUUUAAAAAUGCUGACAAAUGUUUCGGCACAGGGGUUGUGUGCCUUGCAACUUCAGAGGUUUGCCGCUGAGCCUUUUGACAGGUACCCCUGAGAUCUUUUCCACUUCCGGAAUCUGAAGGCAAGAACCAAGUCACCUCUGCAGCAAACCUUGACUUCAGCAAAGUUCAUGAACCACCAUGUUAGUGCAUAUUCAAAUGUACAGUUUACUUGAAAGUUGCGCUCUUUGAUCUCCAGAGUUGCUUUGAUGCCUCUGCAGACCUCCCAGCAAGCUAGGCUUCCCUAUUCCUUGCAGUGGGGAUGUGUGUGAAGAAUUCCUCCUCCUGGAGGAAAGGGGGAAGACUCUCUUUUAAUGGGAACUGUGUAGGGCCAGGAAUACGCAGAGCUGCUCCCACACUACCCGAUACCAUACCCUCCAAUAUUUCUUCGAUGAAAACAGGGACAUCUAAUAUUAGUAGUAGUAGUAGUAGUAGUAGUAUACCCUGCCCACCUAACUGUGUUGCCCCAGCCACUCUGGGCAGUUUCCAACAUAUAUAAAAACAUAAUCAAACACACAAAGAAACACAGAGCUCCACAACAGGUUAAGGCUCACUCUCCUUCUCUCUCCUUCUGUCACUCUUUUCUGCCUAAUCUGUGUAAAACUGCCAAAGGUUUGUCCCUCUGUAAAACACACACACACACAUACCCCUCUCAGAACGAGGUUGUGGGCUUUGUUUGUUUGUAUGUUGUUGUUGUUGUUUUAAAAGCAAGGAUGAUGAGAAUUUUGAGUCUGGUGUUGCUCUAAUUACCUGAGGACGCGUGCAUGCCGUUUACUAGAAUAUAUUUUGGAUUAAUACAUUUAUUGUUGUUUUUUCUGCAAUCCAGUUGAGUCUCAUAGAGCAGCUGCAAUAGCCUCUGACUAAUUGGCUUUACCAAAGGCUACCUGCUGAGAGCAUCUGCCAGGACUUCCAUUCUCCCCAAAAUGCUUCAUCUCAGAAUUGCAGGCUGUAGGUUUUGAUCAUUUGGCCUCACAAACAAACAAAAAAAUCCAUAUUGAUAUCUCUUUUUAAAAGAAGAAGAAGAAGAAGAAGAAGAAGAAGAAGAAGAAGAAGAAGAAGAAGAAGAAGAAGAAGAAGAUUUGAUAUCGUACUCAUUCAAAACAAAAGUGUCCUGGACUUCCGGUGAGGCAAACUGAUGAGCCCCUAAGGACUGCCAGCACCAACAGCGCUGCCUGGCUAGUCCCCAUGCCUCACCCUACCCCCCUCCUCUCCCCCCCCCCACUUCUUCCCCAACCUUAUACUGUACAGUGGUACCUCGAGUUACAGAUGCUUCAGGUUACAGACUCCGCUAACCCAGAAAUAGUACCUGGGGUUAAGAACUUUGCUUCAGGAUGAGAACAGAAAUCGGGCGGGGGCGGCACGGCAGCAGUGGGAGGCCCCAUUAGCUAAAGUGGUGCUUCAGGUUAAGAACAGUUUCAGGUUAAGAACGGACCUCCAGAACGAUUUAAGUUCUUAACCCGAGGUACCACUGUACUCAGCACUAAUGUCUCACUACAAAUGUAACUGAUUUGUAAGAAACUUUACAACCUGGAAAAAAGAGACAAGGCAUGUACUUUUAUAAACCAAGAAAAUAUUUAUAAAAAAUUAUUUUUAUUUUUAAAGUGUCCUCGCUUUGGUUUGAAAACAGGUGACAUUUUGAAAUCUGGACAAAACCAAAGCUUAGGCGUAAUUUCAGGUGAUUGGAUCUUUUGUCCAGGGUUUCAGGCAGGGGACAUUCCCAGUCCUUCCGAGAGAUGGCAAGGAUCGAACCUGGGACCUUCUGCAUGCAAAGGAGAUGCUCCAACACUGAGCCAUGUCACUUCCUGUACAAAACUUCCUGGCUAUAGGCCCAGCUGUGAAAACGUUGCUGCAGUUCUUUGGAAGUGCAGAAAAGCCCUUCAAAUGUGACAUUAGCCAUCGAUUUCAGGUUCCUAAGGACCUCGACUUUCUUUUUAAAACAAUGUAGAGCAGCUUUAUGGCCCCUUAUUAUUGUGGAGAUAUGCUUGAAAGUGCCUGGCCAGCGCUUGAAGAAAUUUCAGAAUCCGGAGGGGAGGCUGGAUAAGAUCUCCGCAGGUCAGGGGGCAAGGCCUGGCAUUGCUCUUUGCCCAGUUCUGUGGUGAAUGGGAGCAGAUCAAAUUACAGAAAAUAAGCAGGCAUAUGCAAAGUUCAUCCAUUUGCAUGAUUUAUACGUUGGCGGAAUUUGGAUUUUUAAAAUAGAACUCCCAGUUAGUUUGGCGGAGACUUUGACGCGUGCAUGAGUGUGAAUUUUAAAGCGUUGCCUACGCAGUUCCUGAUUAUUACUGCACCCGAAACCCCUCCAUCCUUGAUCCGGCCUGGAGGACAGAAUGAACCAGAGGCUCUUGUUGUUUCGUUUUCAUACUGCUUUUCCCAUCAAGUAGCUGAGCUGUUCAAAACCACCUUUGAACUGGUGUACCGUCGAUGCCACUUAUCAGUGGAUUGCUUUGUUAGAACGUUGUGCAAUAAAUAAAAAAAAUACAUGCAGCAAUGUCCGGAUUUGUACACAGGGGGCCAGGCUUGGAAAUUCUAUUUGCCGGCAAUGUGACCUCAAUACAGGAAGCUUAGAGCAGUAAACUCCCCCUGACAUUCCACUGCUCAGUGAAAAUCAGAAUCAAAUGCAGCCUUAACCUUAAUGUGACCCACGGGAAAUUACUGGAACCCGGAGCCAUCCUUGCCUUUGCCCUGUCUCAUCCGUAGCUUCUUGGCAAAAAUACGCUAGCUUGCAACAGUAAUUCUCUUGUGGAGCAUCUGUUUGCUGGCUGCGAGCCAUGGCUCUUCUGGUGUAUAUUUUAUUUAUAAGCGAUCUUUUAUCAGGAGUCGAGUACAUGUAGAACACCUAUACGCAAGGUGUCUAAUUACAAGUCGUUGGGGGCUUUUCUUUUUUUGGGGCAGGACAUGGGGGCGUUUGCAGGAUUAAAGUGAAGGGUCCCUGUUUAAGGUGCUGCUAUGAAUUGGCAGCUUCCCUCUCUUCGGCCAUCAUCUAAAAUGCCUGCCAAUUAAUAGCAUGCCUCUUCGUUGAUAGCAUGCCUCUUCGCUGAGCUUUGUAAAAAUAAGAAUAAGCGUCAAGACGUAGCAAGCCAACUACUCAGAAUAUUGGCACUCUGGAUGAGCAUUAAACUUGCUUGUUCCUCAUCAGUUGGGAUCCUUAUAUGUUGUUGAAAAUUCUACACACAUUUUGCAGAUUAUUCUAAGACAGAGCUCCUUCCAGAAGACAUGAAAAGUCUUGAUAUUGAAGGGGGUGCUUGAUAUUCUUUGGCCAAAUCAGUUUUUCCUGAGCAGUGUCUCAUUAAGAGCUGGGAUACUCCAUGCUCCAUUGUGUCCUGAUCAGGGAUUUAUCACCAGAUUUUGCUGUGAUAGCGUUAGUCCUUCAUUAAAGAUCAACCCUGCAAGAAUUCAUCCUGUGAAUUCGCAGUUUCGCUUCUUAUCCAAGUGUACACAACUUGUGAGUUGAGCUUUUUAAGCUUCCAUAUAAACACAAGGGGGGAAAGUUGGGCUGUCCUUCACAAGAAAAGGAACCACAGAGAAAACAGAGUUACCAAUAAAAUGCUCAAAAUGUUGUUGUUGUUUAGUCGUUUAGUUGUGUCCGACUCUUCAUGACCCCAUGGACCAGAGCACACCAGGCACUUCUGUCUUCCACUGCCUCCCGCAGUUUGGUCAGGCUCAUGUUGGUAGCUUCGCGAACACUGUCCAACCAUCUUGCCCUCUGUCGUCCCCUUCUCCUUGUGCCCUCAAUCUUUCCCAACAUCAGGGUCUUUUCCAGGGAGUCUUCUCUUCUCAUGAGGUGGCCGGAGGGUGAACUUGGGAACUUCUGUACGCAGAGCAGAAGCUCUGCUACUGACCUUCUCUCUCUCACACUCAUUCUCUCACACAAACAAUCCUGGAUUUCCCUUCUGGCUGGAGAAAGGCAGAUCCUUAUCCAACCCAGCAGGGACAGCAAAUCCCUUUGAAAGCAGAGGUUGUGCUGGCGACAGGCCUAGAGCAGAUCUUCUUUGGAGAAGAAGCAUCCCGGCUGCAGAGUUCAUAAAAGCUAAAAAGAAAAAAGAUUGGGCUAGUACCCUGUUGAAGCAAUUAUCAGUUGAUGACUCAUGUAAGUUUUAAUCUGCUAAUUAGUAGACCAAAUAUGCAUACUUAGCAUAUGACUAAAGCAGUUGCUUUGGUGGUGGGACGUUCCUGAGGGAGGUGGUUAAGUUAUGCAUGUGCACUGCAUGGCCCCGGAAUAGGGAAACUGGACCUCCAAAAUGUCGCUGGACUACAACCCCCAUCAUUGCUGGCCAUCAGCUAGGCUGGCUGGGGCUGGUGGGAGUUGGAGUCCAGCAUCUGGAAUGCUAAGUGUGCAUAUUUGGUCCACUAAUUAGCAGAUUAAAACUUAUAUGAGUCACCAACUGAUAAUGGCUUUAAUAAUUGCUUCAGGUGAGAGUUCCCAAAGAUGGUUGGGUUUUUUUCAAGUGCUUGCUUUUGCCUGGUGCACUUUUUUGACUCUUAAGUGCACUUUGACUUUUGACUUGAUCAAAGUUGGGUGCACUUUUUGACUUUUAAGUCGUAUGGUUUCCAUUGAACUGGCUAAAUGCCUCACCUGCGGAUGCCUGCGAUUGACCUUCUGCAUGCAAGGCAGAUUCUCCACGACUGAGUUGUGGCUGCUCCCCAGCCAAAUGUGGCCAUCAACUAACUUUGGGGUACAAUGUAAUAAUAAUAAUAAUAAUAAUAAUAAUUCAUUUAUACCCCGCCCAUUUGGCUUUCAACAAAGUAUUAAAAUAUAGUAGUCUGUUAAACAUUAAAAGCUUCCCUAAACAGGGCUGCCUUCAGGUGUCUUCUAAAAGUCUGGUAGUUGUUCUUCUCUUUGACAUCUGGUGGGAGGGCGUUCCACAGGGCGGGUGCCACCACCGAGAAGGCCCUCUGCCUGGUUCCCUGUAACUUGGCUUCUCGCAGUGAGGGAACCGCCAGAAGGCCCUCGGCACUGGACCUCAGUAUCCGGGCAGAACAAUGGGGGUGGAGGUGCUCCUUCAGGUAUACUGGACCGAGGCCAUUUAGGGCUUUAAAGGUCAGCACCAACACUUUGAAUUGUGCUCGGUAGGAAGGGUUGGAUGCAGGGGGGAAAUGGUCCCAGGUGAUUAUCUGAAGGCACAUGAGAGGGCUCCAGUUUGCUGAUGCUCAGCAGGUCUGGGUCUGGUCAGUGAGUGAGUUGAUGGGAGACCUCCUGGCUGCCUCGUGUGUACUGCCUUGGAUUCCAGGCAGGUGGAAUGCAAAUGCAGGAAAAUAAAAUAAAGCAAAUAUAUGCCUGGGCACGCUUUGCUUUAGCAGUUGUGUGAUUUGUGUAAUGUAGCCUUGACCUUUUGUUUCAGCCGCGAUGUGUUGUAAUUGCCUCUCUUUGAGCUAAGCAUCUACUUACGGCCUGUCUGUUGUUGUUGUUUUUAACAGCCUCGUCAGAGAGCUCUUCGUAAACCGUUGCCAGCCUCUGAAGCUGCCGCCCUGCCAGAUGAUUCCGAAAUGAACUUUUUUCUCCACGAGAAAUCAAACAGAAAUACGGCAUGAAGCGAUGGCACUGCCAAAAGAAGACCACUCUCGAGAACUGGAGGAGUAGCCAAAGCCCAACCCGUCUCGACAGCGGGAUAAAACAUGAAGAAUCUUCGUUUGCUCGGGGGAUUGAAAUAAUGGUGCUGACUUUCUCUGGCUUGUCAUUGGUGGACGCUUUAUGCUGGAAAACCUGCUUCUGAUACUCAUCACUGUGCAUAAACUCCAUGUUCCCAUCAGGGAACUCUCUGACCUUCACUAAAAGUUCUGGGUUUGGGGAUUCCGUUUUAGGUUUUUUUGGGGGGGAGGGGCGGUUCUUUAGCAUGACAAUACUGGAUUAUAUUAUGUAUGCAGACGGCAUGAUGUUUAUGGGAUGGGUUGGGCGGGAUGUUCCAUCUCUGCGAACUCACUGGAAAUGUUCACAAUUAUCCUUGCUCCCUGAUAGGAAUGUCGGCAUAUCCUGUAUGUGUUAGUGAUGCAGCUGAAUGGUAAAUUCCAUCCUAUGGUAUCGGCAUUCCAUACGUGAUCUCCACACAGAUGUUCUCACGGAUUUGGUUGUGCUGUGGGAAACUUUCUGAGGACACAUCUGUUAAAAAUGAGUUUCAUGGAUCUCCCUUUCACUAGGAUUGUACCUUAAGUCUAGCUCAUGAUUUGCAUCCUUCAUCGAUUCCUGCAAGUUUGGUCUGGUAACUUGUCUGGAUGUUGUUAGGCUAUUUUGACACUUUACUUAUAGAAGUAGUAGAAUGAGAGCACGUACAUUUCUUUGCUGCACUAAUUCCUCCCACUACCACCACCCCCCAAAAAAAAUGACAAGUAAGACUCUGUUGUUUUGAUGCAUGUUCAAUAAUAGAGGGGAAGAAAAUAAUCUCAGAUAAAAAAGAUUGCUCUCUCGUUGCAAGAACCCCUUGUUUUUGAUGAUGAAGACAGCUGUAUCAUUGUAAAAACAGUGAGGCAAUUCCCGAAGCAUCCUCAUCACACUGGGUGAAAGCAUCUUUUCCUUUCUUUUUAUCCUUAUGGGGUUUUUAUUUCAAAAUAUAUGCAUUGUUUCCAGGGUGACCUCUGGAAAACCUGCAUUCAUCUGCAGCAAAAGCCAGCUGUACAGAGUACUGAUUGGCUAGCGCAUGGAACGCCAUGAACACCACCUGACCGCCCGCUUUUUCUCCCUGGAAACUGGAUGCUCGCCAGUUUUUAACAGGAGAAAAAUGGGAAAAGGUGAACCUAGAGAUGAAUACACUUACAUAUGCUAUUUUAUAAUAAAAUAUAUCCCCCCAAAAAAAACAACAACAACCCCACACUCUUUGGAAACAGGACUAAUUGCUUGAUCCAGGGCUUGACUUGUAGGCGAGGAAGUUCUUGAGACCACUGUUUAAACGUUAUGUCUGUCUUCACCAUUAGAAGCAAUUUGUGCCGAUGGUCAACAGUAAGAAUACUUGGGGGACAGGGAAAUGACUACCUUACCCUUUUUGUUUUUAGGUACAUGGAGAAAUUUUGCAGAUUAUGAUGUUGCAAGUUUAGGAAUGAAGACUGCAGUUAUUUAUAGGAUGGUAAAAUUAACCACCAAUCACUUCCAAGUCUCUUUGGAGGACUGAAGCUUUCAGUAAAGCAGAGCUUUCGCAAAUGUGUUCCUGAGCAGGUCAGUCCAGUGACAUUUUCUUCCUUUGACCAGCUCAGUCCCUGGGCUUCACACCUUCCUUCCAUCAUAUGUGCCAUAUUGUCCUCAGAUCUCUCUUGGGUUAGCCUGAUAACUCACUGGCAGUAGAGUAAGCCAAAAUCCCAAAGGCCACAGAUAUUUUGGAAUUCUUCAAUAGAGUGUCAAGGAGCUAUCUAUUGAACUAUGUUCUGUUUUGAAUCAGAGCUGUCCCUUUUUCAGCUUAAGCCUCUUGCUGUCAUAAAAUGCUGUCUUACUAGCAAAACUGUUUACUUUCAACAUAACUGUAGCUGGCUCGAGACUGUUGCAUCUGCACUGAACUUAGCUCAGCACCGUUCGCUUUCUAGGUUGCCAAAGCAGAGCGGCUUAAUUUCCAUCCAUAAAAGUGCUUUCCAUCACGUUUCCUAUUGGAAACAAAACUUUCAGUAGUGAAAGAUAAUGGUAGCAUCCAUAGGAAACCCAAAGGUCUAGAUCCUCCUAGACCCUAAAUCAAGAGAUAGGAACUCUGCAAUUGAUCUCUCUUUCUCCCACCUGAUAGACUGUUACACAUGCCAAGUGACUUUGAAUAUAUAUGAACUUCCAUGUAAUUCAUACGUUGAACCUUGUCAAUCCUACAAGUUGCACCUUAAGAAACCAGCUGUUCUGUGAGCACACAUGGAUCUUGAACUCCUCACCUCUUUUCCUUCUUGUGAUCACUUGCGAUUUACACUUGUAAUCACUUGCCAUUGGCAGCCCAGAUGCAGCAAUGACUUGUGGACUGGGCAGCCUUCACAAAAGAACCCAAGAAACUCAGCGUCUACGCAUUUGCUAAAUCAAGACUGGCCAUCUCAGCAUAGCCUUACGGCGGUUGCGUGAAAUUGCUAUGGCUGACCUGCUUUGAGGAAGAAAUCAAAACCCAUAUGGAUUUAGUAAGCAUCUCACUUUGUCCUGGUCAAGCACUUGUAUCACAUUGCCAACGUUUUCUCAAUCUGGCCCUUGAAGCUUGACCAUAUUUCUGUUAUUAGGUUCUUCAUUUGUGAUUUCCCACACAGAUGAUUUAGUGUGUUCUGUACCUGGAGGAAAGAGUCUUUCUGAAUAAAAAUCAUGUCCCAAGCAUCUGCAUUGUUGUGGGAGGGGGUGGGUUGCAAUGCUUUGUGAUGUCCAUGCAGAAAGUUCACAUCCUGGUAUUUCAAGCCAAUUCCGACUGCUUUUCUGGUGCUGUGGCAUUGUUCCUGUCUGCUGAGCUUGACAGCAGCUGCUGGUUUAGAGGUGUAAAAACAUGACAUGAAAGUUCCCUAGGAAGGGGACAGGUGUGUUUUGCAGAAGUAGUUGAAGACCACAGGUUUUACUCAGGGUCAACCCACUGAAACGAAUGAACGCUGGGUCCAUUAAGUUCAGUGAGUCUAGUCGUGAGUAAAAGGCAGUUGACUACCACCCCGGGACAAUGUGGUUGAACUUGGCUCUUCCAUAAAAAUAAUCAAUUGCCCUUUGUAUUAUACAAUACAGUCGCUGAUACUAACUCCUGUAUGGGACCAUGUCUACAACCAGUGCCUCAGAUUAUUAUUGACUAGUGAUGAACCUACUUCUGUGUGUGCUGAGGGGAACUAACUGGUUUCCUUGCGCACUCUCUCAGCACUUUCCUCUUCCACCAGCAGCUGUUCGUUGCGUGUACAGCCUUCGAGCAUUAUCAGACUCCCUUGGUAAUCCAUGUGUAGACUCUCAAUAAAGUGUUAAUGUAAAAGAAGAAGAGGAGGAGGAGGAGGAGGAGGAGUCCUGAUCAGACCCAAAGACCCAUCUUUGGUCCAGCAUUUGGUUUCUAACUCUGACCAGCCAGUCACCUCUAGAAGCUCAGGGUGUGAAGGCCUCCUUCAUUGUUUGUCUCCAGCAUCAGGAAUUUAAUUAAUCGACCACCCUGAUCUGUCGUCCUUUUCCCUCAGGGUUAGAUGGGCUGGUUUCUGAAUCCUGUAUGAAAGAAUUACAAAAAGGAGAGAAAAGGCAUUUGCAGGCUCAACAUGCAGAGAACAUCCUUUGCAAGAUUUCCCCUUAGUGAAGCUCCUCUCUGGACCCUUUCCAACAUGUCAACAUCUGCCACGCCCCUCGCUGAACUUCGGGUGAUAUUUAGCUAAGUUUUGCACAGAGUAGUCCCAUUUAAAUUAAUGGACCAAAUUUAAUCGAAUACCGCCCAUAGUUCUCUAGCUGUCAUCUCCCUGCAGCGAUUUUCCUAUUAUGUAUCUUGAGGAACUCUUUACAUGCUGACUUGCGUGCUGAAGACACCUACCAUUAAAUCCUUGUGUGUUGCAACAAUGGUGCAUGUUCUCAGUCCAUGCGGGGCACUGGCUGGGCCUGUUAGGUCUCAUCAUGGGCCCUUGUGAUUUGAGGAAGCACACCCAAUAGGGGAAGCUGAGUGGUGGUGGCAGCUAAGCUGUUUUUCAGGAAAUUGUGCCUGCCAUUGUUGACCCAACUCAUUAACCUCCUGAGGAACACCAGGGGAAUUUUAAAGCACAGUUUGAAGUUAGAUCUUCCUCAUAAGCUUCCUCUUCUGUUUUGUGGUGAUUUAAAAAAAUAAAAAAAAAUUCCAAGAUGAUUUCCAGUAACGAAAAAAUAUGUGAGCUGUUAUGUAUUGUUAUAUAGGCCUAGAAACUAAAUGUGUUCUCAGGUAUUACCAUUACCCAAAGAUGAGGGUAAGCACUGGGUAACCAAUAUAAUGGCUGCCAUUUUGUUUGUGUUUGAGGGGUAUACCCACAAGUCUUUGCCAUACUUGCUUCCAUUCCACGGUCACCAUUGUUGGCCUGACUGUCCGUAGUGACACCUUGGGGCACAGACCAGCCAAAAGGACCUUCAAACUCUUCUCCUCAGCUGGGCCCUUUGGGUUUCAAUCAACUGUUCUCAUUCCAGUCCUCUAAAAUGACAAUUGGAAAGUAUGUUUCUGUUGCUCAUGUUUCCUCCGAGGUCUUGGGCAAGGUGGAAUUCAUUCUGAGAUUUGGUCUGGGCAGAAAAGCCCUCAUUUGCAAAAUGACCAUGAGAUCCAAAUAAAGGUCUGAUCAACUACAAUGUA